This 115876-nucleotide long non-coding RNA is filed under the name Zea mays. The record is from RNAcentral. Lineage: Eukaryota; Viridiplantae; Streptophyta; Magnoliopsida; Poales; Poaceae.
GUAAGAAGAAAGAUAGAUAUAUAGAAUUGGGUGGGCAGAGUUGGCUUGCUUCCAAGAGAAUAAACACCUGGCGACUCGAAAACAUGAUGCGCUAGGUUUCGAUCAGUUAAUCGAGAUAGGUUGUACUUUUCAUUCGAUUUUGUUACCACGUGCUUUUCACUUCAUGAUCAGUUAAUCGAGUGCUCAGUCAACUUCCUAUAAGAGUUCUGCUUUUGCUAAUCAAAGACAGACAUCAAUCCCUCAUCCUACUCUGUCUGUCAGUCGGUUACUCAGUUCUGUUAGCUACUCACGUGUCUAUACUAAGCUAAGAUAUUCCUCAUUCUUGCACAGGACAGGAGAGGGGAUUGCCUUAGCUACCGGUACCGAACUCUGAUCAAACUAAAACGAAAAGCUUAACCGAUUCUUGUAGAGUCCUUAGCAUUAGAUAAUGCAUGCGCACACAAGAGGAAUGAACUUGCCUUCUAGUGAUUUGGAAGGAUUGAGUCGGCUGCCCCCAGCCUCGCCCCGCAUCGCCCUCCGGGGGUAGUUACGCCAGUGGAACCAACUCACAAAGCAGCCCAAAAGCAGGAACUUUUCUUGAUUGAAUUGGUUUAAAGGUAAUUCAUCAAUCCUUAAAUUAUUCCAGGAUUCUUUUGGGAUGCUAUCCACCCUUUGAUUUACGAAUUGGCUAUAAUAUUUACUCUGGAUCCCUUCCAGCUGCAAGUCAAGAACGAUCCUUUGAAACAUUUUAGGAUUAUACUCACAAUUGGUUUGGGGGUUUCGUAUUGCAUUGCCCGCACUAUCCAUAUCCUGGAACAGGAUUGAUUUGGCCAUGGAAAGGGCCAGCUAAACGCCUAAGCUCUGAAAGUACGGAUUGCUUCCCUUCAUAGAUUUUAUUAGUUAAUUUGAGAAGUUCCUCUGGGCUCCUGGUCCUUUCCAGAUACUGCAAACUCAAAUUAUGAAAUAUGAGAUCCCUGCUACUCAGAGUCAGAGACCCGAAAGGACGUGGUGGACUCCCUGGUUCCCCCUCAUCUGCAGGAGAAAUUGAAGAAGGUGCAGCCCCGCCCCCUGCGGAGUGACUCGGGGCCGGUGGUGGAGUAGUACUUGACUGGGUCGAGUAGGCACCCUCCUCAGGGCUAAGUGGCGGAUCUAGAAAAUAGUCUGAGCCGUCAAGAACUAUUUCAGGGGGCAGACCCGAGUGCUCUAUUGGAGCUUUGCCCUUGCCCUUAUCUUGGGCUUGAUAGGUAGACUAUAAAGAGAUUCAGUACAAUAAGCCUGACUUUCAUAUUUAUUAAUAUAAUGGGGACCCAGGGAAAGAUAAUAGAGAGCCAUCUGCCAAUAGGCAGAAUAGAUUCCACACUCACUUCAGAUUCUGGGUGGGUAAAGGGAAACAUGAUCUCUAUUCUGAGAGGGAGCGCGGUCGAGCAUAGACUCGGCAACAACCAAUACAUCCAAUACCACAGUAGGCCCACGUACUACAGCUUAAAUGUACUGUAUGUGCCAUCAUAAACCAUUUCAGUCGUAGUACCUAACCUACCAGGCACUUGUUUGCCACCAAGAUAACCUAAUUAACGUGAAACCAACUGUAUUUCCGCUGUAGUACCUACCAGGCUUGUAACCAAGCUAAGUGAAAUUGAAAAACAUUUUCGCUGUACUACCGCUCGUGUAACCGACGUAAUCGGUCUUAAACACCUAUAAUAUAAGGAACUCGUGUACAACCAUAACAUUUAUAUAUUUCACAGGUGUACCACCGUAACCAAUUUCACUCGUGUACUACAAAGAAGAAAAGAAAAAAAAGAAAAUUAUAGCUUUCUUUUUUUUGGUGCGUGCUUUUCGCCUGCCUUCCCGACCACGGAUAGGCUACGGGGCUUUGCACUUCGGCCCCUGUGAAUACCACAUCAAGGUGACAGGAUUCGAACCUAUGGCCCUCUGUACCCAAAACUGAUGCGCUGACCAGACUGCGCUACACCUCGUCUCCCCCCGGGAACAUAUGGUAUGGAUCUACCCAAUCGAAAAAGACUCGAACCGCAGUCGCCCACCCCGCGGCACAGGGAGAUGGAUCUCUUGUUACCAGAAAGGAACUGAACUGGCUUGCCCGGAAAGAAUGGAUUGCUACCCUUGGAGAGCUAAUGGUACUGGACUGAUAGCGCACUGAUUGAACCGACCCCGGACGUACCACUGGGGAACCUGUGGCUGGAGAGAAUCUCUCGCGAUGGAGAAAUGUAAAAUGGGAAGCUCUAUGGAGGAUCGUGUCGUUCGUCAUCGAAAUGGGACUGACUCGCUCGGGAACAGGCAUAGGAUUGAGGAACUUUCUGGCGUAACACACCCGUAAUGGGGCAAUCUGACUAGCUAGUCAAAACCCUUUCCGCAGUGAGCUUUCAAACUUACUUUAGAACUUGCUUCACAGGCUUUGAGGCAUUUUUACACCCUCCCGUAGGCGUAGGCUCACUUUGUUUCAGGGCUUUCCUUUCUCUCCUAAGAUCCCAUCCCAACCAACAAACGAGAGUCUGAUGGGGAUUCUAUUCUGCUUGAACGUUAACUAGACCUGCGCCCAUAUUAGCUUACCGGAAAACGAACUAAAUAGUGGGGGAAGCUCAAAGGAAUUAAGUAAGCCAACUUCAGGCUAUAAAGAUAUUUUUAUUGAGGCUAAACUUAUCUGCCUUUCCUGGUACUUCAAAGUCGAAUGCCACUGCUACUACAUACAAUACAGGAGAAGAUAGAUGCUAGAGGACGGAUACAAGGACGGGGUCAUCGCAAAGAAAAAGAGCUAGAGGUGAGUGAGCCUACGACCACCAAUUGCUUAUCCCCUAUUACCAAUUGCAGCAGACUUGGACUAAUGGAAUUGCUUGAAGUGAAGACCAGUGAACAAAAUGACAAAAAAGAAUUGUUUACCUCUUUCGGGAUAAGGCCUGGAAGAAGCAGGGAUUGAACCAGGGCUUGUUGACAGAGCAGAUAUCAAAAGCCUAUGUUAUCUCAUUUUCAGGGGCCGAGCAAGGGAUGAGCGCCCUCUGAUCUAACGACCAAACAAGCAAGCAACGGCCCGGCCCUUGUUACUAGAAAUAUGAAGCGUGCUAGCGCGCACUUCCUAUUAACCAAUUCACCAAUUUGAAGAUUGGUAAACAAAGAUAAUAGGAGCCGAAGUCAAUCCCUUCUCCUCCCCGAGGGGACGUUAUCGGUCGCUUCGUUCCCUUGUUUACUGAACUCUUUUCAAGAGAUAGGUCUACCUCAUCUGCUUGUAAAUUCAUUAUGUAAAAUAACUCGUAAAUUCAUUGUGCCAGAAUUGAUCACUGAUCAGGUGUGAUCAGUCUCAUCCGUCUAAGAGACUGAUCCGGUGCGAUGAGUCUAUUCCGUGUAAUAUUUUGGAAUUCCUCUUCCAACUCGUCCCGGAAUGGGCGUUAUGGCAAAGAACAAGAAGAAAAAGAAAGAAGAAAUUUGUCCAAUAGUAACAAAUGGUGCCUCCACAGGUUGACAUCUGAUCCAACCUAGUAGUAAGCAAUCCGCCAAAAGCAACCAAAAUAUUCCUUGGUGAAUCGGUCGAAAACUUGAACUACGCACAUACAUUUCUUAAAAAAAAGGUAAAGCCAAGAGAGAUAUAAAAACUGGUGCUAUUGCGGCUACACCCCCCGCUUUGUCAGGUAUACUGUGAAGAAUGACAUGGAUCAGUAGGAAAUACCAUUCCGGCACAAUAUGAGGCGGGGUGGGCAUCGGAUUAGCAGGUAUAUAAUUGUCGGGAUGCCCCAAAACAUUUGGAGCAAAAAAAUCCAAAUGGAAAAAAAGAUAGCAGAAGCUACCCGACCUACAAGAUCCUUUACAUAAAAAUAAGGGUAAGAAGCAAUUUUAUCCAUCUCAGAAUGUACACCCAAUGGAUUAUUUGAUCCAUAUUGAUGCAAUGCAGCCAGAUGAAGAAGACUGGCGCCUGCUAAAAUAAGGUGGAGUAAAUGAUGGAGACUAAAAAAACGAUUUAAGGUGGCAUUGUCCACGGAGAAACCACCCCAAAGCCAAGUCACUAUGGUAUCUCCUACUACUGGUAUGGCGCUAGCUAAGCUUGUAAUUACUGUUGCUCCCCAAAAGCUCAUCUGACCCCAAGGUGGUACGUAUCCUAUAAAAGCUGUCACAAUCAUUAAUAGGAAUAUGACAACUCCGAGACACCAAACAAAUUCCCUAGGACUGCUAUAACUCGCAUGAUAUAGACCACGAAAAAUAUGAAGGUGAACCACAAUGAGAAACAUACUUGCCCCAUUAGCAUGCAUAUAACGGAGCAACCUGCCCCCUUCAACAUCUCUCAUAAUGUGUUCUACGCUGUUGAAAGCUAGAUCCACAUGAGGUGUGUAAUGCAUAGCUAAAAAAAUGUCAGUCACUAUCUGAAUGACUAAACAAAUACCAGCUAACGAAUCGAACCCCCACCAAUAACUAAGAUUGCUCGGGGUUGGAUAAUCUAUUAAAUGUUGGUUAAGUGUGGAGUAUAUAGGUUGUUUAAGAAGAGAGAAUCGUUGGUUCCUUAUAGUCAUUUCUCUUUUCUAUCGUGACAACUCCUCUUCCCCCUUAUUUUAUUUACCCCCUUGCCUUGAUGCUUCGCAGCGCCCUGAAUAAGAAAAAAGCGGCAUGAGAAGAUUCAUCCCAUUUUGGUUUGGCGAGAGGGAGGCAUCGAAUCACCUGGGCUACAGAUUUGUUGGUUAGUUGAUUCUCGAAAUCAGGUCAUUCGGAAAAAAAACUGCCGCUUUGGUUUCUUAAGGCUUCAGACGAACGACUAGUCAUUUUUUAUGAUGAAAUCAAAGUCUAUUUUUGACCUUUCAUGAAGAAGCCUGCGUGCAAACUACCUAGCCCUUUUCAAAAGAACGUCGAUUUCCAUCUCAACAAAGAAAGAACUCAAAAUAAAUGAAAGCAAGAUUGCUUGUUGUCCUAUUACUCUUUUUGUUAGCCUUGUGGAGCUUUGGAAAGGAGAGAACUUGAAUAAAGUAACUCUCGGAAACUCUUAUUGGACGGGAGAGAGUCAAUAUGAUAUUGGGCGUGGGUUUUUCCAACGAAACGACGAGUGAGAAAGAUAAAGAACGCGACGUGGUUCAUUGAAGUAGAGGUUUGACCGAGGAUUGGGUGUCCUACGCUACUUCCGUUCAUGUUCAAAAAAAAGAUAAUUUAAAAGACCUUGGAAAAACCAACGAAACGAAGAAGUUUAGGAUUGUCUUUUUCAUGCGGAACCCUCUCCGUAUUAGUAAGCGGGCCCUCCUUUACGCGAUCGUUACUGUCCGCAUCCUCUUGCUUGAUUUCCUGUGCAUAUUCCUUUUUCUAAACAUACUGUCUGCAUCCUCUUGCUUGAUCCAAAGACUUGAUCAGGCAGUAUCAAAUGAUAGGUGGCACGCAUAAACUUAUCUUGUAAGUUAUCCAGAUGCCUUGCUAGCUUGUAUUUGUGAAGGAUAUGUUAAUCUAGGUCAAAGAUACUUGUUCUCGAUGAGUGAAGAUUCUGGUAUUACGCCUCGAAUGGAGCAUUACGAGUGCAUGAUUGAGUUGUUUAGUAAGCAUGGUUGAUUUAGAAUCAUAGCCAAACCUUAAGGGUUGUAUUCCCCAUAAACUUCUAGUUAUUCUCCAGUAUGAAAGGUUCUAGUGACAUUGCUGCUAUUGCUGGAAGUCCAGUUUCAUUUUGGCUGGGAGUUCUCUGUCAGCUAGUGGGAGUCCCGCUAUUCUCAUUGUAGGCGUAGUUGCUUCUUUCAUCCAGCCCAGCACGCCAUAUAAUCCCUUUUCCAUGCCCGUGCUUUUACCUCUUUCUACGCAUGUCGAUCCAAAGGAAGCCAUUUAGAUCUGAGUUAAGGAAGGAAGUGAAUUUAAGCAAGAGAGCGAUAGGAUAGAUAUAAAGCUUAGACCAAUAGGCAUCUUAGGUUUUUAGGAAAAAAAGUAUAUUAGUAUACUACCUCUUGGAGUUUCAGUUGCUAUCCAUUCUGUUCUGUUUGAGUGCCAUAUAGCUUUUCCUAUUCAGUUCUAGAACUAGUGGUUACAGCGAAUGAGCAAUCUUGUGUAUAUCCAAGGUAAAGGGCAAGAGACUCUGUCAAUUCAUCCAAUGAGUAAGCAGGACAGUGAAGUUAGAAAUCCUUUAAGUCCCUCUUGAAUUUAAGUAAACUCCGGCCCUCAAAAGUAAACAAGUUUUCAAGGGUAGGGGUAGCGUUUACUAGCCAGCAAGUAAGAUAACAAAGCUCUUUUUUUCAAUAAGAAAAAGUAGUAGUUUUCCGGGUCUCAAUGGAGGAGAACUUUCCUGUUCAUCCUACACUACAUCAUAGGCAAGAUCUCAUCCUUUGACGAAUCUAGGGGCUCAGAAGAGUGUCACCAACGACGUCGGUGGGCCAGGCUAGGCCAAAGAAAGACUGUCUCUUUAACGACGUGGUCACGGGGAUACGAUCCGACAAGAGAGAUGCUGAAGAAUGUGCCCUCCUCAAGGGGUCAAGCACUCGAUCAGAACUAAACCAUCCUGCGGCACUCACAGCAUGAGCACACAGGGCAAGAUAAAGAGAAGGAUAAACGCUAAAGAGAUCGUCAACUUCACCUUGGCAUGCUUCCAUCAGUGCCUCAAAACAUUUGCUAUUCUUAUCUCUAGAAGGGUGCUUCUAUUGUUGUAGUGUUUCUAGCGAAAGAAGUCCCACGCCAGCAGCCUGCCAGAACCAUUAAUACAGGGUUUGAUCCACUGAACACUUGUUUUUAUCUACGAAGAGCUGAGUUGGCACCUCGAGGUGUCGACUCAGCUAUUUGCCGAGAAAUAAGCACAGCCUGCCUUCUACCCAUUAUGUCGACGAUUAGGUAGAGCUCUUACGGGGGCUAGGUUACCAGGAUAUGACCGUUCCGCAAUAGAACAUGGCACUAAUGUAUCCCCUAAGGUCCCAGCACCUUUUGAUCAAUACCGAAAUCAUAACAUUUCUAUAUGAUAAUUUGAGAUUGCUCUACCAGACCUGACUACCAAGAUUGACCUCUCCAUGCUCGUCAUUUCUAGUGCUUGCACAACCUCCUGGCGCUUUAUUUACUGACAAUUUCCCGGGUGUAAGCCAACACUUGCAAAUGUCUUUUAUUUCAUUAAAAAACUCCGCUUUGUCGACAUCGUCUUUUCCAAACAUUCGAGGUCUUAGUUGCAAGUAUGAUAAAUGUUGGUUUUGGUUAAUAACAAUGAAACAUUCAGGAACAAAUAAGCCUUUACUUAAUUCACGCUCCGCCCUCAACUCAAAGUGCCAAUUUAAAAGCGAACAGCUAGAAGCUCCCGCAUUAGAAGCUAGAAUUGACGCCACGGCAUAAGGCAUCGCCUCCAUGCUAUGUGCACACGACCCCGAAGUGGAAUGGCUAAUUUGCACAAUCUGGGAAGCCCGGCCUUCUCCCUCUCAGUUCCUCCGCAAUCGACUUACCAGAAAUCGUCGUGGCAACUCCACUUCAACCCCCCACUCUUUCCCGGUGCCUAUACUUAGCCCUUUGAAAAGUCUUCCAGUACCUCCCGCGUGGCAGCCCAUCAGAAGCAUGCCUCAUAAGAAUCUUUGUGGCGACGGUCGAAGCCUCCUCACUCAACUUCUGAAUCAAACCACCUUCCGGCUUCGUACUACUACUACCUCCUAGGUCGUCGUUCUUUCCAUUGCUUCUGGUUCCUUCCUCUGCUUCGGCGCUGCCAAACUCCUUCGAAUUUACGUACACAAAUUUGCUCUCUGGACCCAUCUCCUGGUUCAUCUUUUCGACCAUCCUCUUCAAUUUCUUGUUGUAACCUUCAGUGACUCGAUUCGCGGAUGCUGAACACUCCCCUGUAGGCAUGAACUCUAGAGCACGAACGUAUGGUAUACAACCGAGCGACGUCGGACACAACAAACUUUCGAGCACCCAGUUCAUUUAGCCUCUUAAUCGAGGGAAAGAAAAUAGAGGUCAGCAGCAAACAAGAGCAAGCGACACCAAACUACAGUAGGGAUAAAUUGGCAGAACCUUCUGAUAAAAUGUCAGAUUGGAAACCAACACGUCCAGAAAGUAUGAAGGAUAAGGCUUCUCUUGUCCAAAGAACGGUACUGAAGGUGUUGGACACCUCUGGCCAAUAGAGAGAGAUUGGACUCGAGGCAGUGGAAGACGACUACCUAGUGGGUAUCUACCAUCAUUCCUCCUUUCAGAUCGGACUGGCCCAUAGAUAUGAGAUCAAGAAACCUACGGAACCAAGUGAUCAUCCCCCGGCAAAUAGUCCUGUUCCUUAGCUUAUGUUACCGAACUAGCUUUGAUCUACUUGCUGCUACUGAUCCGUGACGCAGGAAUCCAAUCCGGACUUGUUCCCAAUCAACGGAUUAUCCUGUUUCGUAGAAAUCCUGUCUACUUGUUCUACAAUUCCAUUCCAAAGGAACUUCUUCUCCAAUCCCAAUUAGCUCUUCUCCUAUUCCAAUUCCUAUUUAGAUUGAUAUAUCUAUCAAUCUCGGAAUGGCGCUUUUAUGCUUCCAAUUCGGCCGGGAAUCCCAUCCCUCGAGUCCGGCACUGCCCACUCAUCUAGUGAUGGAGAAGGCGAGUAAAUGGGGAAUGCCGAAUUCCCUAUUGGAAUAGAUCUUGCCCUUGAAUCGAAGCGAAGAUGGGGGCCGUAAAAAAAGCAACUAUUUGAUUGAUGAGCAUUUCAUUCUUGUCGCCUACUUAGCUUCUCAGAAACUCAAGGAUGAGAUAUUUUUUCAAAACAGCUUUUGCUUUUGAUAUCUGCUUUUAUGACUCUAUUGACCAUAGGCCAACGUUUGACUUCCUGGAAAAGAGUGAUAGCGCCCCGUCUCGGCCGAAAUCCAUGCGAAUGCACGAAAAAUAGAGGAUCAAAUAACAGGUUAAAUAAGUGGGCUAGUCCUAGCCCUCCAUUACGAUCCUAUCUCUCUCCGCAGGUUGAGUUAUAGGUCGAAACAUUCCCGGUUUGUUCGCUUUUGGUAUGAACGACCGAAACAUUGCCGAGAAGCGAAAGGUUGAUGUCAACAACUCACACUGAAUUUCCUCCAGUUCCUCCCUUUGUGGCAGAGCGAGCGCCUUGACUAAGAUAGAUUUACUCUUUCAUUCUUGCAGCCUAUUCUGGUUCCAAUCGCGUUUGAGGAAAACCCCCUUUGGCAUCAAUGAAACUCUGUGAUAUAGGAGCUCAAAAACCUCAUUUCGUUUGAGAGAUAGUGGAAUUUAUUCUUUCAACACGUACAUCGACGAGGGUGUCGAUGACUUGAGUGAGGAAUGGUCAUGUGCUAGAGGCCGUACCGUUGGAGUAAGACCUCAACAAGGGGGUGUGCGGUUUAAAUGUAAAUGACGAGCAUGGAGAGGCCAAGGUCAUUUGUAAUUAGGUGUGGCUGAUGCAAGAAGACUGGCGAGCUAUCCAUGGUGAGACUCGUUGUGAUGCUACUGCAGGAGGCAUCCUGGUUGAGGGCGCAGAACUUCUGUGCGGGUACAACUGGCACUUAAAAGACCUUCCGUGUAGAUGAGUUCUCUUGAGUGAGACUAAUCGAGUUGAGUUACGAAGAAACCUUUGCGAUGGUGCUGUGCAGUUGGGUUCUCUAUGGAGGAACUUCGUUGUGGGGACCAAGGCAAAUAAGGAUACCCGGUCAGUCACGCGAAUAACGAACAAAUAACGAAUGCGCACAAACCACUUUUACUGAUUAAAUUCUGUAUAUAGCGCUUCCUUAUAUUAUAUUAUCUAUACUCCCCUCCCUUUCUGAUUAUUCUAUUUAAUGCAAGAGUAAGGAUAGACGUCUUAUUCUUUAGUGUUGAGAUAGAAUGACUGUAGACCCUCUUCUCUCUUUUAGUAAGCCUUACUUAUUUAUUCCAUUUCCUCAGCUGGAAACAGAACUACCAAAGGGAAGAAGACAGAAGGCAACAAAGGCGCGUAUCAGCUUCAAGCAUAUAGAGAACUUGACUUACUCACCUACUUUAAUGCCUGCUUUUUACUACUUGAAAUUGAAAGCUCGCUUGGCUCUCAGACCAAUUAACUUGACACCUGCUUAGCGCCCUCACUGCUACUUCUCUCAUUAAGCUGCUCUCUCCUUUUAUCAACUUAUGAAAAAACAGCAUAUUGAUCUUCCGUCGCUCGCUAUGGAUGGUUGCAGUUGCCAAAAGGCUACCUUUUCGCACAACACUUAAAUGAGUCACUGACUGGUUUUGAAGUACGUAAUACUUAACCUUACAAUCGGCAUUGCCCUUCUUCUUGCAACAGAGGAUUCGUUCUCUACGCCGAAAGGACUAAGAGCUCUUAUUCCGCAGCCUUUAGCACAUAAUGGAAUUGCUCCUUCUAUGCCUCCUCAUCUAUCUCGCCUGCAAAUCCUGCUAACAGCCUAGUCUAUUAGGAAACAGCUGAUUCAAUUGCUAAAACUAUUGUUCGAGAAGGGACUAACGGCACUGAUUUCUAGUGCUAUAACAGAAACUGCCCUUAACGCGCAAAUGAAAGCCCUCACAACACUCUUUACCUGCAACUGCUCCCGCUUAUGGUAGUAGAUAAACAGGUGGUGGACAUGUAUCUGCAGCCUCUACUGCUGGUAGAUUGACUAUUUUAUAUGGACUGAGGCUGCAACUGAGGGUAGUGACUGAGAAUGCUACUCUAUUCCUGGAAUUAGCCAUCCCCUUCUUUGACUAUUCGACCUGCUCCUCGAAGCAAGGAAGGGAAUUCAGAUGGCAUUGAAUGCCCUUUCCGCAAGAAGGAUAGGAGUUGGCUUACCGCAUCUACCUUCUCAUCGCGGGAUAAGGGCUGGGGCGUUAACUUAAGUACUAAAGCAGCUGGACCGGCUGCCUUCGUUGAUUCCCCACGAAGGAAUCAGAAUAUCGCUACUUCCCCUUACUGUCCUAAGCAGGGGAGAUGGAUUAAAAACCUUGUGUGAAGGAAAGGCUGUAAAUGUCGUUGACCAUUAAUCCGGUUGAAGGACAAAUGAAAUGGAGAGUAAAGGAAAAUAAGGUCAUUCUUCUGUCUAGCUUCUGGUCGGUGCCCCUUCUCCAACUCCGCCAGCCAAGACUCUGUUACUCGAGCAGGAAAGUUUUCCGUGCGUCCUGUGUUCUCCCGGUUCUUACGUCUCUCAAGCCGGUUCACUUGCCUGGUCAUUACUGGACUACCAUACAAGAUUCUAUACUGAGCUGACCUAUCAACCAGACGGACUUGAACAACUGACCUGUCUGCUAUUGUUAUUGCCGGGCUCAGGCUCCAGGGAAGGGAUGAUCAGAGAAGUCAAGUCUUGCCUUGGGUCAGAGUUCCAGUUCUCUCAGAAGAAUCUCCGCUUUCCAAUCCAGGUUUACGGCUUCCAUAGCGUAUGUCAUUGGCCAUUCUUGCUUCAUAGACUGCGGCACCAUUGAUUUAUGGCCCAGAUCAUGAAAAAGAGAAGGCCUCAAAAAUGGGAUGGAGCCAAUGAGUAGAGUAACUAGCGGUUAGAUUCGUCUUUAUGCUCGUUAUACGUGAACUAAUCUCAUUUGUUACGAAUCAAACUGAUUGACUCUGGUAGAAUGAUCCAGCGAACUCUUCCACACUGGCAUCAAUACUACUACUCCUCGGUGGCAGGCAGCAUGCAUAUUGCAAUUCAUUCACAUCUGCCAUCCAUCUGUCUCUCUCCUCAGCUCUAUGCCGCCCUGUCCCUUAAGGAAAGGAAACUAGACUAGAAAUCAGAAGAACCAAAAGAGUGCCGCAGUAUUCUCAUAAGAUCAGAUCAAUGCUCAUAUCUCUUGCUCGAGGUUCUACCUCAUUCCUUGCUGCUAGUGCUAGAUAGAUUCUUUUAUUUGAGGAUCGCAUUCCUUUCCUCUUGCUCGAUCUAGUUGCAGGGUCUAGAUCGCAUUCAUUCACUAAAGUUUGCUUUUUCUACUCACUUCUAUGUGUUCAUCUAUUGACCUGGCCCGAUGCAAUAUUGAGUAGGGCUUUCAUAGGUGAACUUUCCGAACUAGCUUUCCAAGUUGUUUCGUUAUCUUGUGAUGUGCCGGAUCUCUCUUGAAUAGCUCGGUUUCUUGCCUUCCGGUUUCGGUUCUAAGUUGCUGCCCAUUCAUUUCCUACGAAUAAGGAGAUAUGUAAAGCCAGUCAUUCUAUGAAAGAGAACUUGAACUUCCAUGAGGCAAGUAGUUUAUCGAAGGUAUGGAGAAGGGCUUCACUCGCGCCUUGGGGACUGAACUAGAGUACAAAACUAUCACUAUCUUCACUAGAGUAGAGAACUCGCUUCCUCCUUCCUUCUUUUCCAUUCCUAACCUGACUAUUCCAGCUUACUAGUUACCAGCGUGUACAAUUUCCAGCCCUACGAACACUGAAAGAGAAGGCAUAGAAUCGAUUCUUUGUUGGAUCCACUCGGAGGUUCCUUCUGACCUUAUGUGAACACACAAAAGCUAGCGGCGCACUUUCUUGUCAACCUACCGAACCUCUCCUCUGCUCUGAACCGCAUCACCAAAAGUACGGAUAUCCGGAUCUGGUUCCAUACUGGACUGGCUAUAUGAACUCCUCUUAGACAAACAAGGAACUAAACUAUGAUACGUAAGAACCUUAGCCGCCUUACCAACACGCAAGUAAUAUAACUAUAGGUUUAUUAUCUUUGAAACUGGGGAGCCCAUCAUCAUAUUCAAAGAAGGAUGCUUCCCACCUGGCACUACGGAACUAUUGUAUUGAGGAACGGGCCAAUGUCAUAAAAUGCAAUUCCUGCCUAGAAAUGGACUAGACUACGUACGAACUUGGAACCCAGUGGCAGGACAGCUAGAAAAGUCCAAUGGUUCGAAUCCCUGUUCUCGGGGCAAGGCAUCUAUUCUUGAGCUCUUAUGUGAGAAGGGUUUUUCUUAUUGAUACCCACAAGAUGACUCCACUUGUUAUGAAAGUCCUCUUUUUAAAGCGAGAUCACUAUAAGGAUAAGGAUAAGGCCGGCGGGCCCUCCCAAGGGUGGGUGGGACCGACACAAGCGAUAACACUUCGCCCUUGGAUUCGUUUCGCAAAGGGAGACAUCUUGGCUAAACACUGACACAAUCUACAAAUACCACUUCCAAUACAAUUUGUAGAAACUCCGACUCCCGUUCAGAAAGAAAUGGGACUUCCCCGAGAGGGGAUUCACUACUUGAUGAUGGCCGAGCCAACUCAUUAAUGAGAGAACUCGGACAAUUAAAGAAAUCAGACAAAGAAUAUAGUUAUUAGUUCUAAAAGUCCAAUUUUCUCCUUUCUACUUUUCUAAAACCUAAACAAAGAGGCGUUAGCCCUGUGCUCCUAUUGUUGAAGCAGCAAUUCCCAAUCUACAGAAAGCCCGUGCCCCAAUCCAGAACAGGAACAGACAAGACAGCGCUAGCGAGGAAUAGCUUUUCAGGCACUAUCCAACAGAUCAGAUCGAUUGGCUUUCAGGAAGGAUAUGUCUCCAGCUCUACGGCACUCUUCACUCGUUGUGGAGCGGGCAGUCUACCUCCUAUAUCGCUCGUUUUCUAGUUGGUAGUGACUCGAGGUGCUGGAUGCGUGUUCAAUGCAGCUCUAUUGUCCCCUUGUCGGUAGUGGCCAUUGAUUGAGCUUCUGCAGUUGGUGGGCGUGGAAAUUCUUCUUUUUCAGUGGAAGUUUCAUAGCUAGCGAGACUAGAAGCAAAGAGCACAGUGCUAGAGCCAACAGGCAUUAAGGAAAAGAGUGCUAUAAGAGCGAAAGUCAAGCACAGUGCGAAGGAAUGCAUUUUCUUUUUAGAAGGGUAGAGAGUGGGGGAGGAAUGAUUCUCUGAAAAAGGGUAGGGUCCAGUUAGCUCGGAAGGUUUGACCCGGUAUAUUUCCCGGAAAUAUUUAGAGAGAAGACUCCAUUCAAAAAAUGCAUCCUUGGUCCUACUCGGGCCGGUCUUAUUCAAUUAAACCGAGAAGGGCAGGCAGGUGACGCAAGUGUAAGGUGUGACCCUCGAUCUGUCUGUGAACCGGAAAGGAGGUAUGGUACUCGAAAUCAACUUGUUACUCUGCCUUCCUAUCAACAGGAAAUGGCUUGCAUGGAUCCAAAAAUAAAACGAAUACCAACAACGUUGCAAUGGGGAAGGGCGUAGCUGGUGUAAAACUAAAGCUAUAUCUUUUCUUCUUUGCUUGUAACAAACAGAGCUAUCUAAAGCUUGAAAGUAAGCAACAGAGCUAUCUAUUCCAACGUAUUGGUCCAACUCCACAGUUCCUCUCAUCUUUCUUGUCGGAGAAAGCCUGUCUUCUGAGACAUCCAUUAAUCAAAUUUGAUCAGUAACAAAAAUCGUAUGUAAUGAAAGAAGAGUCAGCCCUUGGGGUGGAGCACGAGGGGGUCCCCUGUAUGCAGGUCGCUACUUAACUUGACAAGCAGUGUUGCUGUGUAAGAUAUUGUGUGGGUGCCAACUCCCGGUUCGCGAUCUCUUCUUUCCUUUCCCAACCUAACUAAAAAUAAAGAAAUGCAAAAACUACUAAUUCUAGACCAGAAGAUCUUCUCAUGUUGGAUAUCAGAAAUAAAAUGGGUGAUCUUUCGGGAGGGAGUGCCAGUAGCACCAGUUCAUCGUCUUUUUUGUCUUGCAAUUCUAGUCUACACUCUCAUAGUCCUUCUUCUUCAGAAGGAUUCAUUUCUUUUGGGACUCCCUCGUCCUCUUCCUCUAUCAAUCAACCAUCGCCAUUAGCAUCCUCUUCCUCUGUCAAUCAACCCUCGCCAUUAGCAUCCUUUUCUGUGAACCAGCCAUCCCCUUCUUCCGUGAAAGGAGUAUUCUUAACGGACAGUGGUACUCCCUCUUCCUCUUCAUCCGUAAAUCGGCCAUCCCCAAACCCGACCGAUGAAAGGGUCGUAGAAUAUCAAGGGGCUAUAUGCGAGGAAAUGGCCAAAUUAAUGCCCGGCAGGGAUCACCAAGAGAUUCUAGUUGCAGCCGAACGAAUACAUGGGGGGAGUGCUAAUAUAGGAUUUCUUCGAUCACAGCUCCGGGAUUUAGUAGCAAAUGGCACUGAAAGUGAAGCCUUCAAGUACGGAAUGGCUGAGCUAGCGAAUGAGAAUUUAGCGGCAAAUUUCGCUGUGAUGCAUUUAGCGGAGAGUCCUUUGGAUCAAUUUGGCAUUCACCCUCUCGCUCUCGCUCUCGGUCUCGGUUUGUUCCUAUUUCUAGUUUUUAUUUUUCUUGCGCUGCGCGAAGUAUGGAAAAACAGGACGAGAGCAGCAUAAUCGUUAGUUAGGGGUAAGAGGGGAAUCUUAUGUCCAUAUUAUCUAAAAAAAUAUAUGAGUGUUAAGCUUGUCCGCGUUGUUAUUUGUUGUUUAUGUGAGGCUGCAUGCGCUUGUUAUUUGUUGUUUAUGUGAGGCUGCAUGCGAAUGAUUAACUCGUGUCUUUAUGUUGUCAGCCAUGUGAGAAGGCUAAUAAAUUAUCUCUUUUCUUUCAUCAGGGUCCGGGAAAAAGGAAGUAAGACCCUCGAGACGAGAACUACAUAUGGUCUGAUACUGACUUCCUUGAAAAGAGGAAGACAAGUUAUGUAGGCAGUAGCCGUUCCAAAAAUGCAGCGGUACCACAAGUGCUCAUUCAUUGGUCCAACCUAGAAGCUACUUGGGAAGACUAUGAAUUGAUUGCAAGUAAGUAUCAUGGACAAGGAGGAUUUUUAGGAGAAAGGAGAUCCUCUCUCAACCCAAUAGAUGCAAUGUAGGAAGACUAGUUUAGUCCAUGGGUGUAACACCAUAAGAUGGGAUUGAUGGUAAUCUAUCAUAAAUUGUUUCCCUUUUUGUCUAGAUGACGUCCCCACGGUGUCUAUAAUUUAUGUCAACCAAUAAGAAAUACCCGAAAGAAGAUGCAUAGGCCUUCAAUCAUGGUGCAAUGAAUAUCGUAGAUAGAGUGAUGGAAGAAGUUCGAUCUCAUAUAGCUAGCUGGAGUCUUUCUUUUCAAAUCAAAGUGAAACGAUUUUCCUUUUACGUUGAGAUAUUUGAAUUGGAUUUUCUUUCACCACUACUAUCGUAACGCACAGAAAACACUGACGUUUCCGCUCGCUUUCAACCACUGCCACUUUACCUGAGCACUGUGACACAGUCGGUCAAGUAUUGAGGCUAGUAUAUCAAGGACUUAUGAGAACUGAAAAGAAAAAAACUAGGCAAAGAAAUUCUCAAAGUUCAUUGAGUUAAGGGAGGACGGACCAUUCGUGGCGGGUUCGUGGAAGAGUUGGGUUCGAUUCCCUUUAUACGCGAUGUGGCGAAAAAGACUGAUUCAACGAAAUAUGCCUGCAUUAAGAUUUAAAACGUGCCGUCUACUUCCAGGAAAUGUUCGGAACAGAGAACUUUCUCUAAUCCAACGCCGCAUUCUCUGAAGAUUGAGGAACAAGAGGAGAUCCAUUAAAAGAAAUCUUUCUCAGAGAGAAAAUCUAAACAGUAACAUCAAAUCACAAACUACACGAAAGUUGUCCCUUUAUUAUGGGGAUUUACCCAUAAGGGAGAUGCACAAAGGAAGAGAACGAACUUCAUAUAUCCCUUUUUUUACUCAAUCAAGAAACAAGAUCGGACGUGAUUUCGGUUCGUCUCCGUUUUAGUGACACUCUUCCUCAAGCAAGGCAGCUGAUAAGUCAUCGAAGGGUUUGUUUGAAUAAUGGACUGGUAACCAUUACUCAUUUUAAAGUUUCCCAUGGUGAUCUAAUAUCUUUUAAAGAAAAUGACGCGAGAACCCGCGGUGAAGAAAUAAGGAGAUCUUUCUAUAUCGACAUAUCAGUUGGAAAAAUCAUAGGCAAAUUCCUACCGGUCAGAAUCUGGAGAAGAACAAAAACAGAAUGGUUCCGCUUACUCACAACUCAGAGGGGAUGCCGCUUACUACUAAAAUCCGGGUUUUUGCAAGAGUUGUGUUCUUAUAUGCAAGAAGAAGACUUAGAAAGAACAAAGAAGUUUGGAUCCGCAAAAGUAUGCUUAGGCAGUUCCUUCGCUGAGCACAACAGAAUGAAGAGGAAUUUGUUUCAUUUCAAAUACUUCUUCUUAUGGAAAAGAAGGAAGGAGGAAGAGGAAGGGGUAGAGGAGAUCCUCAAAGUUAUCGAGCAAAACGAAAACCGAAAAAGAGCAAUAAGCCCUUUUGUUUACACAAACAAAUUAUAUAGAAAUUCGACCUAUUGCUCCGGAUCCCCGUUUACUAUUACUAGGAAGAUAAGAAUCAAAAGGAUCGAACUACCUACUCAUUAUUCAGAGGUGAAUCAUAGAACACUAAAAGCUGUGGUAUCUUAUGGACCUAACAUAGGUCACAUCCCUCACGACAUAAGAUUGAAAGAUCCAAACCUUCCUCUUCGGAGCGGAAACGGACCUGGCCAAAACAUAUAAAAAAAGAUCGGCCUAGUCGCUCAUAGGGACAUAUCUAUCCGGAUAGAGGAGAGGAUAGUCUAGAUCAAUUUUUAGAAAAAUCUCUCUAUAUAUAGAAUAGAUAGGUAUCUCUGUGGAUAGAGAUAAAGAUAGGGAUCCCUCGAAAUAUAUGGAAAAAGUGCACUUUUUGACUACUACUACUAUUUCUUAUUCUUAGACGAAACAUCGUUUUUUCGAUUUUGACUGAAUUGGUCGGAGCGUAGACGAGCGAGCAGAGCCCAGGAAAGAGGUCAGAUCGUCAUUGAGUAGUCGACUAUAAGUAUAAGACUGCUGGCCUGAGAGAAGGCAGUCUCUCUCGGGAAACAUGGCCCAGGGUUCUAUAGUAUAGUAUAGUAUAGUAUAGUAGCCAGACUAUAGGAAAAUCAAGUCUCAUGUUGCUCCUCAGAAAACGCGUAUAGUAUAUAGUAUAUAGUAUAUAGUAUAUAGUAUAUAGUAUAUACUAUAUAGUAUAUAGUAUAUAGUAUAUAGUAGUAGUAGUAUCAUUGGCCAAAGUAAAGUCGAUGGGACAAACACUGUUCGUUAGAACUAGCAUUUUGUUUUGUCAUGGAAUCAAGUCUAUUUGUUCGAAUGUUCUUUUUUUCGUUUCGUUGGAAAAACCAACGCCGACCCCUAUCCUAUCUCAAAGUCUCCCUUUCUCUUUUGGGAGCAGAGCUGAAAAAGAUAAAUAAUUCCUAUGCCGAGGAGCCAACGCGAUGUACGAGAUUUCGAUCAGUUCUCAUUCGAAUCUUAUGAAAGGGAGCGCCUUAUCUUUAGAUUUGAUGAGGCGUCUCUCAAUUCAACCGAGACUUCUGUUAAUACAAUCGCAAGUUCUGUCAGUAUUAGAACGAUGACUAAUGGAUCUAAUACAAGUAAUGCUAAUGGUGUUCCGAUUCCGAGGGUGGGGGGUUCAACUGGGAUUUAUGAGGACCACCCAGGUCUGAACCCGACCGAUGAAAUGGUGGUGGAAUAUCAAGCCGGUAUAAGGGAGCAAAUGAGUGAAUUAAUGAGGAUGGACGGGGAGCACCCCGAAGUUGUGGCUGCCGCCAAACGUGUGCAUGGAGAAAGCGAUAAUAUCACAUUUUUGCAAGGGCAGCUCGAGGAUUUAAGGGCGCAUGGAAGAAAAGUGAAGCUUUCAAGUACGGAGUGUCGAAUGACGCGGAUCUUCCUGGAGGAGGAAACCCAGCGGGAAGCUCAAGAGGAGUUGACCUAGCGAAUGGAAAUGAGGCGGGGAGUUCCGCAGGAGUUGACCUGAUGAAUGUGGAUGAUGCUGCAGGUUUUGCAGCAGAGAGCCCCCUGGAUCAAUUUGGAAUUCACCCAAUUCUGGAUCUGAAUAUUGGUGAGUACUAUGUCUCUCAUUCACAAAUCUAUCCUUGUCUAUGCUACUCACUCUCGGUUUGGUCCUACUUCUGGUGCUGCCAAUGCUUCUUCGUUCAUUAGAAUGUCGAUUCCUCACAAUCGCUCUUUGUGAUGCUGCGGAACCAUGGCAAUUAGGAUCUCAAGACGCAGCAACACCUAUGAUGCAAGGAAUCAUUGACUUACAUCACGAUAUCUUUUUCUUCCUCAUUCUGAUUUUGGUUUUCGUAUCACGGAUGUUGGUUCGCGCUUUAUGGUCGCGUUGCCCAGUUUGGGCUGCUCGCGUUUUCACUCUGUUGAGUGUAACAACAGCACUUUUUUAUUAUUCUUCUUUGAUGACCACAGCGGAAUGGGUAAUGAACCUGAUCAGAAUGCGGGGGGGAUCCACUGCGGGCAACCCCGAUGGAACCUCUAGCCCGUCCUCGUCGUUUUUCCAGGGGCUUUCUCGGGAGAUACCCGGGGCACCUGUGGAACCUAGGCAAGAGGUGCAGCAGCCGGAAAUGGCUUUAGCGGUGCCUAAUCCAUCAAUUCAGCCAACUGAUCGGGGAGAGCCGUCGAGUGCUCCGCUUGGGCCGGACCAGCCAGAGGACAGCAGUGCACCUUCAAGGCCGCUUACCGAGCAAGAUAUCAGGACUAUGGAACAGUUAUUCGAUAUUGAAGAAGAAUUGAAACCAAUCAUUAUUGGUUUUUACAAUGAAUUGGGGUCGAAGAAAGUGGGCGAGUUGCGCCCACUUGGUGGAUGAUUUAACUGAGCGCCACGGGGCGGAAAAGAUGCCCGAAAUCUUACAAAGUUUUAGGGACCCUAUUUCACUUAAAUUUAUAAGGAUUUCCGGGACCUCCGGGCUUCUAAAGGGACGGAAGCUAAUCUCGAGAGAGAGGAGAUGGGAAUGGACACCUCAGAGGUCCUAGACGGAGAUAGGACUUGAAGGCGGAAAGUAUGGAAAAACAUCUUGUAAUGUAUUUAACCAGAAAACGCCUUUCGUUUUCCCUCCUUCCCUAGCCGCCUUCCUUAACAAGCCCUCGAGCCGUACAUUUUAGAAGAGGCGGUUCGUUCCUAUCUGGACAAAGGAAUGGAUAAUCUUUCUAUUCUCCGGGCAGCUUAUCAAGAUCUGCGGGAGAAUGGGGAAGGAUCCAUCUUCUUUUUGGAGGUGGUUUCGCACAACCAGGAUUACCUGGAUGCAUAGACCACUUCCAGGAGGUGCCAUGAAUUGGCGCAAAGGAUCCGAUGGGAUGGAAUCACCCACAGCCGUGCUCAGCUCGAAAGGGCUGAGUAUGAGCAUGCGCUACUAUUGUUUCAAUAUGAAGAUCUCAAAAGGGGGCGGGGGCAUAUUUAAGCAUUCCUAUUUUAGUUUAGCGGCAAGCGCCUUUAUGUGACCUAACAGGACUUUUGAAUUAACUCAGUGAUUUUGCAGGCAGACGGAGGAGAGGAAAUGAAAGCAGAAGAAGUUAUCGAAACACAUGUUCAAUCUUUUUUUAGCGGUUUCCCCAGAGAUCUUUCUCAUUAACGCAACCUUCAUUUUGCUCAUUCAUGGAGUUGUAUUUAGUACCUCUAAGAAAGAUGAUUAUCCACUGUUAGUUAGUAAUGUGGGUUGGCUUGGAUUACUUAGUGUUGCGCGCCUAGGAGGGCAGCGCGCUUGGGAUGCGGAGGAGCUAUUAUCGCCCAGCUCCCUAACCUAAUGCGGCCGGACCGCAGGGAACCUUAGCAUGGGGGGACGUCCUAAUCCUUUUGCCGCUGUAAGGCUGGCUAAUCGUACGCAGCAGGAGCAAGGGAACUCCCCUGGUUCAGGAAGGCACAUGAGUCCGAACGCUAUUAUGAAUGUGCGACCGACACUACACUACGUAGGUACCUAUGCAUGCAGGUGAGGCGUCGGUCGGUCCUAAAAACGGCGGCAGCUAGCGAGGAGUUAACGACCGGACGUGCUGCAACCUAGGGAUCACCAGGCAGCUCUUUCGCUCUAUAGGGAUAUCGGGGGGGGCGUAGCACAAUUCUUCUUGGAGGAGGGUUGGUUUGCCCAGGUGACUGAUCCUGCAUAAUAUACUCCCGCCAAUUCUAUUGCACCGGCAACCGAAGUCGAACAUACAUAUGACGAUCUUCAUGCGUGAAGGGACGGGAGGAAAGAAAGGGCGGUAGAUGAUAAUGCGAAAGGGCACCGCGUCUGGGCGGGCGGGCUUGAUAGUAAAGCCAAAGAAAGAUGCCCCAAGACAAGGUACAACUGUUGGGAAGGGGACAUGAUCAAUAGAACCCGGCUGGAUCCGGGCUGGGAUAGUGGCGCCCAUUCCUAACCAGUUCAUAAAAGGUUCGCUCAUGCUGGAGGUACUAACCACUUAGUGAUCGGUCCGCUAGUUCACGCAAAUCCGAAGAAGUUAUCACGGACGAGCCACAUGCAGGGAAACUUGCACGUGUGGUUCUGGCCGGGCUUUCCUUCGGUAUCUAAUAACCUUGCUUCUGCUCGCCGCUGGCGCACCUCUCCUAACUAUUGCCCAUUUAUUCUGGAAUAAUUUUUUUAGGAGGGACAAUUUUACAUAUUUCUGCCAAAUCCUUCUAUUAUUAAGUACGGCUGGUACCAUUUCGAUGUGUUUCGAUUCUUUCGAAAAAGAGAGGUUUGAUGCUUUUGAAUUCAUUGUAUUAAUUCCACUUCCUACUCGCAGUAUGCUCUUAAUGAUCCCGGCUCAUGAUUUAAUUGCCAUGUAUUUAGCUAUUGAGCUUCAAAGUUUAUGUUUUUAUGUGAUCGCAGCAUCAAAAAGAAAGUCUGAAUUUUCCACAGAAGCCAGCUCAAAAUAUUUGAUCUUAGGUGCAUUUCCCUCUGGAAUAUUAUUGUUCGGGUGCGACCGGACUACUACCGAUCAAUUUUUGGAAACUUCUUUAUAGACUUGUAGAGACCCUCUAUGUAGUUGUAAUUCUUGGGCAAUCACUCUACUUUCCCCAUAGCCCUAAGGCUGUGUCUCGAUCUCCUACGUGCGAAAGAUAAGAUACGGGAGACGGGGUCCUAUGGUAUGGGUCUUCAACCCUUGGUCUAAUUCCACGACGGAGAGUCGGCGUGGCGUAAAGUGAAGAUUGGGGGGAAUAGAGCGAAAUCCCCGUCUGGGGUAUUCCGAAGGUGUAACCUAGGCAACGAAAAAGGGGCCCGAUACUUCAACUAAAGGAGCGACAUGUUGGUUCACCAAACCCCGACCCAGUGUCACACGUUCUCCAGGUCCGAAGGGAUCCAGUGCCCAACUACCGACUCCUCCCGGAAUUGCGUUAUCGGAGCGGAGCCAGGAAUAGCCGUUAGUGGACACCUACCACUUUUCACCGGUUAGAGAGGCCCUCUUUAAUACAUUAAGAAAAUAUGUUCACAGGGGCCAGAAAGACUCGGUCAUAGGAACUUCAACCACCUACGCGCUGGUAAACGAAAACCACCUCGACCGGAUCUACCGAACGAAGAAGGCCGCCCGAAUUAACACGCCAAAAGGGCCACCAGCUUUCCCCAAAAAAAGGGGAGAUCCGCUGCUUACUGCUCACGGAAACAUCCGACCUUAUCGUCAAGUCGUCUACCUAUCUUUCUGAUCUCAUUCGUUUUCCGAUCGCAUAAAAAGAUCAAAAAAGAAAUGUGAAAAUGUAGUUACAGAUGUGAAAAAAGUAAAUAUCUCUCUGUCUGUGUUCUUAAAUCAUUCAUUGGAUGAUGUGUGUUUCAUCAAGUAUGAACUUCUUUCUUUUUUUCUAUGCAAUUUAAGUACCGGAUCGACAUCCAUUUAUUUCAGUGCCCUCAUCCGCUCCGCGUGUAUGUCUGUGUUAGAUAGGCUCUGGAAGGCCUUACUUUACUAAUACUAACAGGUAGGGCGCGUUACUUUUUUUCUUUUUUUGCGCAUGUUUAGAUUAUUUACUUGCCCUUUCACUUUUUCUUCGGCUGUCACCAACUUUGUUCAAUGCUAGUCCCUAACCCAUGAAUAAGGGCUCCGCUGGCUACCGGGUUCAGAGAAGUUUGUAAGCUCUUUCUCUUUUUUUGUUUUUCGCCACCUCCUGUGUCUUUCCGUUUAAGGUCUUUAAUUCGAUUCGGCAUUAGCUUCAUUAGAGAAAGCCAUGCGUGAACUACAAAGCACGGGAUCCUGAACACCACGAAAGAAAGCGUACUACUUUUCAAUAAGGUCCGCCUUACUUUUCAGAGAGGAGAGACAUGAACUUGUUUUAGGUGUAGAAAAGGUAUGAAAGAUUUCUUGAAAAGAGGUAGGGACUGGUCUCGCUGCUAAGGGAGAAGGAGACCUCUGUCGGAGCAAGCUAAAGAACCCACUUUAGAUCGUCGAUUUCAGGUAAGGCACUCGAUCAAGCCUAUACAUCCGGGAAUUUCGCUCCAAACCAAAGACGACUUGCUUUGCUGCAUUUCUGGCUUUACUUUAUUUUUUGGCGAAAGAAAGGCCAUAUGAUCUACUUUCUGGUGCCGGUCCCUUCAAAAAGAUAGCCCCUUCUUGCUCUUAUUCUUAUUCGGUGGAAUACAAUAGUUCUGAAGCUCCUUUCUUUCAAUUGAAAGUUGCCUAUCUUUGCUUUGGAAUCCAAUCCAGUUGAAAACAAACAAUUGCCCGAUGUAAAAGUCAGAUGAAAGGCAAGGAGUGUAAACCACGUACGAGCGAGCGCAGAAAGCGAAAUGUUUUGCAGCGAGUCAAGCGUAAUACGAUCAAAAGGAAAUGGGGUCAAUGCUAAAACUCAAACAGUUCCGCAGAGGGUUGAAAGAGCGAGCUACAUUCUUUCAUAGAAGACAGAAAAAAGAGGAUUGAUGCUUUCUUACUUCAUCUUAAUAUAGGGAUGCUUUAUGUAGCUUCCAAUAAAUAGGAAACAGACCCAUGGGGCACUCAGUGACGUAUCUAAACCGUCUAUCCAGUACUGGCUUUUCACACUCGGGAAUAGAAACUGUCGGCACUUGAAGAUGAACGAAGCGAAAUUACCCCCCCAAAAAGCCCUUAGACCCACCUUGGUGGGGACUGACUGCUCUCCCCUACGAAAGUAGCAUCGCGAUGCAGAGAUCAACAACACAUAUUCACAUACCAUGCUUAUCUAUUGAUGUCGCAGAUCAGCGGCAACUCCCAUACUAAGUAUGAUGUCGCAUAUCGGUUGUCUAACUAGAAGGGUGGAACCUUUUCUUUUUAACUAGUCUUAAAGUGGAUGUCGCAGCCUUGAGUUCUUUUUAUUGAAUUCGCGAGAUUGAAAAUUAGGAUUGAAUGAAUAACCUGGAGAUAUAUUCCUUUUCUCAAAUAGUUCUUUAAGGGGCCUCUCUCUAUCCUUGGCUUAUUCAAUAGAGCUUUCCUUCUUUUCAUUAUUCGAUACUGCUGUGAGAUACUACGAGAGCUCGUAGGCAAUAUGAGAUAGAGCUGACUAAGAGAAAGAACUAAGCGGAUCUUGCAGCUGUUUUCAUUCCUUUAUUUAGGUCUUGAACCUAUUAAGUAUAAGUAGAAGACAAAGCACUGAUCUGAUGGAUCAAAUGCUUUCACUACUCGAUCAAGGGCUUCCCAAAAGUCCUAUUUACUAACUUCUCUUCGUUCCAGAUUUCCGAAUCGUUUUUUAGUCAUGUUAGCACCACGCUUCGCUUUCCGAUAUCUGGUAUUAUGGCUUUGCGCAGACUGACCACUACCUGUACCGGUCACAGCCCAAUCGAGGGCAUACUUUCUAAUCUUUCUUUCGGCAAUUCAUCUUGCACUGCGUAUUUGGAUCCGAUCCCUCCCUUAUUUUAGCCAACAUCCUAUUAAGAUUAAGAUCUGCAAUUUGCAAAUAUGAGAAAAGUGGACGCUGUACUUGUCUGAAAGCGGAAACUAAGAUGAAGUGCUUAUUCUCAUUACUGCUUACUAUCCUUACUUUACUUUACUUUACUUAACUUAACUUUACUUAACAUACGCGUUUUCGUUAUGGACAAGCUCUCCUUCUAUGCGCAUCGAUCGACCGACGUAGGGAUUUGCAUGGGGCGUUGCGCGUCGCGUCGGAGAUUGUCAGACAAUAAACGUUUCAAUGGGUGUAGGUACAGGGGGAGGGGGUGUGGCGUACGCCACUUACUUUCUGGUGUGCAGGAUGCACUUCCCACAUGAUUGUACAGUAGGCGUUGGAGCCCUCAUCUUUAGGUACAUGGAGGUGAUCACAUAUGCGGAGCAGCUUCCUUCGAGAUGCCUUUGACCCGGGACCUACGCACAAGAGCGUUAACAUCAAGGACGAAAGGAUUCCCAUGCAUGAUGCGUACAACUCUAAUCGCGAAGCGAAGUAAAAAAACAAACCGAUGAAAGGAGAGAAUGCGGGAGACAGAAUGAUGUCGGGCCAGCACAAGAAGUCAGACUAAACAACCCAUUCGACGCGUCGGGGGUACUCGACCACCGGGAGAUAGGGAUUUAGUGACUUACCAACCAACCAGACAUUGAGGGCAAGACAUACCAUACAAAUCACGGCUUCGGCUGCUGUAGUCCUCUAGCCGAGCCAAGCCACUACUAGCGUGUGUGUAAUUCAUGGCAGUUCACUAUUUUUUUUUGUUAUGGAGCUAUUCUCUUUCUUUUAUUUUUAUAUAGUAUAGAGAGCGGUAAGUUAGCGUUGUUCUAAGGAUAAGGAAAAGGAAAAGGAAGUGGUAGCUGUUCCAGUACACAAAGAAGGGAGAUUUGUGUAACCCGAGCUCUUUGAUCAAGACGGUGUGGCCAAAGUCAAUCCUUUGAGAAAAAAGUCAUUGAUUUUCGUUGGCUAUAGUGAUCAGCACAAGGGGUACUGCUGUUAUGAUCCCCGCACGUCUCAAGACAUGUCACAUUUGAUGAAACACGAUUUGCCUCGCUACCCCAUGCGCCUCUUCUCGGGGAGAGAUACACACACGCGCGAUGACUGCUUUGCCACCGCCCACUCUAUGUGCUUCGAUUAGCGUUCCGACGCCUGGCAUGGCAGUGCACACGGCUCAUAUUCGAUUGACCACGCUCACAUCCGCUUCAGACAUAAAGGACCAUUGAGGUCCGGCCCUAUCGUACUGGAAGUCCCAUGCUUUUCGUUUUUCUUCUCGUGCGUUAGAAUUGAAACCUAAGCUAAUUAAGCUACUAUCUCUGGCUCUGGAGAAUGGUAUCUGUUCAUUUCUGCCUGUCCAUAAGCGUAUAUAGGAUGAAGUCUAAACGAAUCAACGAAAAUUACGGUUAAGGCAUUUGAGAAUAUUAGCAUUGGGCACUCUAACUCAAAGGAAGAAGCCGAAGCCAGUCCAGUAGCUCGAACUCUGAUUAUCUACGAAAAAGAUGGCAUUCUCCCUUAAUCUGCCUUGUUUUGAGAAGCGGGGAGGUAGUUUUGUCAAGCUCGUUAAACGCAACGACAGUCAAGGCUAGGAAGAUUUCCCAGGCCAGCCAACAAAGUGGGAUAUUCUUUGGAAGAAAGCCUGUAUUGUUUGACAAGAUCUUUAGGUCGGUCUCAACACGUUGGCAUCUUCUAUUCCUGACUCAUUGGGGAUAAUAUGCCUUUUGCUUGUCAGAAGUAGACCGACGAUACAGACUAAAGUAAGUCAGAUCUCCAAAUAUUUCAUCAUACUCAAUCCUGAAAGAACAAGCAAGGGAUGAGCGCACGCUGGUAGUAGAAGGAAGCGGAGAUGGAGGCAGCUAGGCAUCAGUUUGAGUUCGAGAUCGAGACCAGCUUCAGCCACUAUUGCUAGGACGGGCUUACUUAGACUGAGAACAGAGAUUCUUUUCUCUGCUAUGCUACUUUCCUCUUUCUUCCCUGAGGGCAUUCCUUUCCUGAACAUAGAGCCAAACAGUCUUGCCCGGAACCCCCGAUUCCUUCCCUUCUUGAAGAAAACGAUACCGAGAAGGCAAUAGCACUUGAAAAAAUGAAAAUACCGUCAGAAAAUAUUCUAUUGCUAUUCGGGAGAACACAGGCUUUGAAUACUGCCCGGCCAUGCUACUCUGUUUUGGUUGAAGUACCUUCUGACACUACUGAUUCCAUCUUUAUAUCGUUCGAGCUAGCCCCAUGACUUCUUGGUCGAGCACAGCUCUUGUUCGAUUUAUCUUUCUUUGAUCGAGCGCAGCGAGAAGCAAGUCUGGCGAACCUUGUGCUAAAAUUCCUUCUUUUCUUUCUUUCUUGGUUUUGGAUCGGUUUGUUAAAGGUGGGAAAGGUUUGUUUACAAAGGCAUGACUCAACUGCUGCAAACUUAUCAGGAUUGUACCUACCGUGAAAUUCGUGCCGCCUGGCAGUCUUGCAUGUAAAAGGUAGUGGUGGUUAUAUAUCAGGCGGGAAGCGCCAAGCCUAUCAAGUGGGAAAGACCCCUAACCUACCACCAACUUACCUUCCAACCAAGCAAGCCCUUCGAUCCCGCGCUGCUGCUGGGUAUAUAAUCUCGGUCCUCCCCUUACUUUGAAGCCUACAGCUCCACAAUUCGUUUUCCUGUAAUUAAUGGCAGGAAUCCAAAAGAUACUAUUUUUUUCUUUUUCUUGUCUUUUUUCUGCUUUUUCAUGGCAUCGAAGCUACGCGAGGGAAUGCGAUGCUGCCCACUCUGCCGCAAAAGGGGGCGGCUUUCUUCUUCCCCAAAAUGACAGUUCCACCAUCACAGCAUGCAACAAAAUUAUGUGGAGAGGCUGCACAGCAAAGCGCCUUGUGCCAUCCGGCGCUAAUCUUCUACAUCACUAGGUUAGCGGGACCUGAAGAAAGACUAAGUCCGUCUGUCGAAAGCUCAGUUGUUGGUUUGGUGAUACUAGUGCUUUCUAGUGUUUGAGUUGUUCAGGAGUUGUUAUAAGUCAGAUUACCUCAUUGUAACGCAGGUGUCCCCUGCUUUCCUUAUUUCCUUUUUUAUUGUAUGAACUUUGGCUUUCUUAAUAAAGCUCGGCGUCUAUCCUGAGUGUGAGCAUUCAUAGUUGUGAACUUGUGAUACUAUUGUUUAACUUGCUGCAAAGACUACUUUUACUUGCAAUUGGUUCAUAAAAUGGUCUGGUGCUUUAGGAGGUCUGCUCCCACAAUUACUUAUACUUAAGAUCUAGUGCUGUUCUAAAGUCUAAACCAAGGAGCAAAUGAUAUCUGUAGUUAGCAGUUCGUGCGGCUCAUUCACCUUGGAUGGAUCGGCUGGUCCUGGCAUUCUUUUGACACUGGACACUCAAGGAGGUGCUUGCCUACUAAGAACUAGUCCCACUGUCUAUUACUCGGGUGCUGAGGCAACUAAUAAGAAAGAAGCUUGGGGAGGAAUCCAUUAGCUAUCUUCACUAGAUGGACACAGAUGGCGCAGAUUUAGGCAAGGAUUUUUUGAGAAUGAUUAUUAGCCUUCUUAGAAUAUCCGCCUAUAUUAAUAAAGAGUUUGAGAUUGACCACCCACAAGACAAGAGUUUGACCACGGGGUAAGGUUACCAUUCCCAAAGAAAAGACCAGUUACGGACUCUACAACAUAAAAAAAGAGGACUGAAUCGGCGAUCCUUCGAAUAGUUUACUCGACCUUCAAUUCAAAGUCUUGUUCAUCGCCAAGUAGGCUUCCUGAAAGGCGAACAGGGCAAGCAAAGUAAAGAAGUUAGUACUUCGCUACUGGACAAGGCUAUUAUUACAAGUCCAAAAAAUACGUUACUCACUGGAGCGAUGAUUGAUUCAAAUUUGCCUAAAGAUCGUGGAUUUACAUAGGCGGCUCACAAGGGAAAAACAAGGUUAAAUGCCCCAGGGAUUACAACCAAAGUUUCAGGUGUGAUCUUACAACCCCUACUAAAGCAAUAGGACUCUAUUUCCAACUGAUGAACUGUGUAGUGGAACUACGGGAACUAGUAAGCCUAUAAGUGAGAGUGAUUCUUUCCCCAAAAUUCAAUAAGCUAUAAAACUUCCUUGGUUCCAAUCCAAUUCAUGAUAAAAGGAAUAUCAUAUCAUAUCAUAUAUAGUAAAGCAACAAUAAUGAAACGUGUGCGUUAUAGUAUAGUAUAGUAAAGGCAAAUUCCUUUGCCAACGCCUACGUCUUGCUUUCAGUAUCAUAUAUUCAGUAGACUAGACUUUUCUAUGUGAAUUCAAAGAAUAUCCUAUCUAAUAAUGAUUUCACUCUAGAUGAAGGCUAUUCCUCCUGUUAUAGCUGAAGCAAAGCAACCGUGUCAAGUUUUAUUGUCCCGCUAUUUCAGCGGAGCCUAUCCCUCCUAAUGUGUUACAUCCUGGCCAUCUUUUGCUAUCCAAAAUCCUGGCUGAGGUAGGUACAGUGUCUGUUCGGCUCGGCAAUCCAAGAUUAGCAGAAGUAAUAGGUGGGGCUUAUAUUAUAGUAAAGAAAAACUACUUGAAUAAGCGCUCAGCCAAAGAGGUUGGCAGAGAGAAAAGGAAAGUAAAUGGGAUGUUCAAGUAGGUAGCGAGUUCAUCACCGGGGAUGUCUGUACUAAAGCAAGCAAAGACCUAGUCUGCUUUGAAUUAAGCAUUUCAUUGUGGAAUUCGCCUAACUUUCAAUCUAGAAACUAGUGAAAAGCUAGCCGACUAUUUCAAACGAGUAAAGAUAAGCAGCAAAGCCAGGAAAUACAGUAAGCGAGGAGGAGUAUUCAUGUCUCUUUCUCCCACCAACGUAAUACCCGACAACGCGUAGUCAAGUUCACUUUCUCAUAGCCUAUUUGUUCACACCAGAUCUCGACCGAGUGAAUGAGAAGGAGUUUCAUCACGCUCGCCCAAAGCGGAUUUCCCCCGGUCCGCGUGCACAUUGAAUUCAUAGGGGGCUUCAAUAUCUCUUCAAUUAGCCCAUCCCAUCAAGCCCUUAUUAUUCUGAUGUCUCUCACGGAGAGUAUAGAAGUUGGUCCUUUAUUAAUUAGUAAAAGCAAGCUAUCGCACUGGGUAGCUACUCCUUGUUGGGUAGCCCCUCGGAUAUGGUAUAUUGUAGGUCUCCAGCGUUGGCGCACUUCUUCUUUCGACAGAAUCUCUCUUCUCGAGUGUAGCUGGUACUUUGAAUACUUAUUUCACCCUUGGUACUGGAUAAGAAGGCUAUGUAUGUAGUCGUACUACACCAGUGUUUAAUAACAAAUAGCAUAUCAAAUUGAUCCGCAUCUUAACUCCAAUCUUAUUAUUAUUAGUAACGUAUCCGUGUUCUUUCUUUACUGCGAACUACUUUAUCAAGUCUUGGUAAAGGAGCUACUGUGGAAGUCCCAAUCCCAAGUAGGACUCUGUGUCUUUUCUUAAAAGAAAACCAGCGGGUACAAUUCCCAAUCUAAUAGAAUAUUAUAACUCUUGUACAGUGGGGAAGGCUCAUCUCAACGGAACCCUACCCUAACCCUAACCCUAACCCUAUAGUACAGUACCCUGUGUAUAGAGUAAUGCGAAGUCACCUUGGGCAAGUACAAGCAUUCAUUCUAUCCGUAAGCUAAGGUAGUGAAAACCUUUAUUGUGUAAGCAGUCGUAAGUCGGUAGGUGUGUGAAUCGCAGUAUGCUUAACAAUGUCAGGACGAAAACUCUAAGAACCAGCCAGAGAAUAUUAAGUUAGUAAAAUAAGAGGAGUGUCCGAAGUUGCCCUCCAUUCUAGUGGAACCAUCUAAGUUGACUAUUCAAUUAGUGGGCUUCUUUCACUUGAGUUUCUUCUGUUUACGGAGAUCCUUAAUCUUGCUGUAUCAUCGUCCUGGCACAUAGCUAGUGCGGCUUCAACGUCUUCUAUUCUAAGCCGUGGGAAACUUCAGUCUGAAGCGGAGAUACCUAAAAGCGGCGUAUGGACACUUCUUCUAGCGCCGAUAGGACAACCAUAAUUUUGCAAACUGGCAACUAUCAAAUUGACCACACCUGAUCGGAAGCGCUUGCUCCACGUUCUUUCCUUUCAACAUAUCGGGGCAUAGGAGGCUGGUCAUCUCACACACUUUUCGGGAGACGGGUGCCAUGCUCUUCUUCUGUUUCAAUGCCAUGCACCACGUAGUACUGCGCGUAGCCUCUUAUUCUGUUCGUAAUUUUCUUCAAACACAGGUUCAAGGUCGAGGGCACCAUUCGGUUUUCACGUAACCAAGGUCCCGGGCUCGGUAGGAAGUGUCGGCGUCAAUGACAUAGAAUUUGACCAAGGUCGGAAAUGAACCGAAUUGCAUGGGCAGUGUAAUUGCCCCUAGAGCUUUCUGAGAGUUUUGAUUGAACCCAUGGACCCUAUAGACUUGCGCUCACUCAAUGUCAUUUGUGAUUUUCUUCAAAGGGAGAAUGUUUAUGUUUGUAGACAACCUGGAUCCACCAACUUAAGUGAAGUUAAGCUCCGUGACAUACAAGGGUUUAUUAUGAUUAGCAGAUCCGUUUAUCAGGUCCUCAUCCUCAAAGGUAAUGGUCGCUACUUGGUCGAUGUGCAUUGUUUCCAUCAUUUUUCUUUCGGGGCUUUAAAUUCCUCUGGUUUUUCUAGUGCUUGAAUGAGGACUUCUCGUAAUUCCCGCGACAAAUGAUUUUGCAUCGAAAACGCUAAGAAGUGCGGCGAGCACAUCCCUCUAUUGGCUCUUUGACCUGUUUUAUCAUCUUUUUGAAAUAAAAAAGUCCUUGCUUUGAUUCUUAGCCUCUGUAUUCGCCUUGGGCCUUUCAGGAAUGCGCCCGAUCGUGGGUUAGGUUAGUAUGACAUACAUCUUCGUUGUCUUUUUCAGGCUCCUCCCAACUUGACGAUUUCUUUGUUUCCUCUUUCGUCCUAUUCUUCUUCGUUCUCUUGGAGGUAGCUAGGAAGCUCCUCCCCCUCCCCCUGGGGUCCCCGUCUUGUUACUCCUCUUAAUCUGAGGCCCAUUUGAAUUAACACCCGAAACUCAAGUGAAAGAAGCCCGCUAACCCACUCUUCUUUCCCCCCACCUACCCGGUAGGUAAGUAGGGGCCUCGUCAUCUCUAUUUUCCUUCCCAGGAAGACGGAGAAACUUGUAACACCCCAGGUGUUACCUUGGCUAGAGCCACCUUGACAUUAGAAGCUAUUUUCACAAAGGUAGAAACUUAGGGCACCACAUGGGAACUUUGGAGCUCUUGUGCUAAUCAAGUGGCCAAUGACAUAAGAAGCAUUACCCUAAUCCUUGCACACUUGCUACCUUGGGUAAUAAGGGGAGAAGAACCCUAGGCCUCUCAAAAGCCCUACCUUUCAAAGCCCUAAGUAAGGGGGGAAAGAAAGUGAACAAGUGGGCAAAGCAUGUGUAACUUUUACCCAAACCCUAAGCAACAUUAUAACCAUCAAUUAAGGGAGGGAAAUAUUGCAAAAAGGCCCCUGGAGAAACCCCAAUUCAAAUCUCCAAGUGGAGAGAGAGCUAGAGCUCUCAAUUUUUCCCUCUAAGUCACAUUUUAGCCCUAAUUCAAAGACCAGCCGUGUUCACUUUGAAGAUGGCGCCAAAACCACUUGGGUUCUAUACCAAAAAUGUGCUAUACCACUUAAGGCACCCCCUGGAAAAAUUUGAGACCGAGACUCAGACGUUUGACAACACUUGACAUCAGUUUUGUCGCUGAGCGGGCAGGGAGACAAGCCAGAUUUGGCGCCCGUCUAUCUCCCUAUCUAGGGCGUAUCAUCCCUUGGAACUCACACAUGUGAGAUAGCCCUAGGUGCCAGGAGGAGGUCUGCGCCGGAUUCAUGGCGAGAUUCGCACGUUUGCGAUCUCUGGAAGCGUUUGAACAUUGGAAGAAACUCACUGCCACGUGUUCGACGCCUUCUGCCCACGCCAGAGCACGCUCGCGCGCGCCCUCGCACGCCCCGCGCCACGCCCGAGCCAAACCCGCGCCAUGGCCCGCGCCCGAGCUUAUAAAUCCCUCCGAGGCUUCGGCUACACCCUUCCGCACACCCUCCACACCUCACCGGAGUUAGCUCGUCGCCGUUUGCCCGUGCGCAGCGAGCCCGCGGCCGCUCAACCCCUCUGCCACCGUAGACCGGCUAGCAGAGCCAUCCCCAACCCCGUCCUACCCUCGGAGAAGCUUGUGCACACCUCUGUGAAGCUCCCCGAGCAAGGAAUCGGAGUUCCCUUCGCCGGAGAAGCCAGUCCACGCUCGCCGGAGCUCUCACCCCCGCCGGAGCACGUGGACCGGGUAAGCCACUCCACCAUCCUUCGAUUCCUUGUGCACACAGUCGUUGCGUGACCCCGUGAUGCUCACCGUGCCCUCGGAUUGCGCCAGUUCGCCGUAGUUUGGCCGGUAUACUCGCCGCCGACGAGGACACCCGCCUGCACGCGUGGACCGGGCGAUUCCGGCCACCUCCGACGCCGAGCCGUACCUCGACGUGACUGCCAGGGUCUCCCCAAGCCGACCCCACCCUUCGCCGGACCUCCCUCGCCGCCGGUAAGCCGCGCCGCCCUUUUCUUUCCCGCGGUUACUGUUUCAGUGAGGGGAAGGACUGCGGGUGAGAGGGAAGAAAGGUCAGGGGGUUUUGUGUAAUGUCAGCGACACAGGGGAAUAGUGGCGUGGGGGUAGAUUUGUGAAGGUGGAUUUAGUUUAAACCCAGGGACCUCGGUGUAAACUGUUUUUUUAGAAAACCUUAAUUAAAUCUGUUUUAAAUUGAACAGCAACUUUGAAAAUGCAUAACUUCUGUUUAAAUCAUCCAAAUUUGGUCAAACCAAUUUUGUCAGACUCAAAUUAAUGUGACCUAUUUAAGAAAAAUAUAAAACCCCUUGGUACUGUGGAAAACUUAAAAGUUCUAAUUUAAUGUUAGUUUUGGCCAAAAGCUAAAUAGUAGUAAGAAAAAUAGUUAGGCUAUUUGACUAGGGUUAGGAAAAUUUGGAGAAGUUUAUAUUUACCUACUAACCUGUUUAAAAAUGUUAAACCCCUCUGUCCACUCCAUUUAAGUUAGAUUUACCCCUUAUUCUAUAAUAUGCUUAAGGAUAAGGAAAAUAGAAAAUGUAAUUUAAUUGAUGAACCAGAGGGUACCUCUAUUUUUGUUAGGUUACUUAUUCAAUAUAGUUCACUGGAAAAAUAUAUCAUACCCUGUUUUAGUGUAAAAUAAAUAAGAUCCCUGUUGUUUUAAUAAAACAAGUGAAACUUAGAAAAACUCUACAAAAAUAACUCCAAGGUAAAAGCACCCCCACCCUUGGGAUAACUACUGUUUUAUUAGAGAGAACCUAAGAAAAAUAUGAAAUCUGCUGUUUGACAUUUUUCAAAUAAUAAGGUAGUAGAAAGUGCCUUUUUGACAUUAAACUUAAGAAAAUCAUAACUAAAUAACCACCCCUUAGUUUUCUGUGAUUUUUAGCACAGAGGCCUAUUAUUACCAGAGGAUGCCAACAAAAAUAACCUUUAGGGCAGAACCUACCCCUAACUAGGAGGUGUAGUGGGAAGUGGCCCAUUUUGCCUAACUUUUGUUAUUUUUGUUUAAAGCCUAACUUUUAUACUUUAAGCCUCAAAUUCUUAAAGCAAGCUAGAAUAGCCAGUGGUAGCCCACUGUAAUUUUUUACAGAAUUUUUGAAAAUUAUUAAAACCCUGUUGUAGUUCAAACCUACCCUGGAAACCCUAAAUGGAAAUCAAGGAAAGGAAAAUGAAUAAUGUGAGUAAAUGUUAUCCCAAAACCCUUGUAAUCUGUCCACUAAAAUAUAUCAAGGCAAUACCAAUCCACUAUGUUAUCCUAAAAGAAAACCUAAGCUUAAAAGGUAAUAAGUCUAUGUAUCUAUAUAUAUACCACUAGAAGCCCCGCAUGACUAAGAAAACCCUAAGUUACUUCUUAACUUAGUUUAUUUAGCUUAAUGUUCUUAAAUCUUGCAUAAUCAUGACAUACAUGUUCAUUGCAUUUUGAUAGACUGUAAUCUUGCUGACGGAGAGUACAUGUUGGGGGCCUUCGGCUUCCGAAGGUCCUCAAAAGCAUGAUUUAACGGUGUUUUUAGAGUAUAAUGUGUGAGCAGGUAUCUUCGGACUCGUAUCAGAAAGGGAGAAGCUCAAAAGAUACGAAGGUUGACACAGCGCCGAAGCUGUGAAGCAGGAAAGCUUCGGCAUGUUCGCAGAAAAGGGAACCGACUUAAAGAUGAAAAGGCCAUUUAGACCUCGAUAGAUUGCUAUAGAAUUAUCACCAAAUGUAAAGGGCAUGUAUGUAAUUUUGUAUGGGUUGUACCCCGUGCCUAUAAAUAGGUGAACAGUACCUCCGUACUGUUCACGCUGACUUGGCAUUCGCUUUUUGGGUCACGCUUGUAUUGUCAUUUCCUUCCGAUUGAAGGUAUACUUGUGAUUCAACAACAUUUUUAUUUAUGUUCAAUAACAAUACAUGAUUGUUCAUGUUUUCUUUUAUAUUCCUUAUAUUUCAUCCUUCGUCAUUGUUUUUGAUGAACUUAUGAAGGUAUGUCCUUCAUAACCUUCGUCUGCAAGUCAUUACAUCCUAAGGGAAAUAAUGCUUCGGAGGACGAAGGACAUUAACGAUUAACAUUUUCUAUGUUGCCUUGUUCUUAACUCUUAGUAUUUGAGAACAAGUCCCCAACAUUGGCGCCCACCUCCGGUGAACUCACUUCCAUUUCUUGAGCUUUUCAACACCUUCGGCAAGCAUCACCUUCGUCAUGCCGCCGAAAAAGGCUUCAGCAGCAGGGGCUGGCACGCUGCAGCCGCUGGACCCCAAUCAAGACGUCCUUUCUCUUAGAGAGGCACGAAGCCAGAAGAGGAAGGCUCCCAGUCCAACACCUCCGGAGGAUGAUCUAGAUCAGGAGAUUCAAAAUCUGGAAAUCCUUCAGCAGCAGGUUCAACGCAAGAAGGAGAAGAUGGUCAGGCUAGCUGAACUGCAGAGGCAGAUAGACGAAGCCUCUGAAGAAGUUCGUCAUCUUGCUCAGGAUGAGCAACACCGAAGGCCUCAGCAACAAGACCUUCAUCAGGAGGGCUUUCCCAACGAAGAUGACUGGUAUGACAAUUUCCAUCAUGGGAAUUUUGUUUUUGAUGAUGCUUCUCCCUUGUCCGCUGAGCUACAGGCCACACCUUGGCCUCCAUCCUACAAGCCGCCUCAGCUCCCUGUAUUUGAUGGCCACUCAGACCCGAAGCAGUUUUUGAUGAGCUACGAAGCAACAGUGUCUUCGUACGGUGGCAAUGCUUCAGUCAUGGCCAAAUCUUUCGUUAUGGCUGUUAGAAGUGUUGCUCAAACCUGGUAUUCCUCCCUUCGACCAGGAACGAUCACUUCAUGGCAGAAGCUGAAGGACUUAUUGUUAACUAGCUUUCAAGGGUUUCAGACGAAGCCGGUCACUGCUCAGGCUCUCUUCCAAUGUACCCAGGACCAUGAAGAGUACCUUCAGGCAUAUGUCCGAAGGUUUCUACGAUUGAGGGCACAGGCGCCAACAGUGCCCAAUGAGAUUGUCAUUGAGGCUAUGAUCAAGGGGCUUCGGCCAGGGCCGUCAGCACAGUAUUUUGCCAGGAAGCCACCACAAACGCUGGAAAAGCUGCUCCAGAAGAUGGACGAAUACAUUCGGGCUGACAAUGAUUUUCGUCAAAGAAGGGAGGAGGCUUUCAGGUUUUCUGAAAUGACCAGGGGCUUCGGAGGAAGGUUUUACCCGAGGCAUGUCAGGUCAAUUCACAAUUCUACUCAGAAUGAUGAUAAAGGGAGUCAGCAACAAAGGCCACAAUACUCCUCACAGGCUUCAGGGCAACAACAAAGCUCUUUCCGACCUCCAGCUCCAAGAGGUAGAGGCGCCAGGGGCUUCGGAGGAAGAUUUGGAGAUCAACCGAGAAGAAUCUUUUGCUUAUUCUGCGGUGAGAACAAAGGCCAUACUACCAGGAUGUGUCAUGUUACUAUUCAGAAGCAAAAGGAAAUAGCUGAAGCAGCAGCACAACAGGCUCAGCCGAAGCAGGUCAUGCAUACAGCUUCGUAUCAUUCGCCCUACAUCCCAGAAUAUGUGGGUAAUCAUCCUGCAGUUUCUGUUGCUUCGGCGAGUCAGCCUCAAGCUUCCUGGCAACAGCCUCCACCUCCACCUCCGUUGCAACAGGGCCAACAGCCAGAAGGGAGCCAGUAUACUCCACACCAGAGGGACUUCAGAGAGCAGUCCGAAGCUCGUACAGUCAAUAGCACUGUGCCAGAGUCAAAGCACAUCUAUUGACGAAUAUCCUACCUUAAUAGCAAUCUUUUUCAUUCAGUUUUAUUUUCUGUAAUAAAGGACAUUGUUUAGAUUUCAUAAAAAUAGCUGUUGAAGUUUAAGGAUUUAUCAUGAAAAUAAAGGACAUAUAUUUUCUUCACAGGCUUCAGUUGUUGAAGUUUAAGGAUUUGUCAUAACUCAUAACAAAGAGGACCUUCGAAUUGUCGAAAAAAUUCUUCGAAGCAACGAAAAGUCGUUCCAAGGAACGCAGAGUAAGUUUGACGAAGUCACAAAAAGUCGUUCCAAAGGGAGCGCAGUGUAAGUUUUCUGCUCCAAAGUCGUUCCAAAAGGAAUGCAGAGCAUACAGCGAAAAAUCAACGCUGAUACCACCUAAGUAAAAGGCGAAGAAGCUCCAAAGACGUUCCUAAGGGAAUGCUGAGCUUACAGCGAAAAGUCAACGCUGAUACCGCCUAAGUAAAAGGCGAAGAAGCUCCAAAGACGUUCCUAAGGGAAUGCAGAGCUUACAGCGAAAAGUCAACGCUGAUUCCGCUGAAGUAAAAGGCGAACAAGCUCCUAAGGGAGGCUUAUAGCGAAAAGUCAACGCUGAUUCACAAAAAGAUUAUGUGUUUUAUCACGCAGAUAUGUGUGUAUCUUCGGAAUAUCACCUUACAUAGCAUAACAUCAUCACAUCAUCUUUGCAUAACAUAAGCAUCAAACAUCAUACUGCAUGUGGCAUAAGAAAGAAAUAUGAUAUCAAUCUUCGGGAAAACGCUUUGAAAAAGGGGCAAAUCAUGCCAAGUCACAAGGAGAAACAAUAUUGAUCUCUGAAGUAUAGCCUUGAAGAAUGUUUCUACGAAGCUUCAACACUUUUCAGGAUACUUCGGAUAUUGUUGUGAUAAAUGAUAAUUCUUCUUCACGAAGCAUGAAAAGAAGGGAAGGUGUUUUUUCGCCAAAGACUCAAAAACGGUACGUAUGUAAAGUUUCAUGCAUCGUAAAGAAUUGAACCAUAAAAAAAUAAUAAAACAAAUAUAUUACAUACAGGAUUACAAGAUAUUACACAUGUUACAUUUAAAAUGUUUUUACAAUAGCAUUUAGUCUUCCCUAAGUACCACUUCUGCAGCUUCGUUCAACAGUCGAUCGACAACUUCAUCCAUAAUAGCUUCAGCCAUCUUUUUAAUCUCAUCGUCACCCUUAGGCCGUGCAUCCGGAGAUACUUCAGUAGGAUCUGAGGAGGGACAGGACACGGCUACAUUGCUAUUACAAAUCGCAAAUAAAUCUUAAAGCCUAAGAUUACAACACGAUAAAAACUAUUAUUUAAUACCUAAUUGACCUUCGGCCUCUGCGCUCUUUUCAGUAGCCUCAGCUACUUCUCUAGCAUCGUGGAUGCCCUUUUCACUUCUUCGAAUAAUUUCUCCGGCCAUUUCUCGGCCACCAUUAUCCCAGAUAUCGGUAAAAAACUUUCCACCAAUUAUGCUAGCUUCGGCCGAAGGAUCUCUUGUAUCUUCAAAGGACAAGGCAGCUUCGGACUGUGCUAAAAUUUUUACAUGUUCGCAGCCCUUCUUCUCUAAGAUGGUGGCAAUCCCUCUAGCGCCAGAGAAGGCACAUAUAUCUCCUCGGCUAUUUAAAAUUUCUUCGAAGGCUUCAGCUUCGUGGUCAAUCCAUUCAAUGACACCUUCGGGAUUGCCUCUCGAAAAGUUUUCCUCACUUGAGAACGCGCCGACCUUAGCGAAGCUAGCCUUUAAUUUCUUAACACAAUCUAUAGAUUUGUUGUAGCAUCUCUUUUUGGACGAACGAAGCUCUUCAACAGUCACUUCUAGGUGAUCUGCCCAUUGAUCGCUGAGUUCACGCUUUGUUUCUUCAAGUAUGCGUUCUUCCUUGGCUCUGGCCAGUUGUUUCCGAAGGUCUUCAAUUUCGCGUUUCUGAGCUUCAGCUUGACUUUUAAAAGCAGCUUCGUCUUCCUUUAUUUUAUUUAUCAAUGAGUAUAAUAUUUUAUCUUUUUCAAGACCUUCAUUCCUCAGUUCAAUUACUUCGGAACGAAGGUUGCUCAGGGCUAUAGUACAUCCUUCGUCCUCAGCAUCUUUCUGUGCCCUGAGGGCAUUGCUGAGUAUCAGGCCCUGCAAAUAGGAAUAUGUCUGUGUCAAUAGUUUUAAACAAACGAAAAAUUUUGAACUCAACAAAAAAUACAAGAAUUUCAUUUGUCGCACCUUUAAGCUGUUGUAAGCUAGGCUGUCAGCCAGAUCGUUCUUUGACAGCACCGAAAGUCCGUCUUCUAAAGUUGGGAAUCCGAAGCUUCUGCUCAUCUCCCGACAGAUAGAAAUUUCCUUGCUGUCGGGGAGACAGUACAAGAAGUCUUCUUCUCCACUGCCAUUAAAUAUUAACGCCCCCUUUGGAUACUUCAGCUUUUGGGCGUAAUGCUGGGCCUCUUGCUCCUCUUUUUCUGAAAGUUUCUUCCCCGAAGCAUGACGAACAAUAUAAUCACGAACUCUGAUGGAUGCUUCGGGGGCAAUGACUUUGAUCUCUUCAGCAAAAGUUGGCUUUGUUAUUUUUUCCUCAGUUUCCAAGGAUUCUAUCUUCGCGGGCUCUGAGGACCCAGCUUCGGCUUCAGUCCCUUGCACUGGAGUGUUGUCAUAAGAAAUUUCAGUUGUUUCAGGAAUGGCAGCAGCCUUCUUCGGAGGCGUGCUUGAAGUUUUAAUUGUUUCUAGUACAUCUAGCACAUUCGCCAUUCUUCUUCUUUUUGGAGUCACUGCGGGCACUUUUUGAUUUUUUGUUGUCUCAACAUUUGCUGCAGGACUCACAAUUUCUGGUACUUUUUCUUCAGUUGGUUUUUUCACUUCUGCAAUUUUUUCUGUGGAUAGCGCUUCGGCCAUUUCUUUGGUUUCUGGCAGCGAAACCUUCGGUUCUUCUAGUUCUAUCUUUUUCGCCAUUUCGGUUAUCCCUGCAGCUGCAGGUGGCGUGACUGGUCUGGUUGGCUUUUCAGCCUCGGUAGCCGAAGAAGAUUUUUCGGUAAACUCCGGCACCGAAGCUGGUUCGAUGUAGCGCGGCCGGUGAGUGAGGACUUUUAUUUUCUUUCUUUCAGGCUCUGGCUCGCUGCGAGCAGUUGCAGCUUCUUCUUUUGCAGAGGUUAUGUUCUUUCUUUUCUGCCUUCGGACGGGGUAGCAAUAGUCAGGGUAAACAAACCCAAUUGCAUCAAAUACCCGAUUCAGCCUCUUCUUUUUUCGGCCUCCGAAGGCUGCUGACAUCGCAGUAUCUUCGGCCUUCGAAUAAGCACCAAGCAAUUCGUCACUUAAAUUUUCAAUACUCUUUAGCCAGUCGUCAUCUGGCUCAGUAAAUUUAUCUCCAAACUUGAAGGUGUACUUCAGUCUCACAAGCCCACCUUCGUCGGCCUCUUUUGUGGUUUCUUGAGGCAUUUCCCAUUUCUCCGCAAGAGGCCACACCCGAAAGGCAAUAUGCUCUUGUACUAAAUCUCUUGUCCCAAUAAAAGAGCAGAUGACGCCGAAGGCCCUCUGGCAUUCUUCGGCAGCUUCAUUCAUUUCCACCUUCGGCCUCCGAAGGCCGAAGCUUUGCCAAAUAGGACGCAUAAUUAUACCUUUGAUGUCUUCUCGUGCUGAUAGGUCAUUCUUCACAUAAAACCAUUCUGUCAUCCAAUCCCCGGGCCAUCUCUUCCGAAAGGUUGGUACGGGACAGCUUGCCCCGGACCGAGAGACGAAGCUGUAGCAGCCAAAGUUAUUAUGGUACUGUUCUUUGCCCCAAGGCUUUGUUUCAUAUAAUAAUUCAUGUAUAUUACAGAAGCUUCUUGCGUCAGGCUUCAGACCUUGGCUUCUCGCGGCCCACACGAAGAUAUUUAGCCUUAUAAUUGCCUCGGGAGUAAGUUGAUGAAGAUAGACUUCGAAGAUUUUCAACACCUCCACGACGAAGCUGCUCAAGGGGAAUCGCAAUCCAGCUUUCAAAAAGCUUCGAUACACCACAACUUCAUUUUCUUCAGGGUGUGGACAAGUCUUUUCCCCUUCGUCCGCCCUCACAAUGGACAGAUCCCGGAAAUACCUUCCCCUCAUAUUGGCAAGAUGGUUUUCUUUGAUAGCUGAUUUGCCGAAAACCGCAUGACUUGGUCGCCAGGGGCGAUCUUCGGAGUCUUCACCGCCACUAUCUACAUCAAAACUGUCACUGUCACCAGUAUCUUCAGACAAGCCUUCCAGAAUUUCCUUGGUGAUUUUUUCCGUGUUUGUCUUCGACAUCGCUAUAAGAAACCCCAAGUUUUUCUCCUCAUCAAGAGACAGCUUCGUCUCAGUAACAGCUUCCUUGUCUCCAGACAUCUUCGGAAACACUAAAAAACUGUUUUCAAAGCCGAAGCUUUAAAACUAAAGACUCAGGGAAUCUUAGCGCGCAAAAGCUAAAAAUCGAGCGAGCGAGAGCAAGUGGCAAGAGAGCGUACCAAAUGAGCUCACGGUAUGCUCUUAUUUAUACGCUCGGUGCGGUAAAAAUUGAAAGACCCCGCCUGUCAGUGAAUGUUGCUAUUCUAGCAAAGGGAAGGUGUUUUUUCGGACCUUCGGCUUAAAGCCUUCAUCCAUGUCGCAAUCUAAAUUUAUUAUUUUAACAAAUUAAUAUUGCGAGGGGCUACUGUUGGGGGCCUUUGGCUUCCGAAGGUCCUCAAAAGCAUGAUUUAACGGUGUUUUUAGAGUAUAAUGUGUGAGCAGGUAUCUUCGGACUCGUAUCAGAAAGGGAGAAGCUCAAAAGAUACGAAGGUUGACACAGCGCCGAAGCUGUGAAGCAGGAAAGCUUCGGCAUGUUCGCAGAAAAGGGAACCGACUUAAAGAUGAAAAGGCCAUUUAGACCUCGAUAGAUUGCUAUAGAAUUAUCACCAAAUGUAAAGGGCAUGUAUGUAAUUUUGUAUGGGUUGUACCCCGUGCCUAUAAAUAGGUGAACAGUACCUCCGUACUGUUCACGCUGACUUGGUAUUCGCUUUUUGGGUCACGCUUGUAUUGUCAUUUCCUUCCGAUUGAAGGUAUACUUGUGAUUCAACAACAUUUUUAUUUAUGUUCAAUAACAAUACAUGAUUGUUCAUGUUUUCUUUUAUAUUCUUUAUAUUUCAUCCUUCGUCAUUGUUUUUGAUGAACUUAUGAAGGUAUGUCCUUCAUAACCUUCGUCUGCAAGUCAUUACAUCCUAAGGGAAAUAAUGCUUCGGAGGACGAAGGACAUUAACGAUUAACAUUUUCUAUGUUGCCUUGUUCUUAACUCUUAGUAUUUGAGAACAAGUCCCCAACAGUACAUCCUCGUGCCGGAGCAAGGAGCUGCUCAGGAGGUAGCCCCAGAUCCAGCACCCGAGCCUGCACCAGAGGACCUGCAUGCCACUGCUUUGGAAGGCAAGCCCCGGUUUUAUGCAUAACCGUUUAUAUAUGCUAUUUUACUUCACUCAAUGAUUGUAGGGUUGAUUGUGCACUUAAGUGUAGGAGUUGUAUGAAACCCUAGUUGCAAGAUCUCAGGAAUCCCAUUGAGAUGAAUACUAGUAUGCUAGGUCGAGUAGCUGCUUAUUUAAUUAGGAUCUCGGUAGAAGUCGAGUGAUUUUUCUAGCACUCGCGCGAGGUCAGGACAUUGAUUGUACCCACUUUCAUAUCAUACUGAUGCUGGUUUGUGGGCAACAAUCCAUGGGGAUUGGUUGUUCACGGGAUGAAAAUUUGAAUAAGGAUUAAGGUGUGGUACCGUGAGUCAAGCGUUUGAACGUACUAAGCACAUGCCGAGAAAUAUGGUAAAUCGGUAAGCCUAGUACCUGAGUGAACCUGCCCGCAGAUUGCCCUCCUCACGCGACCUGAGACGAGGUCUCCCAUUCCGGUUAUGGUGGGUACAAGUGCGGUCACUGCACGACGGCCAGUCGGGGUCAGUGAGGCAUUGUACGCCAAGGCGGUGAGCCCCUUUCUGUUGCCAGGGAAUCAAUGGGGACGGUUGAUAUGUGUGGGGACGGAGUGCCCCUGCAUGUCGUGUGUUUAGGUUUACCUUGCAAGGAUAAAAACUCGAUUCGAAUCGUCUGCUUCUCGCAGCUAAUGAGACUUCUUGAUCCAUGCUGCUACAUUGAGUAACAAGUGGAAUGAUGCGGAGAUGAUACAAGAUGUUGAUUGCUAAAAUGUUUGCUACUUUGUAUGAAUAGAUAGUACAUUUUUAGCCUUAAGAGAGUCACACUUAACCUUGACUAAGUUAAAAUCUUGAUUUAGAAACUCAGCUAGUGCUUUUGGCAACCAAACCCCACAGCCAAACAGCUGCAUGUCUAGAGGUAGAGGAGUAGACUCCUCACACCGGGUAAGUCUAGCUGAGUAUUAGUAUACUCAGCCUUGCUUGUGGCAUAAUUUUUUACAGGUUCUCUGGAGGAGAUGGUUGCUGGGAUAACUUGGCCGACCACCCUGCCACCGGGUUGGACUGUCGAGUGGGACCCUGCCUCGGCUGAGGAGGAGCAUGAGGAGUGAUGGGACAGGCUUCCCCAUCUCUCUGUUUAAUUAUCGUUAGUUUUAUUCCACUGCACUUCAAACAAUGAUGGUUACUUUUGCAAAAACUCCGAUGAUGAUGAUGGUGAUGUAAUAAUUUAACAUUAUGGCAUGUAUGGUUUUAUGCUUUAUUGUAUUUGCUCUGUGACUCACCUUCGAGUGAGAUUGUGGUACUUGAUCCUGUCAGUGGCCGUGUCGAACUAGAUCCGAGGGAUUGACGGGUUAUUCCCAUUUAAGUGUGGUCUAGCCUCUAUGGCGGGACUUGGACACUUAAGUUGGAAUAAUUCGGGCAGUUCCGCCACAGCUGGUAUCGGAGCUUGUACCACCACAGAGGAAUCAAUAAAAUGUAAAUACCAUCAAUUUUCCAAGUAAAAUUUGAUAGAAACAAUGUUGGAUAGAUAGUAGGGCGAGCAGGAUAGACCUAGGACGUGAAGCCUUAGGAUAAUAGAAGGGUAGCUAGGUGGCUAAGUAACUAGGCCCUACAGGCCACUUUUACAAGAUGGGAGUUCCUCCCUAUUCCUUUUAUCUUGUUGUGAGGCCGUGCAGGACGAGCAUGCAUGCAUUCAUAAUUAAGCAAUGGAUAACUGAGUAAAGGACUUAAAAAUAAGAUAACAACCAAUUAGGUCCCUAGUGCCUUUCUACUUAACUAGAGACAGGCUGAGUUUUACUUUUCCUUAUUCUUUUUUAUAAUUCUUUUUCUUUUACUUACGCUUAACCGUACACAGAUGACUUCCCACGGAUCCUCCGAUGAUGGAAAUGCACUGACCCACACUGACGGACUUGCACGAGAGGGCUUUCCCCGCGUUUUGUGGGAGGUACUUCAGGGGGCUGGAUACACGACACCGCCUCAGUACGCGGUGCAGCAGUUCGAGAAGCACCGGGUGCCCCGCUGUAGGGUGAGGAUGACUUUGGAGCCUCAUCCCCUGCAGCCAGGCUGGCGCUCCUUGGACUCAGAGUCUUUCGGGUACCGGGCAGAGGACACGAUCGAGGCGAUCGCUCUGCAUGGAUUGACUACCUUCUGCGGAUUCCAUCCCUUGGAGCUGGCUACCCACCCCAUUGGCUUGUUCCCCGCUGAGAAGGAGGAUGACCCAAUGUGGAAGGAUCGGGUGGAGCAUGCCAAGGAUAUCUGGGCCAUCUACCCAGGUCAGACUGCGCAUUUGACAGUACGGUGCAUGAAUGCUCUGUACCGUCUGCAGGUGAUGCGCGGUGAGGCAAUGUCCCACCUGAUGGCACUGCUGGAGGCAACAAAGAUCACGCUGGAUAACGGAGAGGAGCUCGUGGUUGACCUAUCUCAGGAAAUGGUGGAGAAGGACUUGCAGGUGGAGCAGCUAUCCACUGAUAUUCAGGAGUUGGAAGAGCUGGUAGGUACCAGGGAGAACACCAUCGAGGUCCUCGAGGAUCAGCUCAUUAACACUCAGCAGCAGCUUGCUGAGGCUAACGAGCACCUGGACAUGCAUCACCAGGAGAUCCAGGACCAGGAGGCCAACGAGGACGUCGACAUUGAGGGAGGAGAUGAGUCUGCCUCCAGUGUGGACACCGCUGGCUCGGGAAGACCACCUUCCCCCGAGUCAAGUGUUGCCUCGUUCGCUCACUAGGUGUCCAGGAUAGGCUUAGAAGUCGGAUAGUCGGACUCCUCUCAGCUAGCUUAGCUUUUGCACCCUUGGGGUACUAGGCUAGAUAGAGUUGAGUCAUUUUGGAACAAUUGAUGUAAUCGUGUUAAACUUUCUUGGGAGCUUGGUUGAUGGAUGCUUUUAUCAGUUUAAAAUUUGGAAGGAAGAAUUUAUGCCUCUUAAAAUCCCUUUUGCUGAAGCCGGAAUCUAUCAUGCUGUUUUAACCUUGUCCCCGUAAUAAAAAAAAAUCUUGAAAUUUGGAACUGUGGUGUUAAGUAAGUAUGUGGUUUUUUUCAGAUGGCCGGGAGGCAGCGUCGUGGCCAGAACGAGCACGUUCCACCGCCGCCCCCACCUCCCACUCUGCAGGAGCUCAUGGCUCAGCAGAAUGAGAUCCUGAGGCAGCUGGCUCAACGUCAGCCACCACCCCAGCAUUAUGGUGGUGGAGACCACUAGCGUCACCCCGCGGCGGCCACUUAUCAGGAAUUCCUCAGCACCCAGCCUCCACUGUUCACAAGGGCGGAGGACCCACUUGACGCAGAUGUAUGGCUGCGAGUGGUGGAAUCCAAAUUCCCACUACUCCAUGGAGUUUGCUCAGAGGUCACCAAAGUCAGGUUCGCCACCCAGCAGCUUCGCGGACCUGCAAGGACUUGGUGGGAUCAUUUUCUUGCUAUGCAGCCAGAGGACCGAGAGGUGGAGUGGAGGGAGUUCAAGGCAGCUUUCAGGGGACACCAUAUACCAGCCGGGAUCAUGGACAGGAAGCUCAAUGAGUUCUUGGCACUCACUCAGGGCAACAGGACAGUGUUGCAGUACGCCCAGGCCUUUAAUGACUUGUGCCAGUAUGCGGGAUAUCAUGCAGAUACAGAUGAGAAGAAGAGGGACAGAUUCAGAAGGGGGCUCAGCACUAAGCUCCGGGAUCGUCUCAACACCGUCAGGGCCAACAGCUAUAAUGAGUUGGUCAACAUGGCUAUCUCCCAAGAGGACUGCAUUACAGCUAGGCAGGCAGAGAAGAAAAGGAAGACCCCUGUGGCAGGACCUUCAGCUCAGCCACAGCGCUUCAGAAUUGUGUCCGACACCCAGGGCAGGGGACCCCAGCAGCAGCAAGGGCGAUGGGUAAUCCGACCUCAGCAGCAGCAGCAGGUACCCAACCGCAACCAGUUUCCAGCACAGAGGAAUAACCAGCAGCAGCAGUACCGCCAGGCAAAUGACAAUCGAUGCUUCACCUGUGGCAACACUGGGCAUUAUGCCAAGAAUUGCCCCCGGAACCAGCAGAGGCCGGGGCAGAAUGUCAAUCAGAACCAAGGCAAGAGACAGAAGGUGCAAGUGAGGCAGGGCAGGCUGAAUUUCACCACAAUGGCUGACAUUCUAGAGUGAGCACCCGUCAUGACUGGUAUCUUUACAGUUUUGAAUUAUCCUGCUAUUGUUUUAUUUGAUUCGGGUGCAUCGCAUAGUUUUAUCAGUGCCAAGUUUAGUGCCAAAUGCCAGUUGCCCUUUCACCAUACCGAUGGGGGCAUUACAAUUUCAACACCAGGAGGCAGAGUUGCCACUUAUCAAAUCAACAGGCAAGUGCCUAUAAAAUUUGGUAGUCUGGUGAUUAGAACCACCCUUCUCAUCUUAGGAUUGGAUAGCGUGGAUAUUAUUUUGGGAGCUGACUGGUUGACCAGGCAUCAGGCAGUAUUGGACAUUGCAGCCAGAGCCAUUGAAAUCCAUUCCCCUGCUUAUGGCGAGACUGUGUUGUAUUUACCCAACCAGGGUUGUACCCAAUCUUGUGCCUUUGUUAUGUUAGAGUCCCCAGUGAAAGAGAUCCCAGUAGUCUGUGACUACCCGGAUGUGUUUCCGGAAGAAUUACCAGGGAUGCCACCUGACCGAGACAUUGAGUUCGCAAUUGAGUUGCAACCCGGGACUGCUCCGAUCUCCAAGAGACCCUAUCGGAUGCCUCCCGCGGAAUUGGCAGAAUUGAAGAAGCAAUUGCAAGAGUUGUUGGACAAGGGGUUUAUUCGUCCCAGCACUUCACCAUGGGGAUGUACAGCAUUAUUUGUGAAGAAAAAGGACGAGAGUUUGAGGAUGUGUGUUGAUUACCGCCCUCUCAAUGCGGUGACUAUUAAGAACAAAUACCCGCUGCCCCGCAUUGAUGUUCUGUUUGAUCAAUUGGUUGGAGCCAAAGUAUUCUCCAAGAUAGACCUUCGCUCGGGAUACCAUCAGAUCAAGAUCCGUGCCAGCGAUAUUCCCAAGACGGCUUUCUCUACCAGAUAUGGGCUGUAUGAGUUUCUGGUGAUGUCUUUUGGGCUGACCAAUGCCCCGGCUUAUUUUAUGUACUUGAUGAACUCAGUAUUCAUGCCAGAGUUAGACAAGUUUGUGGUCGUUUUCAUUGAUGAUAUUCUGGUUUAUUCCAAGAAUGAAGCCGAGCACACCAAACACUUGCAUACUGUACUUCAGAGACUGCGUGACCAUCAAUUGUAUGCUAAGUUGUCUAAAUGCGAAUUUUGGCUGAAGGAGAUCAAGUUUUUGGGUCAUACAAUUUCUCAGGAUGGGAUAUCGGUUGAUCCUGAGAAGGUGCAAGAGGUAAUGGAUUGGAAACCUCCGACCACAAUAAAGCAGAUUCGGAGUUUUCUGGGACUGGCAGGGUAUUAUCGACGAUUUAUUCCGGAUUUCUCCAGAAUUGCCAAACCGAUGACUGAACUGUUAAAGAAGAGAGUCAAAUUUGAGUGGAGCCAAAAGUGUGAAGAUGCCUUCCAUACCUUGAGGCAGCAUUUGACAACAGCCCCAGUGCUAGCUCAACCUGACAACACCAAGCCAUUUGAAGUUUAUUGUGAUGCUUCUGGUACUGGUUUGGGAUGUGUCUUGAUGCAAGAGAACAGAGUGAUUGCUUAUGCUUCCCGGGCACUCAGGCCCCAUGAGCAGAACUACCCUACACAUGAUCUGGAAUUGGCAGCUGUAGUUCAUGCUCUUAAGAUAUGGAGGCACUACCUGAUGGGAGCUCACUGUAACAUCUACACUGAUCACAAGAGUCUCAAGUACAUUUUCACUCAGGCAGAUCUGAACAUGAGACAAAGGAGAUGGUUAGAGUUGAUCAAGGAUUAUGAUUUGGAGGUGCAUUACCAUCCAGGGAAGGCCAAUGUUGUGGCAGAUGCCUUGAGCAGAAAGGACCAGUGUAAUUGUAUGAGCAUGGAUGUGGGAGUGACCACCCUGUGUGAUGAGUUGUGCAAGCUGAACCUGGAGGUUGUUUCUUCGGGCAACCUAAGCUAUAUCUCGGUGGAGCCCUCAUUGCAAGAACAGAUAGUCAGGGCACAGGUUGAGGAUAAGGGUGUUCAGGUUAUCAAGGAUAUGAUCAAGCAAAAGGCAGAGAAAUACAAGUGUUUCCGACAGGACAGCAAGGGAAUUCUAUGGUUUGGAGAUCGAUUGGUUGUUCCUAAGGACCCUGAGCUCAGAAAGAAGAUACUAGAUGAAGCUCACCUUUCCAAAUUCUCCAUGCACCCUGGUAGCACCAAGAUGUACCAUGACCUCAGAUCCUUAUAUUGGUGGACUAGAAUGAAAAGAAAGAUUGCCAAGUACAUAUCCGAGUGUGAUACUUGCCAGAGAAUAAAGGCUAGUCACUUGAAGGCAGCAGGCCCUUUACAACCCCUUCCCAUACCAUCGUGGAAAUGGGAGGACAUUUGCAUGGACUUUAUAGUGGGAUUACCCAAUACUUCCAGGCACCAUGAUUCUAUUUGGGUUAUCGUGGACAGGUUGACCAAGACUGCUCAUUUCUUGCCAGUGCAUACCACCCACAGGGCAGAGAAGUACGCUGAAAUUUAUGUUGAUCAAAUAGUAAGGUUGCAUGGUAUUCCCAAGACCAUUAUAUCUGACAGGGGAGCACCAUUUGUGGCACGAUUUUGGGAGCAAUUGCAAGAGUCACUUGGGACCCAUGUCAUCCGAAGCUCAGCAUAUCACCCCCAAACAGAUGGCCAGACAGAAAGGGUGAAUCAAAUUUUGGAAGACAUGUUGCGAGCAUGUGCACUACAUUAUGGAAAGGAUUGGGACAAGUGUCUGUCCUUGGCGGAGUUUUCUUACAAUAACAGCUAUCAGUCCAGUUUGAAGAUGGCACCUUUUGAGGCAUUGUAUGGGAGAAGGUGUAGGACCCCACUGAAUUGGUCUCAAGCAGGAGAAAGGGAAAUUUUUGGGCCAGACUUGGUACUCGAGGCAGAGGCAAAGGUCAGGGUUAUUACCAAGAACUUAGAAGCUGCUCAGGCCAGGCAAAGGAGCUAUCAUGAUAAGAGGCGGAAGCCUCUACAGUUUGAGGUGGGAGAUCAUGUCUACCUUAAGGUAUCACCCACCAAGGGUGUUCAGAGAUUCGGGAUCAAGGGCAAGUUAGCUCCUCGCUAUACUGGACCCUACGAGAUCAAGGAAGCUUGUGGACCCGUAGCCUAUCAAGUGGAAUUGCCACCCCACAUGUCGGCAGUUCAUAAUGUGUUCCAUGUAUCUCAGCUGCGAAAAUGCGUUCGUCUACCCACUGAAGUACUCCUAGAACCAGACAUUGAGAUAGAACCAGAUUUAUCCUACCAAGAGUACCCCGUCAAGGUGCUAGAUCAAAAGGAAAGAUCAACUCGGGCAAGGUCGGUCAGGAUGUAUAAGGUUCAAUGGAGUCACCAUUCAGCAGAAGAAGCUACAUGGGAGACUGAGGAUUUUCUACGAUCUCGCUUCCCCGACUUUCUACCCAAAGGAGUCGGUAUGUAACCCCAAAACCCCACCCCCACUUGCCCUUUGAAUCCAAUUAUAAGAAAAACUUAGAUAACAAGGAUAGUCUAAGUUGUGGAUUUAACUUAAGAAGGGCUUCCUUCUGAAGUUGCAAAGAGGAUGACAUUCGAAGAGCAGUUAACAAGAGAAACUUGAGUGUAAAGGAAAAACAGCACCACCACACUUUCAAGCACCCUCCAAGGGACUCUACCUAAAUCUCGGGACGAGAUUCCUUUAAGGGGGGAGGGCUGUAACACCCCAGGUGUUACCUUGGCUAGAGCCACCUUGACACUAGAAGCUAUUUUCACAAAGGUAGAAACUUAGGGCACCACAUGGGAACUUUGGAGCUCUUGUGCUAAUCAAGUGGCCAAUGACAUAAGAAGCAUUACCCUAAUCCUUGCACACUUGCUACCUUGGGUAAUAAGGGGAGAAGAACCCUAGGCCUCUCAAAAGCCCUACCUUUCAAAACCCUAAGUAAGGGGGGAAAGAAAGUGAACAAGUGGGCAAAGCAUGUGUAACUUUUACCCAAACCCUAAGCAACAUUAUAACCAUCAAUUAAGGGAGGGAAAUAUUGCAAAAAGGCCCCUGGAGAAACCCCAAUUCAAAUCUCCAAGUGGAGAGAGAGCUAGAGCUCUCAAUUUUUCCCUCUAAGUCACAUUUUAGCCCUAAUUCAAAGACCAGCCGUGUUCACUUUGAAGAUGGCGCCAAAACCACUUGGGUUCUAUACCAAAAAUGUGCUAUACCACUUAAGGCACCCCCUGGAAAAAUUUGAGACCGAGACUCAGACGUUUGACAACACUUGACAUCAGUUUUGUCGCUGAGCGGGCAGGGAGACAAGCCAGAUUUGGUGCCCGUCUAUCUCCCUAUCUAGGGCGUAUCAUCCCUUGGAACUCACACAUGUGAGAUAGCCCUAGGUGCCAGGAGGAGGUCUGCGCCGGAUUCAUGGCGAGAUUCGCACGUUUGCGAUCUCUGGAAGCGUUUGAACAUUGGAAGAAACUCACUGCCACGUGUUCGACGCCUUCUGCCCGCGCCAGAGCACGCUCGCGCGCGCCCUCGCACGCCCCGCGCCGCGCCCGAGCCAAACCCGCGCUGUGGCCCGCGCCCGAGCUUAUAAAUCCCUCCCAGGCUUCGGCUACACCCUUCCGCACACCCUCCACACCUCACCGGAGUUAGCUCGUCGCCGUUUGCCCGUGCGCAGCGAGCCCGCGGCCGCUCAACCCCUCUGCCACCGUAGACCGGCUAGCAGAGCCAUCCCCAACCCCGUCCUACCCUCGGAGAAGCUUGUGCACACCUCUGUGAAGCUCCCCGAGCAAGGAAUCGGAGUUCCCUUCGCCGAAGAAGCCAGUCCACGCUCGCCGGAGCUCUCACCCCCGCCGGAGCACGUGGACCGGGUAAGCCACUCCACCAUCCUUCGAUUCCUUGUGCACACAGUCGUUGCGUGACCCCGUGAUGCUCACCGUGCCCUCGGAUUGCGCCAGUUCGCCGUAGUUUGGCCGGUAUACUCGCCGCCGACGAGGACACCCGCCUGCACGCGUGGACCGGGCAAUUCCGGCCACCUCCGACGCCGAGCCGUACCUCGACGUGACCGCCAGGGUCUCCCCAAGCCAACCCCACCCUUCGCCGGACCUCCCUCGCCGCCGGUAAGCCGCGCCGCCCUUUUCUUUCCCGCGGUUACUGUUUCAGUGAGGGGAAGGACUGCGGGUGAGAGGGAAGAAAGGUCAGGGGGUUUUGUGUAAUGUCAGCGACACAGGGGAAUAGUGGCGUGGGGGUAGAUUUGUGAAGGUGGAUUUAGUUUAAACCCAGGGACCUCGGUGUAAACUGUUUUUUAGAAAACCUUAAUUAAAUAUGUUUUAAAUUGAACAGCAACUUUGAAAAUGCAUAACUUCUGUUUAAAUCAUCCAAAUUUGGUCAAACCAAUUAUGUCAGACUCAAAUUAAUGUGACCUAUUUAAGAAAAAUAUAAAACCCCUUGGUACUGUGGAAAACUUAAAAGUUCUAAUUUAAUGUUAGUUUUGGCCAAAAGCUAAAUAGUAGUAAGAAAAAUAGUUAGGCUAUUUGACUAGGGUUAGGAAAAUUUGGAGAAGUUUAUAUUUACCUACUAACCUGUUUAAAAAUGUUAAACCCCUUUGUCCACUCCAUUUAAGUUAGAUUUACCCCUUAUUCUAUAAUAUGCUUAAGGAUAAGGAAAAUAGAAAAUGUAAUUUAAUUGAUGAACCAGAGGGUACCUCUAUUUUUGUUAGGUUACUUAUUCAAUAUAGUUCACUGGAAAAAUAUAUCAUACCCUGUUUUAGUGUAAAAUAAAUAAGAUCCCUGUUGUUUUAAUAAAACAAUUGAAACUUAGAAAAACUCUACAAAAAUAACUCCAAGGUAAAAGCACCCCCACCCUUGGGAUAACUACUGUUUUAUUAGAGAGAACCUUAGAAAAAUAUGAAAUCUGCUGUUUGACAUUUUUCAAAUAAUAAGGUAGUAGAAAGUGCCUUUUUGACAUUAAACUUAAGAAAAUCAUAACUAAAUAACCACCCCUUAGUUUUCUGUGAUUUUUAGCACAGAGGCCUAUUAUUACCAGAGGAUGCCAACAAAAAUAACCUUUAGGGCAGAACCUACCCCUAACUAGGAGGUGUAGUGGGAAGUGGCCCAUUUUGCCUAACUUUUGUUAUUUUUGUUUAAAGCCUAACUUUUAUACUUUAAGCCUCAAAUUCUUAAAGCAAGCUAGAAUAGCCAGUGGUAGCCCACUGUAAUUUUUUACAGAAUUUUUGAAAAUUAUUAAAACCCUGUUGUAGUUCAAACCUACCCUGGAAACCCUAAAUGGAAAUCAAGGAAAGGAAAAUGAAUAAUGUGAGUAAAUGUUAUCCCAAAACCCUUGUAAUCUGUCCACUAAAAUAUAUCAAGGCAAUACCAAUCCACUAUGUUAUCCUAAAAGAAAACCUAAGCUUAAAAGGUAAUAAGUCUAUGUAUCUAUAUAUAUACCACUAGAAGCCCCGCAUGACUAAGAAAACCCUAAGUUACUUCUUAACUUAGUUUAUUUAGCUUAAUGUUCUUAAAUCUUGCAUAAUCAUGACAUACAUGUUCAUUGCAUUUCGAUAGACUGUAAUCUUGUUGACGGAGAGUACAUCCUCGUGCCGGAGCAAGGAGCUGCUCAGGAGGUAGCCCCAGAUCCAGCACCCGAGCCUGCACCAGAGGACCUGCCUGCCACUGCUUUGGAAGGCAAGCCCCGGUUUUAUGCAUAACCGUUUAUAUAUGCUAUUUUACUUCACUCAAUGAUUGUAGGGUUGAUUGUGCACUUAAGUGUAGGAGUUGUAUGAAACCCUAGUUGCAAGAUCUCAGGAAUCCCAUUGAGAUGAAUACUAGUAUGCUAGGUCGAGUAGCUGCUUAUUUAAUUAGGAUCUCGGUAGAAGUCGAGUGAUUUUUCUAGCACUCGCGCGAGGUCAGGACAUUGAUUGUACCCACUUUCAUAUCAUACUGAUGCUGGUUUGUGGGCAACAAUCCAUGGGGAUUGGUUGUUCACGGGAUGAAAAUUUGAAUAAGGAUUAAGGUGUGGUACCGUGAGUCAAGCGUUUGAACGUACUAAGCACAUGCCGAGAAAUAUGGUAAAUCGGUAAGCCUAGUACCUGAGUGAACCUGCCCGCAGAUUGCCCUCCUCACGCGACCUGAGACGAGGUCUCCCAUUCCGGUUAUGGUGGGUACAAGUGCGGUCACUGCACGACGGCCAGUCGGGGUCAGUGAGGCAUUGUACGCCAAGGCGGUGAGCCCCUUUCUGUUGCCAGGGAAUCGAUGGGGACGGUUGAUAUGUGUGGGGACGGAGUGCCCCUGCAUGUCGUGUGUUUAGGUUUACCUUGCAAGGAUAAAAACUCGAUUCGAAUCGUCUGCUUCUCGCAACUAAUGAGACUGCUUGAUCCAUGCUGCUACAUUGAGUAACAAGUGGAAUGAUGCGGAGAUGAUACAAGACGUUGAUUGCUAAAAUGUUUGCUACUUUGCAUGAAUAGAUAGUACAUUUUUAGCCUUAAGAGAGUCACACUUAACCUUGACUAAGUUAAAAUCUUGAUUUAGAAACUCAGCUAGUGCUUUUGGCAACCAAACCCCACAGCCAAACAGCUGCAUGUCUAGAGGUAGAGGAGUAGACUCCUCACAUCGGGUAAGUCUAGCUGAGUAUUAGUAUACUCAGCCUUGCUUGUGGCAUAAUUUUUUACAGGUUCUCUGGAGGAGAUGGUUGCUGGGAUAACUUGGCCGACCACCCUGCCACCGGGUUGGACUGUCGAGUGGGACCCUGCCUCGGCUGAGGAGGAGCAUGAGGAGUGAUGGGACAGGCUUCCCCAUCUCUCUGUUUAAUUAUCGUUAGUUUUAUUCCGCUGCACUUCAAACAAUGAUGGUUACUUUUGCAAAAACUCCGAUGAUGAUGAUGGUGAUGUAAUAAUUUAACAUUAUGGCAUGUAUGGUUUUAUGCUUUAUUGUAUUUGCUCUGUGACUCACCUUCGAGUGAGAUUGUGGUACUUGAUCCUGUCAGUGGCCGUGUCGGACUAGAUCCGAGGGAUUGAUGGGUUAUUCCCAUUUAAGUGUGGUCUAGCCUCUAAGGCGGGACUUGGACACUUAAGUUGGAAUAAUUCGGGAAGUUCCGCCACAAAACUACACCUUGUUUUUACGAAUUAGAAAACGAAUGAGAUCAGAAAGGCCAUCAUUGGGGCAAACGAUGCAAUAGCUUCGGUUAGAGCAAAGCCCAAAAUGGCAUAACCGAAUGAUUGUUUAGCCAAUGAAGGAUUUCGCGCCACGGAAUGAAUCGAAGAACUGAGAACGUUUCCAAUACCGACAGCAGCUCCCGCUAAAGCAAUUGUAGCAGCUCCAGCACCUAUUGAUUUAGCUCCUUCUAACAUGUAGAGUUGAGAGUUGACAUUGUCGGGUUUCACGCUUUUCCUUCGCAACUAGAAAUUUCGAGUUCGAGUAUAGUAUAGUAUUUCUCGUUGAUUUGAUUCCUUCCUCCUCUCCUUAUCCUUAGUUGAACAGAUGAAAGCGAAAGGAGUUGCUUCAAUGAAACUGGAAAACCUAAAACCCACAUAGUGGAAUAAUAAACCCAGCCCUGCCCUUAUCUUGGGCUUGACAGGUAGACUAUAAAGAGAUUCAGUACAACAAGCCUGCGCAGGAGUUCUAGCUAUUUCCAAUUUGAAUAAAUAACCCGAUCAUAUCAUAUCAUAUCUUGGAAAACCCUAAGACUACCCGAGGCUGUACCCUAUAGUAAUUUCCUUCUACCUCUUAUCUCUAUAGUCUUUACGUCGUCUCCUGGGUCGGUUAAGCUAUAACCUAGUAGUACCGGGAACAACUCCUCUAAGCAUCAAGUCAAUUAAGGAACCCGAUUUGUUGGGUUUUGAACUGUUAAAUGGUUACACGCCCGACAUACUGUCUGAUAGGGUGGCUAACCCGAUUCAUUCCUCGAAUCGUAAAUCAUUACUAUUUUUGCUUGCUCGAGUAGAGUCGAAAAGUGGGGAACCUGGAUUCCCAGCAGGUGAUCUCGAUCACCAUAAUAUGAUAUUUUGCAUUCCCUUAAUUUCUGAGAUGGAACUCUUUUCCAACAUAAAAUACAAGUCUAUCAGUUCAAUAAAAGUAUGGGUUAACCAUUCCUCCUCUUAAGUUAGGGGUUUGGGAUUAGUAGAGUAGUAUAACUACAGCUCUAGUAGUUAAAGGCGGGAGGGGUCCGACCUGACUAUUGGUUCUUUCCUCUAAAGAAACAUAGCUAAAAGGUGUCUGAUCUUGUCUAUAUUGUCCGAAGUAGCCUUUGGUUGUCAAAGUAAGUGAAAAAGGGUUUCAAAAUACUAUACUGUAGCUCAAGUAUGCAUGGAAUAGCACAGGGUUAUCCGCUUUAUUAUCUGGCUUAUCUGCUUGAGAAAAGUGAACUCUUAGCUUUAAACCUACUUUGUCUUUGUAUCUUAGCCCUUCUAGCUCUAGCUUAGGGGCCCUUUCCUAGCUUAUUCAACUCUUUCUUCGGCAGGAUCGAAUGAGGAUGAUGGGGGAUGCUUUUUUUCAACUAAACAACGUUCAUCUGCUUGCUUUUAAUUUUAUGACGCUGAAUGUGAGAAGAAAAAUUGGAACUACUUGCUUGCCUGUGUUAAGCAUGUAGAUAGAACCUGGCGGGCAUAGAGUCAUAAUAAGCUUCUCUUCUCCGCUGCGCGCCUACUGUACCAAGCUAGCUAAAAUACCAAGCUCCUGUGGGCUAAUCUCAUUUCCCAUAUCAUGUAACAACCUCUUCGCCCUUUACCCAUGAGCUUUUAGAAUCUAUUUCCUAUUUCUAAGCCGAUUUUAGUUUUGAAAAUGCGCUGAGCAGAGUCAAUUUCUCGAUGGCACUUGCUAAAGAUCGUAUCAUAACUACCGGGCCUACAACACAAACGUCGACUACUUCAUUUCACUUCCCACGAGAAUCGGCUACCAAAAAGGAAGGUUGCGAUAGUGUGUAAGCUGUAAUAUACAUAUUCUAGAUAGGCUGAAGACAGAAGGAUAGGCUUGCCGAGAACAAGAGCUUGCAUUCGUAUUUUGUUGUUGUGUUUGUGUUGUGAUCUAUUGGCUGCCUCGUUUCUGGUCAAUCUUUCCUGUGGCAGAUAAGGGCCGAUCUAAUAGAAUCGACUCUAAGAAGAUUGGAAGUGGUGAACCGGAUCUUUUUUCUAUAUAAAGGGAUCAAUCCUUUUGGCUCUAAUAGCAGUGAAUAGACUCCGUCUAGAUUUGGAGGAGUUGUCAAUAUGCCUCUGUCUGGUGCUGCUUCGCCGGUAUCAGCUUGUGCUAAUGUCAUAGAUCACCUACUAGGAGCUUAAGUCGACUAGACUUGACUCGAGAAUAGAAUCGAAGAGAAGCGAAGCCUCGCCAAGAUAAAUACAACCCUAUGGCUAUGGUAUGGCACUCACUGCAAUGACACGACCAGGUCUAUAGAAAAGUUGAUACAGAUCUCAUACAGGUAAGGUUCCGCACUUUUCUAAGUAACUACUAGCUCCGGAUGCAUCUUUCUCAUUGACUGCUUUCUUCAAAUCAAAGUAGGACGAACAAGGAAAUGGAACUGGUCAAUGCAUUUCUAACUAACAAUUGACCCUAUUCCUCGAAUGGCGCGUAGAGUGGAGUAUUGACUUGCCUUGAAAGGAUUGGUUCCCAUCUUUUUCUAACCUCGGGCAAUAGCUGCUUCCUGGCACUUCUUAACCCAUUCCCCCUUGCUGACUUCUACCGUUGCACUCUCCUUUUGGCACCUAAUCUAGGUUUUUAUAUGACAUUGAUCUCAAACCGCCACAUAUUGAUAGAAUUGUUCAACAAGUGCCGCUUCUGAAUUUGUCUCAAAUUACCGGAACAGAAUGUCAAAGCCAGUAGUUUGAACUGCCAGUGGAGUGUCGUUGUUUCGAAGUUGUUGACUAUUGUCCAGCUAUCAAAUUAGUGUAGACAGAAGCACUGUUUGAGCCUUGUCGAGGAUCCGUUCUGGCACUUAUUGUCUAUAGCAAAGUGAAGGAAUAGAAUGAUCAUCCUGCUCCUAUUUAAACAGAAUUCCAUGGAAAGUGUAGCAAGCCGAUUCAAUUGACCAGCUCCAUAGGGAGGAAAUGGUAUUCCAAAGAGCAAAACAAAGCCAGUUGGUUAUCGGCAGACAGAAAGCAUUUAUAUGUCUCUUUGUAGGCUCAAAUGAACACAAAGCCUAAGAGUUUUAACCGGUUAGCAAAUAUGACUAAUGGACUCCACCUUCUUCUAUCUCCGGGUCAAGUCAAAGAGUUUCAGUUCUAUACAGCACUGACUUCGGUGCCCGCUUACUACCCAUAAGACCUUAGAAAUGACUAGCAGGAGAGCAGUCACGGAAAGAAAGAUUCUGCCUAUUGAGAGAAAGCAAGAUCAGGGAAGUCUUAGUCACUAACACACCAUAGUACUAGUCAAGUCACAAGCAAAGCAUCAAGUCCCAAGCAGUGCCAGGUUGAAGAAAGAAGACUCUAUAAAAAAGCAAGUGAGCUCUGGCACCCAGAUAUUAAGAAGUUAGGAUGCGCCUAACUAAAAAUAUUUAGAAAGGCUAGUGAGCAAGUGCCACGGAUCCGUGUGUAUGGAACGGAUCCAGAGUUAGGAUGCAGCAAGAAAACGGUUGCGCUUCAGCGCAACGGAUCUAGCAAGUUAGGAUGCGCGUGACUAACGCGCAAAGGCUUUCGCGCUAGAAAUAGAAAAAAGAGCGCUAGAAAGAAAUCAAAUCCGUUGCUUUACUUUAAAGUAAAGUUACGAACAAAGGCUUCACUCUUUCCGUUCCGAGGCUAAAAAGGCCAAACGAUCCUACUCACAUCCAUUUAGGAAUUUUGGAAUUAUAUGACUCUGGGGUCAGUCCAGCAGCUAUAGGUGUACGCAGACAAGAAGAGAGCUUUCCUAUUUAAUAAAUACUCUCCUCGCCAAUCCGAUCUCCAGAACUUGACCCUUUUCCCUGCGCGCCUCUUCUUACUUUUCACUAAAGAAUGAACAAUCGGCGCAGGAGGUAGGAGAUCCAAGUCCAGAAAACAGACGUAAUUACAAUACUAAACUAAUGAUGAUCAAAACUUUCUAAAUAGAGUCAGAACUCCCCCUUCCUUGGUUUGGUAGAAUUCACACCUAGAAGAAGUAGCCCUGCCGCGGCCUUUUACUCUCUCCACAUUCGGGCUAGAUAAAGAAAAAUGAGAAGGUUGUCCAGAAUAUCAACGAAUAAACAGGGAAGGCGUUUUUCAAGCAUCUCAUGCUCCAAAUGAGAAGAUGCAGCGAGGCACUCUUUCUAGAUGAUUCAGUUAUAGUUGUUUGAUCAUAGACUCAAAUAAGAUAAUGAAAAUAUUAAGCAGAAGUGUUCUCAUCUCAAGCAUCUGAUUUCGGUGAUUCGCAAAUAGCUUGUCAUAGCUAGUUCUUACCUGAAUCGCAGUAGGUUAUUUGCUGCUGACAAAGGCCGCUAAGGUUCCACUCGAGAGGAUUUCUAUUCCCCUCACCGCUGCGCGCCUUGAAGAUCAUAUAAGUGAGUGCUCAAUUGUUAUACUGCUAUGGGAAGAAGCGGAAGAUGAAUCGGAACAACAGGAAGCCGCUACCUAGAACGGCGCAUACUCUUGACCGCUAACCCUUAAUCAAACGUUGAUAGUUGUGCUUUCCCUACUCGACUUUUGGGUACAUAACCUAAUCAAUCCCUUCCUUUCGGUUUCCCUGGACUAUCGAUCUAGAGACGGCACCUUUAGACCAGACCUGGAGACAUCACAAAAAGAGUUCUGAGGAUGACUAGCUGGAUAGCGAGCACCUGACCUUGGGUUGACUUGCCUAGAACCUGACCAGGCACCGGCACUGAAUUCUACUUGAAAUACCAGGCUCUUCUCUUAGAUAGGAAUCAUAUACUUUUAAGCCAUAGGAAUCAUAUACGAAGAACACAUAUGGCCUAGACUCAUGAGCCAAUAAUCUAAUCAAUAGUUCGGUACGCGCGCUCAAGAUGAACAUCACCACGCUGGGCCCCUUCCCACUUCCCCUCGGAUUUUCCUAUCAUGUCGGAAUGGAAUUCUUUCCAUUAAAGAAAGUAGAAUAAAUAUAUGAAAAGAAAUACACAUCCCUGAAAUCAAUCGGAUUUCAUAAAUACCAAUAGGCGCUAUGAAGGGAAGGCGCGGGAUCGCACACCGGAAGCAAAGCUGCCGUAAUAGUAGAACCUCAAAAAGAGACCAACAGUUGAGACAUAUGGACAUGGAAGUCUCGCAAUCUAUGCCCUCCCUCGAGGAAACGCCCCAUUCAUCCCUGGAGUCCGUACUCCGUACUCUGUACUAUCCCUUAACUUUCCUCCAGUAGCCAGUCUAAGAAUAAGUCCAAUCUUACAAGUGUGCUGUUCAAUGCACCACUUUCAGAUAUUCUGAGGACUCUUAAGGACAAGUCGUCCUAUUUAAAGAAACCAGAGCCAGGGAUGGAACACCAAAUCAGUGAACCAAAGCGCAUUCUAUUCUAACUCCGGCACAAAAGAUAGUCUGCUAAUCAAAAUCGUCUUCUGUCCUGGAUGCCUUAUUGUUCAUUGUAAUUUCGGCAGCAAGCGGCGAAAUUAAUUGGAAGCAGGCUAUGUGACUAGAAAGUAAAAGAGGCACGAGAAAGCCUUCACAGAUCGGAGUGCUUAACUGGAAAAUACUUUCUCUAUUAUACCGGCUACUCAUUUCUCUUUUUAUCGAACGUGGCUAAUAAUAUCAUAAUUAGCAUAACAACCAUUGCAAAGAGUGAUUCAACUUUGUGUUUUGCAUUGAGGAGAAAUAGAAAAAAAGACAACCUCGGUUCGUGCUCGUGCGUAUCAGCUUUCUUGGCUGUUCAAAGUGCAUAUUUAAAAGGUAAUUUGCUUCUCGUUGACAAAUCGAAAGAGGCCCUCACUGUAAUCUGCCAUAAAAGAUUGAAAUUACUUAUUUGAACUACGUUGGCAGGCCUAAAGCUGUGUUCCACUCAUAUCAUCCUCCAGGUCUAGUAGCUUGGAAGGGUUCAGCUCUUCUUUUAUUCAAGAGGUACACCUCUUUUCUAACAGGGCCCAACCUUGAAUGCGUAGAGCAGCAAAGUUCCUUUUAGAGACGUUAAGCACAGAGCAGUUAGGGAAAUCUAGCCAAGGUAGUGGUAACCAUACUCAGAUGGUGGGCAACUGUAUUCUUCCUCGAAGAACUAAAGAUUCUAUUCUGCUUUGGCUUCCUCAAAUCUGCCGUGCCGCUAUAGAAAGAAGGUGGCCCGGUUCCUUCGAACUGUAGAUUAUGCUCCUGAAGUGACUAGUCUAGUGCCGCUCUUUGAAAUUAAUAGACCAUAGCAGGUUAGAGCAGAGUCAUUAGCAUUUAAUGAAUGAGCCCGUGUCAACACGAUCUCAGUAAUGAUCAAAAGGUCCUGCGACAGCCGUACUUGUCUUUUUAUUGUCGUGCACAAGCGCCUCUUCUCUCUUAUGGUUGGGUCGGAGCUAGAGGUUUCCCCAUUUGUUGAUCCUGUUGCAAGUCAAGAUUGCGUUGGGUAGGCCAGAGCGGCAGGGCUUAUCUUGUUUUUUAUUGCUUUUGUUGUUUGGCAGAUGCAGAAACAGAUAAGCGGAUUUCAUCUCAUGAAUCUCCUCUCCAUAGACAAGUCGAUUUCACUUUCACUUUCACAGAGGGUGGAAGGGAGAGGUUGGCUUUUAUUGUGAUGGCCAGUAAAAGAUUCUCCGCGUUCUUUGAUUUGGUGUGACAGAUCAAAGUCAAGUCAACAAGCAUUUGGGUGCUUUUGGCCAAGGAGGGAGAGCCCAAUUGAAUCACUGACUUCAACGCUAGCCCCUUCCCUUAGUCAAGUGACCCAAUAAAGGAGUGAGUGAGAGCAGCUACAAGCUAGGGUAGGCAGGUUGUCCGACAAAUGGCUUUCCAAUCACUGAAAUUCUAUUUUAAGAAAGGAAAGAAGAAUGCGGUAGGCAGACACUUUUCAAAGCAGGAACCAACGGAGUGGAGUAAAGAAAAGCACGGCGGAUUCGGCCCCAAAAGAUAGACAAAUAGCAAAGAUCACCAACACAAAUUACACAUAAGUAUUUUUAGAUUCUAGAAAAUAUGACUUCUUCACUUCACUUCGACGAAAGAUGGAGCCAUUAAAAAUACUCAAAACCAACUAGCAUGAAAAUCCAACUAUUAUCUAACUCAUUAACUACUAGGUAAGCUCCCUCAGUAAACAGGUCUCAGCUGAUAAGUGUAGUAUCCCUCCAUCAUACGGAGUACUAGGCGGCGGUGCUGAGACAGAUGUUACCCAAUUCCCCAAACUCCAAGUGCAUGCCAAUUUGAUCUACGUGGCGCCGACCAACGCAGAACCAUACCUUGGCUUGGCCCUUUGCAAUAUGUAUAUUCCCCGAGGAAGGAAGGCUUGACAUGAAUACAGCUUAGUAACUAUCCAUUCUUUCACACUCCGACACACGCCAUAAUCUUUCAUCAGAAGGAGCUUCAUCAUCAUAUCAUAUGGUAAGGGGCAUACGGCGAAUUUGUAGAGGGACGGGUAAGGGGCGCCGACAGUUCUGUGUUGAAAAUUUGCAUAUCUCCAUGAUCAGGAUCUCUGGCCAAAGGAUAAUCACAAAUCACCAGCUGAUAAGCAAGCAAAUAGAGUUGUCUCUUUCGAGUCAGCAUCCUAGUCUCCAUUUCAGAUUGUAACAGAACUGGUUGGUCUCUGGCACAUUGUGAGUGGAGGUCCUCCGAAACACGAAUAGACUGGCACUAGGCGGAAGAGGAAGAGAAACAGAAGCGGAGACUACCUAAUCUAAUAAGUGUCUGGUUUCAUCGAAUAGGGAUGCUCGCUUAAGUCUACUUGUACUUGAAUUCCGCAUAGCCCGUUCUGCUAAGAAAUAUGAGCUGUUGUUCUUAUAUGAGCUGUUGCUCUUAAAAUCAUUCCUUAUGAGCUAUGGCAAGUGAGCUGAGUCUAGUUUACUCGCCUUCUCCAUCACUAGAUGAGUGGGCAGUGCCGGACUCGAGGGAUGGGAUUCCCGACCGAAUUGGAAGCAUAAAAGCGCCAUUCCGAGAUUGAUAGAUAUAUCAAUCUAAAUAGGAAUUGGAAUAGGAGAAGAGCUAAUUGGGAUUGGAGAAGAAGUUCCUUUGGAAUGGAAUUGUAGAACAAGUAGACAGGAUUUCUACGAAACAGGAUAAUCCGUUGAUUGGGAACAAGUCCGGAUUGGAUUCGUGCGUCACGGAUCAGUAGCAGCAAGUAGAUCAAAGCUAGUUCGGUAACAUAAGCUCGGGAACAGGACUAUUUGCCGGGGGAUGAUCACUUGGUUCCGUAGGUUUCUUGAUCUCAUAUCUAUGGGCCAGUCCAAUCCGAAAGGAGGAAUGAUGGUAGAUACCCACUAGAUAGCCGUCUUCCACUGCCUGGAGUCCAAUCUCUCUCUAUUGGCCAGAGGUGUCCAACACCUUCAGUACCAUUCUUUGGACGAGAGAAGCCUUAUCCUUCAUACUUUCUGGACGUGUUGGUUUCCAAUCUGACAUUUUAUCAGAAGGUUCUGCCAAUUUAUCCCUACUGUAAUUUUGUGUCGCUUGCUCUUGUUUGCUGCUGACCUCUAUUUUCUUUCCCUCGAUUAAGAGGCUAAAUGAACUGGGUGCUCGAAAGUUUGUUGUGUCCGACGUCGCUCGGUUGUAUACCGUACGUUCGUGCUCUGGAGUUCAUGCCUACAGGGGAGUGUUCAGCAUCCGCGAAUCGAGUCACUGAAGGUUACAACAAGAAAUUGAAGAGGAUGGUCGAAAAGAUGAACCAGGAGAUGGGUCCAGAGAGCAAAUUUGUGUACGUAAAUACGAAGGAGUUUGGCAGCGCCGAAGCAGAGGAAGGAACCCGAAGCAAUGGAAAUAACGACGACCUAGGAGGUAGUAGUAGUACGAAGCCGUAAGGUGGUUUGAUUUAGAAGUUGAGUGAGGAGGCUUCGACCGUCGCCACAAAGAUUCUUAUGAGGCAUGCUUCUGACGGGCUGCCACGCGGGAGGUACUGGAAGACUUUUCAAAGGGCUAAGUAUAGGCACCGGGAAAGAGUGGGGGGUUGAAGUGGAGUUGCCACGACGAUUUCUGGUAAGUCGAUUGCGGAGGAACUGAGAGGGAGAAGGCCGGGCUUCCCAGAUUGUGCAAAUUAGCCAUUCCACUUCGGGGUCGUGUGCACAUAGCAUGGAGGCGAUGCCUUAUGCCGUGGCGUCAAUUCUAGCUUCUGAUGCGGGGGCUUCUAGCUGUUCGCUUUUAAAUUGGCACUUUGAGUUGAGGGCGGAGCGUGAAUUAAGUAAAGGCUUAUUUGUUCCUGAAUGUUUCAUUUUUAUUAACCAAAACCAACAUUUAUCAUACUUGCAACUAAGACCUCGAAUGUUUGGAAAAGACGAUGUCGACAAAGCGGAGUUUUUUAAUGAAAUAAAAGACAUUUGCAAGUGCUGGCUUACACCCGGGGAAUUGUCAGUAAAUAAGGCGCCAGGAGGUUGUGCAAGCACUAGAAAUGACGAGCAUGGAGAGGUCAAUCUUGGUAGUCAGGUCUGGUAGAGCAAUCUCAAAUUAUCAUAUAGAAAUGUUAUGAUUUCGGUAUUGAUCAAAAGGUGCUAGGACCUUAGGGGAUACAUUAGUGCCAUGUUCUAUUGCGGAACGGUCGUAUCCUGGUAACCUAGCCCCCGUAAGAGCUCUACCUAAUCGUCGACAUAAUGGGUAGAAGGCAGGCUGUGCUUAUUUCUCGGCAAAUAGCUGAGUCGACACCUCGAGGUGCCAACUCAGCUCUUCGUAGAUAAAAACAAGUGUUCAGUGGAUCAAACCCUGUAUUAAUGGUUCUGGCGGGCUGCUGGCGUGGGACUUCUUUCGCUAGAAACACUACAACAAUAGAAGCACCCUUCUAGAGAUAAGAAUAGCAAAUGUUUUGAGGCACUGAUGGAAGCAUGCCAAGGUGAAGUUGACGAUCUCUUUAGCGUUUAUCCUUCUCUUUAUCUUGCCCUAUGUGCUCAUGCUGUGAGUGCCGCAGGAUGGUUUAGUUCUGAUCGAGUGCUUGACCCCUUGAGGAGGGCAUAUUCUUCAGCAUCUCUCUUGUCGGAUCGUAUCCCCGUGACCACGUCGUUAAAGAGACAGUUUUCUUUGGCCUGGCCUGGCCCACCGACGUCGUUGGUGACACUCUUCUGAGCCCCUAGAUUCACCGAAGGAUGAGAUCUUGCCUAUGCUGUAGUGUAGGAUGAACAGGAAAGUUCUCCUCCAUUGAGACCCGGAAAACUACAACUUUUUCUUAUUGAAAAAAAGAGCUUUGUUAUCUUACUUGCUGGCUAGUAAACGCUACCCCUACCCUUGAAAACUUGUUUACUUUUGAGGGCCGGAGUUUACUUAAAUUCAAGAGGGACUUAAAGGAUUUCUAACUUCACUGUCCUGCUUACUCAUUGGAUGAAUUGACAGAGUCUCUUGCCCUUUACCUUGGAUAUACACAAGAUUGCUCAUUCGCUGUAACCACUAGUUCUAGAACUGAAUAGGAAAAGCUAUAUGGCACUCAAACAGAACAGAAUGGAUAGCAACUGAAACUCCAAGAGGUAGUAUACUAAUAUACUUUUUUCCCUAAAAACCUAAGAUGCCUAUUGGUCUAAGCUUUAUAUCUAUCCUAUCGCUCUCUUGCUUAAAUUCACUUCCUUCCUUAACUCAGAUCUAAAUGGCUUCCUUUGGAUCGACAUGCGUAGAAAGAGGUAAAAGCACGGGCAUGGAAAAGGGAUUAUAUGGCGUGCUGGGCUGGAUGAAAGAAGCAACUACGCCUACAAUGAGAAUAGCGGGACUCCCACUAGCUGACAGAGAACUCCCAGCCAAAAUGAAACUGGACUUCCAGCAAUAGCAGCAAUGUCACUAGAACCUUUCAUACUGGAGAAUAACUAGAAGUUUAUGGGGAAUACAACCCUUAAGGUUUGGCUAUGAUUCUAAAUCAACCAUGCUUACUAAACAACUCAAUCAUGCACUCGUAAUGCUCCAUUCGAGGCGUAAUACCAGAAUCUUCACUCAUCGAGAACAAGUAUCUUUGACCUAGAUUAACAUAUCCUUCACAAAUACAAGCUAGCAAGGCAUCUGGAUAACUUACAAGAUAAGUUUAUGCGUGCCACCUAUCAUUUGAUACUGCCUGAUCAAGUCUUUGGAUCAAGUAUGUUUAGAAAAAGGAAUAUGCACAGGAAAUCAAGCAAGAGGAUGCGGACAGUAACGAUCGCGUAAAGGAGGGCCCGCUUACUAAUACGGAGAGGGUUCCGCAUGAAAAAGACAAUCCUAAACUUCUUCGUUUCGUUGGUUUUUCCAAGGUCUUUUAAAUUAUCUUUUUUUUGAACAUGAACGGAAGUAGCGUAGGACACCCAAUCCUCGGUCAAACCUCUACUUCAAUGAACCACGUCGCGUUCUUUAUCUUUCUCACUCGUCGUUUCGUUGGAAAAACUCACGCCCAAUAUCAUAUUGACUCUCUCUCGUCCAAUAAGAGUUUCUGAGAGUUACUUUAUUCAAAUUCUCUCCUUUCCAAAGCUCCACAAGGCUGACAAAAAGAGUAAUAGGACAACAAGCAAUCUUGCUUUCAUUUAUUUUGAGUUCUUUCUUUGUUGAGAUGGAAAUCGACGUUCUUUUGAAAAGGGCUAGGUAGUUUGCACGCAGGCUUCUUCAUGAAAGGUCAAAAAUAGACUUUGAUUUCAUCAUCAAAAAUGACUAGUCGUUCGUUUGAAGCCUUAAGAAACCAAAGCGGCAAUUUUUUUCCGAAUGACCUGAUUUCGAGAAUCAACUAACCAACAAAUCCGUAGCCCAGGUGAUUCGCUGCCUCCCUCUCGCUAAACCAAAAUGGGAUGAAUCUUCUCAUGCAGCUUUUUUCUUAUUCAGGGCGCUGUGAAGCAUCAAGGCGAGGGGGUAAAUAAAAUAAGGGGCAAGAGGAGUUGUCACGAUAGAAAAGAGAAAUGACUAUAAGGAACCAACGAUUCUCUCUUCUUAAACAACCUAUAUACUCCACACUUAACCAGCAUUUAAUAGAUUAUCCAACCCCGAGCAAUCUUAGUUAUUGGUGGGGGUUCGGUUCGUUAGCUGGUAUUUGUUUAGUCAUUCAGAUAGUGACUGGCGUUUUUUAGCUAUGCAUUACACACCUCAUGUGGAUCUAGCUUUCAACAGCGUAGAACACAUUAUGAGAGAUGUUGAAGGGGGCUGGUUGCUCCGUUAUAUGCAUGCUAAUGGGGCAAGUAUGUUUCUCAUUGUGGUUCACCUUCAUAUUUUUCGUGGUCUAUAUCAUGCGAGUUAUAGCAGUCCUAGGGAAUUUGUUUGGUGUCUCGGAGUUGUCAUAUUCCUAUUAAUGAUUGUGACAGCUUUUAUAGGAUACGUACCACCUUGGGGUUAGAUGAGCUUUUGGGGAGCAACAGUAAUUACAAGCUUAGCUAGCGCCAUACCAGUAGUAGGAGAUACCAUAGUGACUUGGCUUUGGGGUGGUUUCUCUGUGGACAAUGCCACCUUAAAUCGUUUUUUAGUCUCCAUCAUUUACUCCCCCUUAUUUUAGCAGGCGCCAGUCUUCUUCAUCUGGCUGCAUUGCAUCAAUAUGGAUCAAAUAAUCCAUUGGGUGUACAUUCUGAGAUGGAUAAAAUCGCUUCUUACCCUUAUUUUUAUGUAAAGGAUCUUGUAGGUCGAGUAGCUUCUGCUAUCUUUUUUUCCAUUUGGAUUUUUUUGCUCCAAAUGUUUUGGGGCAUCCCGACAAUUAUAUACCUGCUAAUCCGAUGCCCACCCCGCCUCAUAUUGUGCCGGAAUGGUAUUUCCUACCGAUCCAUGCCAUUCUUCGCAGUAUACCUGACAAAGCGGGGGGUGUAGCUGCAAUAGCACCAGUUUUUAUAUCUCUCUUGGCUUUACCUUUUUUAAAGAAAUGUAUGUGCGUAGUUCAAGUUUUCGACCGAUUCACCAAGGAAUAUUUUGGUUGCUUUUGGCGGAUUGCUUACUACUAGGUUGGAUCGGAUGUCAACCUGUGGAGGCACCAUUUGUUACUAUUGGACAAAUUUCUUCUUUCUUUUUCUUCUUGUUCUUUGCCAUAACGCCCAUUGCGGGACGAGUUGGAAGAGGAAUUCCAAAAUAUUACACGGAAUAGACUCAUCGCACCGGAUCAGUCUCUUAGACGGAUGAGACUGAUCACACCUGAUCAGUGAUCAAUUCUGGCACAAUGAAUUUACGAGUUAUUUUACACAAUGAAUUUACAAGCAGAUGAGGUAGACCUAUCUCCUGAAAAGAGUUCAGUAAACAAGGGAACGAAGCGACCGAUAACGUCCCCUCGGGGAGGAGAAGGGAUUGACUUCGACUCCUAUUAUCUUUGUUUACCAAUCUUCAAAUUGGUGAAUUGGUUAAUAGGAAGUGCGCGCUAGCACGCUUCAUAUUUCUAGUAACAAGGGCCGGGCCAUUGCUUGCUUGUUUGGUCGUUAGAUCAGAGGGCGCUCAUCCCUUGCUCGGUCCCUGAAAAUGAGAUAACAUAGGCUUUUGAUAUCUGCUCUGUCAACAAGCCCUGGUUCAAUCCCUGCUUCUUCCAGGCCUUAUCCCGAAAGAGGUAAACAAUUCUUUUUUGUCAUUUUGUUCACUGGUCUUCACUUCAAGCAAUUCUAUUAGUCCUAGUUUGCUGCAAUUAGUAAUAGGGGAUAAGCAAUUGGUGGUCGUAGGCUCACUCACCUCUUGCUCUUUUUCUUUGCGAUGACCCCGUCCUUGUAUCCGUCCUCUAGCAUCUAUCUUCUCCUGUAUUGUAUGUAGCUGCAGUGGCAUUCGACUUUGAAGUACCAGGAAAGGCAGAUAAGUUUAGCCUCAAUAGAAAUAUCUUUAUAGCCUGAAGUUGGCUUACUUAAUUCCUUUGAGCUUCCCCCACUAUUUAGUUCGUUUUCCGGUAAGCUAAUAUGGGCGUAGGUCUAGUUAACGUUCAAGCAGAAUAGAAUCCCCAUCAGACUCUCGUUUGUUGGUUGGGAUGGGAUCUUAGGAGAGAAAGGAAAGCCCUGAAACAAAGUGAGCCUACGCCUACGGGAGGGUGUAAAAAUGCCUCAAAGCCUGUGAAGCAAGUUCUAAAGAAAGUUUGAAAGCUCACUGCGGAAAGGGUUUUGACCAGCUAGUCAGAUUGCCUCAUUACGGGUGUGUUACGCCAGAAAGUUCCUCAAUCCUGUGCCUGUUCCCGAGCGAGUCAGUCCCAUUUCGAUGAUGAACGACACGAUCCUCCAUAAAGCUUCCCAUUUUACAUUUCUCCAUCGCGAGAGAUUCUCUCCAGCAGGUUCCCCAGUGGUACGUCCGGGGUCGGUACAAUCAGUGCGCUAUCAGUCCAGUACCAUUAGCUCUCCAAGGGUAACAAUCCAUUCUUUCCGGGCAAGCCAGUUCAGUUCCUUUCUAGUAACAAGAGAUCCCAUAUCAGAUUAAGUAAAGGGAUUACCUAGCUAGCGCAUAUCGAAGAGUUGGAGACUUCCUGCCACUAUAGAAAAAAGCCGUUGAUGGAUCAAUUUCUGUAGGUGGGUCUCAACUCGGAUCGAGACAUUCGGAUUUGCCGAUGAAGAGUACUGCCUUGGAGGGGUAGGGGUUGUAGGGGAAGAACCAACCUUUUCGGGUUACGGGAAGUCCUAUCGAUUAAAGCAAGAAGAAAAAAGUAAAAAACAACAACGUACCGACCCAGCGCAGUGCCUAUGAAGAAUAGUGAAUGUAGACCGGAUAGGAAUAGGACUCUUUAGGCGGAGUGGCUUUCUUGGAGGCCUGUCUUCUUCGAAACUCGAAAUUCGUUUUUUCAAAAGAAACAGGGCUAUAGCCUUUUUAAGGCCAAUUGACAUUGACUUUUGUUUUGAUAGUUCCAGUUGCUUACGAAGAUCCAAGUCCAGCUACUUACGAAGAAGGGCAGACAGACUACGCCACUCCCAUCCCUGCGGACAGACUAACUAAGCGUGGUAGUCGAGUGAACGGGCUAUCAAAAAGCUCUCGUUUUGUUGCGAGCUCCUGGCAAGAUAGUCAAGUAAUAAAAUAGACCAUAAGCCAUACUUUAUCUUGUAGCCUGUCUAAGAAAGUAACAAUAAAUAGCUCAUAGUUUCCUUGCUACUGCCCUAAGAGUUGUUCUUCUAUCAUCAGCGAGAGUUUACUUUGCUGUCGAUGCAGGCCAUGCAAUAAUAGAUAGAUUUUUGUACAUAGUUGGGAUAAACAAAUAAUAAAUGGAUUCCUCCCCUCUUUUUAGCCUUAUCCGCUCUUGAAUGUUGGUAUCGAUUUGAUCAUGCCGGAAUAAGAGCUAGGUAAUGGAUCUUCUCCAGAUAGAAGUAAAGGUUACGUGGGAAAUAAAGGAAUCAGUAGCAGUCGCUGGAAAAAAAGUAGGUAAAGCAAGCAAGGAGGGAAUCCAGCUUAUUGGCCAUUCUCCAGCGACUCUCAGAAUGGUUGUCGGGCCUUUGCACUGGUCAACAAAGCCACAGGCCAAGCCAUCAAGCAUGGCGUAGGGUAUUGGAUAGGCUGGUCCCCUGGUCGAAGUCAUUGCAAGGUGUGCUACAGACAGCUAUUGUUCAAGGUCAUUUCCUUUCUCUCGUCAUCACGCCAACAUACACAAGGCUUGCCUUCACAGGGCCCCACCUUGACUUGCCAUCAUGGCUACACUCUUUUCAUCAAAGCAACUCUUCUUAUCUUAAGAAGACCCCUAUCGCUUCUUCUUUGAUCAAUAAGCUUUGGACUUUCCGCCUUGAUCGUAGUAGUAUAGUAUGCUGAAGCAGCUCAAGAUAAAAGCCCUGUUUAGCCAUGGUCAGAUUUCGGUAGACUAACUUGGACACGGGAUUAGGAAAUUCCACCCUUUUCCACCGGCUCCAGGACAAGAGGGUACCGACGAGUAUCGGCGACCCUGCACGAGAAUAGAACCAAUACCAAUAGUUUUGCUUAUUUGAAUUCUUCCAUUAUCUAUCAAAAUAGGAAAUCUAAAUAGAUACGCGAAGUGGUGCCCUUGCUUCUGGAUUCAAAUCCAUAGGGGUAGGCAGGAGGGGAGCGAAAAGAUAGAUACGUUAAUGUUUCCACCUACUCUCGAGUAUAGCACAGGGCUGAGUUAAGUAUAGUAUAGGGAUGAUCCACUCGUCGUAAGAUCCUGAUGGGCCAUCACAUCCCUUGAUGAGUAGAUCAUUCGUGUCUUACUGGUCAAAGGUAAGUAAGAACCUCUUGAUAUCGGGAAGUGCAAAUAAAUAAUAGGUCAGUCUUGCUGUCUCAAAUAGGGAUUGAGUGCCUGUGGAGAAGAGAUGGGUUGGUUUGAUUGAGGAAAGAAUAGGAAAAGAAGGAAGAAGGAUAGCAUAUUGACCGUGCUCUGCGAAGUUCGGUGGAAGUCAGCUGGAAUCGUACCCAGCAAGGUUCUAUUAAUUGGUAAACUACUUAGUAGCCGUAGCCAACCCCUGAUUAUAGCAAGCCCUGCUCUUGUAUAUCGAUAAAGAAGGGAGAGUUUACUGAUGGCACAUUUGCGUCCAGCGGAAUCGAUCAUCGUCCCCCCACGACCAAGACCCAAUUCAAUAUAUUAAUAGGAAGAAUGUCUUGAUCCGCCUCGUAUAUCUAUCAUUUGUGUUGAUCUGGAAUCGAGAUUGGAAUGCCUUGCUCUGCCUAAUCGUGAAUAGUAUAUGCCUCAUCCCGCUAGCCAGAUCUCUACCGUCUUAUUGAUCGAAAGCUAGGGAUACUUAUUUAUUUUCUUGAUGAUUGAAAAGCUAGUUUGAAUUCGUUGAUCUGCCGAUACCGGGCCCCAUUUCACUGGCCAGCGAGCUUGUGUAUUACUUUGCAAAUGAAGCGUAUCUCUUUGAUUUACUUCUGUUGAUGUCUCGAACCGCUUAGCGGUUAGUUUUAGUUAAGGAUAGCAAUGCUAUUGUCCAUUCCGUCUAGCCGCUAUUGUCCAAUUAUAGUACAGUGUCAGUUAGGACGGGCCUGCCCCUGCUUGCUUCCUCGAGAGUGAGAGAAGGAAGUCCUAGAGAGGGGCACUAUUUCUUCCGAGAAGUGCAAGAUGGGGAAUAACCUAUUGUAUUGAUAUCGCUGAGUCAAGAUAGAAAGGAACCUUAUUUUCUAUCAGCUAGUGCAAGCUAGGUUGUUUGUUUUGGGCACAAAGCCUUGCUCUCCCCAAUCAAGGUAUAAUAGUUGGGCGGCUAGUGCUGCAAGCAUGCAAUCAGCAUUUCGUUCACUUACACUUACACUUAGUGAAUAUAGAACUGUGAUCAGUGACGCUAAGUCAGAUAGUUAUUGUCUCUUCUCCCUAUUUAUUUUAUUAAAGACCCUAAGGAAGUGAAGGAUUGCGGACCACCUAUUUUCAUCAAAGCCCCUUACCCUUGCUUCUUUCCCUUUAAACUCUUUGGUACACGCUUUAUCGAGACUAGGAUUUCUGUCUUACGCCGGGUGAAACCUAUACUCUUUGACCUACCCAACAAGCAUUUUAGGCGAAUUCUUUUCCUUUCUACUCAAGGAAAUUGAUAGCUAGGAUCCUAUCCUAUCCUAUCUAUUUGAUCGAUCGCUCAGCCUCUGUAGUCCACUCCUUCAAUAUAGGAAAGGAAGUAGAGAAAAGGAUGCAAGCCCAAAGUCUAGGAAAAGCAUCUCAUUUCCUGGCAAAAAAGCAAUCCACUGUGUCGAGGAAGGGAAGAAAGGCUCUGCUUUUGGUAUUUAUUUAUCAAAGAAAGACACAUUUAAGCGAGCGUGGCAAGGGACUAAGUUUUUGUUGUCGCGGGCGCUAAAAAGCAUUGGCGGAUGCUAGCUAGGCAUAUUUAUUUGUUUCGUUUGUUUACAAGUUGGAAUUCCAAAGAUAGCUAUUUUAGAGAAAGACCGGAAUAGGCAGUCACAGAUGUAAGUAGAAGUUUUAGAAGCAGGUAAGGUUUAUGCACGAUGAGAUAUGCUAGCUAGAGCUACUUGGUAUUGGUAGUAGAAGAGGAAUAGCUUGUGCUUUUCGCGGGAUAGCUUCUAAGUAUAGACAUUCACAGUAGGCACGAAUGGGAUAGUUUGAGUUGGUUUCUCGCCAAAUAGAUUCAAGGAUAACUCGAUUUGAUACUAAACUUAGUACGAGAAGGUGCUUAGAACACAUACGGGAUCAGAUAAGGCUAGCAGCUCUAGUAUUGGUAAUAAAUCUUACAAGGGAAUACUAGAUACACCAGUUGUGGUAAGUCAAUUCAUUCAGGAUGCUCGUAAGUCUCGUGAAUCCAAUAAUAAAUAGGGCUUAGUAGAGGCGCGAAGCGUGGAGAUUGAUAAAUAAAAAGGACACACAGUACCAGACCAAGUAACAAGAUCAGCCUUACCAAACUGGAUUUUCCAAAGAAAGAGGGUGAUGAGUGGGUGAUUCAAUGUAACCAUUACUUUUCUCUCUGCCCAGUUCCUGAUACAAACAAGACCCAUAUGGUAGUGUUGCACUUUAGUGGGAAAGCCAGUUCAUGGUAUAGAGGCUAGAAUCUGACCCAUGAUCACCCCUGAUCUAAUUGAACUGGUUCAGAGGGUAUUCCCAGAUGCUAGCAGCCUCACCUCACUGCUGUGAGGAAUGGAAGAGAUUGUACCAAGUCCAUAAUGGUCAAGAUUCCACACAGAAGGGUUAGGUCAAAUCAAGGGCCUUAACUUGGGAUCUCCUGACUUACCUGAGCACUAUUUUAUCACUGCAUGCUUGAGUUGAGGGAAGACAUCAAAGACCUUGUAUGGCAAUGAAGGCAGUAAGCUUGAUGCAUUUUAUCCAAAGACAUGGAGGUGGCAAUUUCUUAUCAAAAGAAAAGAAGAAAAGCAGUUUCAAGCCUAACAACCUUCUUACAUACCCUAGCCAGAAUAAGGGAAUUAUGGUCAAGGGAAAAAUGAAAGAGCAUAAGCCAGAAAAUGGAAACUCUCAGAAUAGGAAUGAAGUAUGGGAAGAAAUAAGAGCCUUAGGCCUGUGCUUGACAUGUGUUGAGCUACCAUGGUCAUCAGUGCAAGGUGAAGAUGAACAUAUAAUAGGUGACAGUGAAGAGAAGGAAGAUGAGAGAUACGUUCCUUAGAAUUAGAAGUCUCUCAACUUUCUUCCAGAAAGCCUUUCACCGAGCGAGCAGCUAAGCCUAUGCCCUCAACAAUUGAUUGCUAUACAGAAUUUAGCAUAAANNNNNNNNNNNNNNNNNNNNNNNNNNNNNNNNNNNNNNNNNNNNNNNNNNNNNNNNNNNNNNNNNNNNNNNNNNNNNNNNNNNNNNNNNNNNNNNNNNNNUACAGCACUGACUUCGGUGCCCGCUUACUACCCAUAAGACCUUAGAAAUGACUAGCAGGAGAGCAGUCACGGAAAGAAAGAUUCUGCCUAUUGAGAGAAAGCAAGAUCAGGGAAGUCUUAGUCACUAACACACCAUAGUACUAGUCAAGUCACAAGCAAAGCAUCAAGUCCCAAGCAGUGCCAGGUUGAAGAAAGAAGACUCUAUAAAAAAGCAAGUGAGCUCUGGCACCCAGAUAUUAAGAAGUUAGGAUGCGCCUAACUAAAACUAUUUAGAAAGGCUAGUGAGCAAGUGCCACGGAUCCGGUGUACGGAACGGAUCCAGAGUUAGGAUGCAGCAAGAAAACGGCUGCGCUUCAGCGCAACGGAUCUAGAAGUUAGGAUGCGCGUGGACUAACGCGCAAAGGCUUUCGCGCUAGAAAUAGAAAAAAAGAGCGCUAGAAAGAAAUCAAAUCGUUGCUUUACUUUAAAGUAAAGUUACGAACAAAGGCUUCACUCUUUCCGUUCUGAGGCUAAAAAGGCCAAACGAGCCUACUCACAUCCAUUAGAAUUUUGGAAUUAUAUGACUCUGGGGUCAGUCCAGCAGCUAUAGGUGUACGCAGACAAGAAGAGAGCUUUCCUAUUAAUAAAUACUCUCCUCGCCAAUCCGAUCUCCAGAACUUGACCCUUUUCCCUGCGCGCCUCUUCUUACUUUCACUAAAGAAUGAACAAUCGCGCAGGAGGUAGGAGAUCCAAGUCCAGAAAACAGACGUAAUACAAUACUAAACUAAUGAUGAUCAAAACUUCUAAAUAGAGUCAGAACUCCCCUUCCUGUUUGGUAGAAUUCACACCUAGAAGAAGUAGCCCUGCCGCGGCCUUUUACUCUCUCCACAUUCGGGCUGGAUAAAGAAAAAUGAGAAGGUGUCCAGAAUAUCAACGAAUAAACAGGGAAGGCGUUUUUCAAGCAUCUCAUGCUCCAAAUGAGAAGAUGCAGCGAGGCACCUUCUAGAUAUUCAGUUAUAGUGUUGAUCAUAGACUCAAAUAAGAUAAUGAAAUAUUAAGCAGAAGUGUCUCAUCUCAAGCAUCUGAUUCCGGUGAUCGCAAAUAGCUUGUCAUAGCUAGUUCUUACCUGAAUCGCAGUAGGUUAUUUCUGCUGACAAAGGCCGCUAAGGUUCCACUCGAGAGGAUUCUAUUCCCUCACCGCUGCGCGCCUUGAAGAUCAUAUAAGUGAGUGCUCAAUUGUUAUACUGCUAUGGGAAGAAGCGGAAGAUGAAUCGGAACAGCAGGAAGCCGCUACCUAGAACGGCGCAUACUCUUGACCGCUAACCCUCAAUCAAACGUUGAUAGUUGUGCUUUCCCUACUCGACUUUUGGGUACAUAACCUAAUCAAUCCCUUCCUUCGGUUUCCCUGGACUAUCGAUCUAGAGACGGCACCUUUAGACCAGACCUGGAGACAUCACAAAAAGAGUUCUGAGGAUGACUGCUGGAUAGCGAGCACCUGACCUUGGUUGACUUGCCUAGAACCUGACCAGGCACCGGCACUGAAUUCUACUUGAAAUACCAGGCUCUUCUCUUAGAUAGGAAUCAUAUACUUUAAGCCAUAGGAAUCAUAUACGAAGAACACAUAUGGCCUAGACUCAUGAGCCAAAAUCUAAUCAAUAGUUCGGUACGCGCGCUCAAGACGAACAUCACCACGCUGGGCCCCUUCCCACUUCCCCUCGGAUUUCCUAUCAUUCGGAAUGAAUUCUUUCCAUUAAAGAAAGUAGAAUAAAUAUACGAAAAAAAUACACAACCCUGAAAUCAAUGAUUCAUAAAUACAAUAGCCUAUGAAGGAAGGCGCGGAUCGGCACACCGGAAGCAAGCUGCCGUAAUAGUAGAACCUCAAAAAGAGACCAACAGUUGAGAAUAUGACAUGGAAGUCUCGCAAUCUAUCCCUCCCCGAGAAACGCCCAUUCAUCCCUGGAGUCCGUACUCCGUACUCUUACUAUCCCUAACUCCUCCAUAGCCAUCUAAGAAUAAGUCCAAUCUUACAAGUUGCGUUCAAUGCACCACUUCAGAUAUCUGAGACUCUUAAGACAAUCGUCUAUUUAAGAAACCAGACCAGGAUGAACACCAAAUCAGUGAACCAAAGCGCAUUCUAUUCUAACUCCGGCACAAAAUAGUUCUAAUCAAAAUCGUUUCUGUCCUGGAUGCCUUAUUGUUCAUUGUAAUUUCGGCAGCAAGCGCGAAAUUAAUUGGAAGCAGGCUAUGUACUAGAAAGUAAAAGAGGCACGGAAAGCCUUCACAGAUCGGAGUGCUAACUGGAAAAUACUUUCUCUAUAUACCGGCUACUCAUUUCUCUUUUUAUCGAACGCGGCUAAUAAUAUCAUAAUUAGCAUAACAACCAUUGCAAAGAGUGAUUCAACUUUGUUUUUGCAUUGAGGAGAAAUAGAAAAGAAAGACAACCUCGGUUCGUGCUCGUGCGUAUCAGCUUUCUGGCUGUUCAAAGUGCAUAUUAAAAGGUAAUCUGCUUCUCGUUGACAAAUCGAAAGAGGCCCUCACAUAAUCUGCCAUAAAAGAUUGAAAUUACUUAUUUGAACUACGUUGGCAGGCCUAAAGCUGUUCCACUCAUAUCAUCCUCCAGGUCUAGUAGCUUGGAAGGGUCAGCCUCUUUUAUUCAAGAGGUACACCUCUUUCUAACAGGGCCCUACCUUGAAUGCGCAGAGCAGCAAAGUUCCUUUAGAGACUUAAGCACAGAGCAUUAGGGAAAUCUAGCCAAGGUAUGUAACCAUACUCGAUGUGGCAACUGUAUUCUUCCUCGAAAACUAAAGAUUCUAUUCUGCUUUGGCUCCUCAAAUCUGCCGGCUAUAGAAAAGUGCCCGUUCCUUCGAACUGUAGAUAUGCUCCUGAAGUGACUAGUCUAGUGCCGCUCUUUGAAAUUAAUAGACCAUACAGUUAGAGCAGAUCAUUAGCAUUUAAUGAAUGAGCCCUAGUCAACACGAUCUCAGUAAGAUCAAAGGUCUGCGACAGCCGUACUUGUCUUUUAUUGUCGUGCACAAGCGCCUCUUCUCUCUUAUGGUUGGGUCGGAGCUAGAGUUUCCCCAUUGUUGAUCCUGUUGCAAGUCAAGAUUGCGUUGGGUAGGCCAGAGCGGCAGGGCUUAUCUGUUUUUAUUGCUUUUGUUGUUUGGCAAUGCAGAAACAGAUAAGCGGAUUUCAUCUCAUGAAUCUCCUCUCCAUAGACAAGUCGAUUUCACUUUCACUUUCACAGAGGGCGGAAGGGAGAGGUUGGCUUUUAUUGUGAUGGCCAGUAAAAGAUUCUCCGCGUUCUUUGAUUUGGUGUGACAGAUCAAAGUCAAGUCAACAAGCAUUUGGGUGCUUUUGGCCAAGAGGAGAGCCAAUUGAAUCACUGACUUCAACGCUAGCCCCUUCCCUUAGUCAAGUGACCCAAUAAAGGAGUGAGUGAGAGCAGCUACAAGCUAGGGUAGGCAGGUUGUCCGACAAAUGGCUUUCCAAUCACUGAAAUUCUAUUUAAGAAAGGAAAGAAGAAUGCGGUAGGCAGACACUUUUCAAAGCAGAACCAACGGAGUGGAGUAAAGAAAAGCACGGCGGAUUCGGCCCCAAAAGAUAGACAAAUAGCAAAGAUCACCAACACAAAUUACACAUAAGUAUUUUAGAUUCUAGAAAAUAUGACUUCUUCACUUCACUUCGACGAAAGAUGAGCCAUUAAAAAUACUCAAAACCAACUAGCAUGAAAAUCCAACUAUUAUCUAACUCAUUAACUACUAGGUAAGCUCCCUCAGUAAACAGUCUCAGCUGAUAAGUGUAGUAUCCCUCCAUCAUACGGAGUACUAGGCGGCGGUGCUGAGACAGAUGUUACCAAUUCCCCAACUCCAAGUGCAUGCCAAUUUGAUCUACGUGGCGCCGACCAACGCAGAACCAUACUUGGCUUGGCCCUUUGCAAUAUGUAUAUUCCCCGAGGAAGGAAGGCUUGACAUGAAUACAGCUUAGUAACUAUCCAUUCUUUCACACUCCGACACACGCCAUAAUCUUUCAUCAGAAGGAGCUUCAUCAUCAUAUCAUAUGGUAAGGGGCAUACGGCGAAUUUGUAGAGGACGGGUAACGCCGCAGUUCUGUGUUGAAAAUUUGCAUAUCUCCAUGAUCAGGAUCUCUGGCCAAAGGAUAAUCACAAUCACCAGCUGAUAAGCAAGCAAAUAGAGUUGUCUCUUCGAGUCAGCAUCCUAGUCUCCAUUUCAGAUUGUAACAGAACUGGUUGGUCUCUGGCACUUGUGAGUGGAGGUCCUCCGAAACACGAAUAGACUGGCACUAGGCGGAAGAGAAGAGAAACAGAAGCGGAGACUACCUAAUCUAAUAAGUGUCUGGUUUCAUCGAAUAGGGAUGCUCGCUUAAGUCUACUUGUACUUGAAUUCCGCAUAGCCCGUUCUGCUAAGAAAUAUGAGCUGUUGUUCUUAUAUGAGCUGUUGCUCUUAAAAUCAUUCCUUAUGAGCUAUGGCAAGUGAGCUGAGUCUAGUUUACUCGCCUUCUCCAUCACUAGAUGAGUGGGCAGUGCCGGACUCGAGGAUGGGAUUCCCGACCGAAUUGGAAGCAUAAAAGCGCCAUUCCGAGAUUGAUAGAUAAUCAAUCUAAAUAGGAAUUGAAUAGGAGAAGAGCUAAUUGGGAUUGGAGAAGAAGUUCCUUUGGAAUGGAAUUGUAGAACAAGUAGACAGGAUUUCUACGAAACAGGAUAAUCCGUUGAUUGGGAACAAGUCCGGAUUGGAUUCGUGCGUCACGGAUCAGUAGCAGCAAGUAGAUCAAAGCUAGUUCGGUAACAUAAGCUCGGGAACAGGACUAUUUGCCGGGGGAUGAUCACUUGGUUCCGUAGGUUUCUUGAUCUCAUAUCUAUGGGCCAGUCCAAUCCGAAAGGAGGAAUGAUGGUAGAUACCCACUAGAUAGCCGUCUUCCACUGCCUGGAGUCCAAUCUCUCUCUAUUGGCCAGAGGUGUCCAACACCUUCAGUACCAUUCUUUGGACGAGAGAAGCCUUAUCCUUCAUACUUUCUGGACGUGUUGGUUUCCAAUCUGACAUUUUAUCAGAAGGUUCUGCCAAUUUAUCCCUACUGUAAUUUUGUGUCGCUUGCUCUUGUUGCUGCUGACCUCUAUUUUCUUUCCCUCGAUUAAGAGGCUAAUGAACUGGGUGCUCGAAAGUUUGUUGUGUCCGACGUCGCUCGGUUGUAUACCGUACGUUCGUGCUCUGGAGUUCAUGCCUACAGGGAGUGUUCAGCAUCCGCGAAUCGAGUCACUGAAGUUACAACAAGAAAUUGAAGAGGAUGGUCGAAAAGAUGAACCAGGAGAUGGGUCCAGAGAGCAAAUUUGUGUACGUAAAUACGAAGGAUUUGGCAGCGCCGAAGCAGAGGAAGGAACCCGAAGCAAUGGAAAUAACGACGACCUAGGAGGUAGUAGUAGUACGAAGCCGUAAGGUGGUUUGAUUUAGAAGUUGAGUGAGGAGGCUUCGACCGUCGCCACAAAGAUUCUUAUGAGGCAUGCUUCUGACGGGCUGCCACGCGGGAGUACUGGAAGACUUUUCAAAGGGCUAAGUAUAGGCACCGGGAAAGAGUGGGGGUUGAAGUGGAGUUGCCACGACGAUUUCUGGUAAGUCGAUUGCGGAGGAACUGAGAGGGAGAAGGCCGGGCUUCCCAGAUUGUGCAAAUUAGCCAUUCCACUUCGGGUCGUGUGCACAUAGCAUGGAGGCGAUGCCUUAUGCCGUGGCGUCAAUUCUAGCUUCUGAUGCGGGGCUUCUAGCUGUUCGCUUUUAAAUUGGCACUUUGAGUUGAGGGCGGAGCGUGAAUUAAGUAAAGGCUUAUUUGUUCCUGAAUGUUUCAUUUUUAUUAACCAAAACCAACAUUUAUCAUACUUGCAACUAAGACCUCGAAUGUUUGGAAAAGACGAUGUCGACAAAGCGGAGUUUUUUAAUGAAAUAAAAGACAUUUGCAAGUGCUGGCUUACACCCGGGGAAUUGUCAGUAAAUAAGGCGCCAGGAGGUUGUGCAAGCACUAGAAAUGACGAGCAUGGAGAGGUCAAUCUUGGUAGUCAGGUCUGGUAGAGCAAUCUCAAAUUAUCAUAUAGAAAUGUUAUGAUUUCGGUAUUGAUCAAAAGGUGCUAGGACCUUAGGGGAUACAUUAGUGCCAUGUUCUAUUGCGGAACGGUCGUAUCCUGGUAACCUAGCCCCCGUAAGAGCUCUACCUAAUCGUCGACAUAAUGGGUAGAAGGCAGGCUGUGCUUAUUUCUCGGCAAAUAGCUGAGUCGACACCUCGAGGUGCCAACUCAGCUCUUCGUAGAUAAAAACAAGUGUUCAGUGGAUCAAACCCUGUAUUAAUGGUUCUGGCGGGCUGCUGGCGUGGGACUUCUUUCGCUAGAAACACUACAACAAUAGAAGCACCCUUCUAGAGAUAAGAAUAGCAAAUGUUUUGAGGCACUGAUGGAAGCAUGCCAAGGUGAAGUUGACGAUCUCUUUAGCGUUUAUCCUUCUCUUUAUCUUGCCCUAUGUGCUCAUGCUGUGAGUGCCGCAGGAUGGUUUAGUUCUGAUCGAGUGCUUGACCCCUUGAGGAGGGCAUAUUCUUCAGCAUCUCUCUUGUCGGAUCGUAUCCCCGUGACCACGUCGUUAAAGAGACAGUUUUCUUUGGCCUGGCCUGGCCCACCGACGUCGUUGGUGACACUCUUCUGAGCCCCUAGAUUCACCGAAGGAUGAGAUCUUGCCUAUGCUGUAGUGUAGGAUGAACAGGAAAGUUCUCCUCCAUUGAGACCCGGAAAACUACAACUUUUUCUUAUUGAAAAAAAGAGCUUUGUUAUCUUACUUGCUGGCUAGUAAACGCUACCCCUACCCUUGAAAACUUGUUUACUUUUGAGGGCCGGAGUUUACUUAAAUUCAAGAGGACUUAAAGGAUUUCUAACUUCACUGUCCUGCUUACUCAUUGGAUGAAUUGACAGAGUCUCUUGCCCUUUACCUUGGAUAUACACAAGAUUGCUCAUUCGCUGUAACCACUAGUUCUAGAACUGAAUAGGAAAAGCUAUAUGGCACUCAAACAGAACAGAAUGGAUAGCAACUGAAACUCCAAGAGGUAGUAUACUAAUAUACUUUUUUCCCUAAAAACCUAAGAUGCCUAUUGGUCUAAGCUUUAUAUCUAUCCUAUCGCUCUCUUGCUUAAAUUCACUUCCUUCCUUAACUCAGAUCUAAAUGGCUUCCUUUGGAUCGACAUGCGUAGAAAGAGGUAAAAGCACGGGCAUGGAAAAGGGAUUAUAUGGCGUGCUGGGCUGGAUGAAAGAAGCAACUACGCCUACAAUGAGAAUAGCGGGACUCCCACUAGCUGACAGAGAACUCCCAGCCAAAAUGAAACUGGACUUCCAGCAAUAGCAGCAAUGUCACUAGAACCUUUCAUACUGGAGAAUAACUAGAAGUUUAUGGGGAAUACAACCCUUAAGGUUUGGCUAUGAUUCUAAAUCAACCAUGCUUACUAAACAACUCAAUCAUGCACUCGUAAUGCUCCAUUCGAGGCGUAAUACCAGAAUCUUCACUCAUCGAGAACAAGUAUCUUUGACCUAGAUUAACAUAUCCUUCACAAAUACAAGCUAGCAAGGCAUCUGGAUAACUUACAAGAUAAGUUUAUGCGUGCCACCUAUCAUUUGAUACUGCCUGAUCAAGUCUUUGGAUCAAGUAUGUUUAGAAAAAGGAAUAUGCACAGGAAAUCAAGCAAGAGGAUGCGGACAGUAACGAUCGCGUAAAGGAGGGCCCGCUUACUAAUACGGAGAGGGUUCCGCAUGAAAAAGACAAUCCUAAACUUCUUCGUUUCGUUGGUUUUUCCAAGGUCUUUUAAAUUAUCUUUUUUUUGAACAUGAACGGAAGUAGCGUAGGACACCCAAUCCUCGGUCAAACCUCUACUUCAAUGAACCACGUCGCGUUCUUUAUCUUUCUCACUCGUCGUUUCGUUGGAAAAACUCACGCCCAAUAUCAUAUUGACUCUCUCUCGUCCAAUAAGAGUUUCUGAGAGUUACUUUAUUCAAAUUCUCUCCUUUCCAAAGCUCCACAAGGCUGACAAAAAGAGUAAUAGGACAACAAGCAAUCUUGCUUUCAUUUAUUUUGAGUUCUUUCUUUGUUGAGAUGGAAAUCGACGUUCUUUUGAAAAGGGCUAGGUAGUUUGCACGCAGGCUUCUUCAUGAAAGGUCAAAAAUAGACUUUGAUUUCAUCAUCAAAAAUGACUAGUCGUUCGUUUGAAGCCUUAAGAAACCAAAGCGGCAAUUUUUUUCCGAAUGACCUGAUUUCGAGAAUCAACUAACCAACAAAUCCGUAGCCCAGGUGAUUCGCUGCCUCCCUCUCGCUAAACCAAAAUGGGAUGAAUCUUCUCAUGCAGCUUUUUUCUUAUUCAGGGCGCUGUGAAGCAUCAAGGCGAGGGGGUAAAUAAAAUAAGGGGCAAGAGGAGUUGUCACGAUAGAAAAGAGAAAUGACUAUAAGGAACCAACGAUUCUCUCUUCUUAAACAACCUAUAUACUCCACACUUAACCAGCAUUUAAUAGAUUAUCCAACCCCGAGCAAUCUUAGUUAUUGGUGGGGGUUCGGUUCGUUAGCUGGUAUUUGUUUAGUCAUUCAGAUAGUGACUGGCGUUUUUUAGCUAUGCAUUACACACCUCAUGUGGAUCUAGCUUUCAACAGCGUAGAACACAUUAUGAGAGAUGUUGAAGGGGGCUGGUUGCUCCGUUAUAUGCAUGCUAAUGGGGCAAGUAUGUUUCUCAUUGUGGUUCACCUUCAUAUUUUUCGUGGUCUAUAUCAUGCGAGUUAUAGCAGUCCUAGGGAAUUUGUUUGGUGUCUCGGAGUUGUCAUAUUCCUAUUAAUGAUUGUGACAGCUUUUAUAGGAUACGUACCACCUUGGGGUUAGAUGAGCUUUUGGGGAGCAACAGUAAUUACAAGCUUAGCUAGCGCCAUACCAGUAGUAGGAGAUACCAUAGUGACUUGGCUUUGGGGUGGUUUCUCUGUGGACAAUGCCACCUUAAAUCGUUUUUUAGUCUCCAUCAUUUACUCCCCUUAUUUUAGCAGGCGCCAGUCUUCUUCAUCUGGCUGCAUUGCAUCAAUAUGGAUCAAAUAAUCCAUUGGGUGUACAUUCUGAGAUGGAUAAAAUCGCUUCUUACCCUUAUUUUUAUGUAAAGGAUCUUGUAGGUCGAGUAGCUUCUGCUAUCUUUUUUUCCAUUUGGAUUUUUUUGCUCCAAAUGUUUUGGGGCAUCCCGACAAUUAUAUACCUGCUAAUCCGAUGCCCACCCCGCCUCAUAUUGUGCCGGAAUGGUAUUUCCUACCGAUCCAUGCCAUUCUUCGCAGUAUACCUGACAAAGCGGGGGGUGUAGCUGCAAUAGCACCAGUUUUUAUAUCUCUCUUGGCUUUACCUUUUUUAAAGAAAUGUAUGUGCGUAGUUCAAGUUUUCGACCGAUUCACCAAGGAAUAUUUUGGUUGCUUUUGGCGGAUUGCUUACUACUAGGUUGGAUCGGAUGUCAACCUGUGGAGGCACCAUUUGUUACUAUUGGACAAAUUUCUUCUUUCUUUUUCUUCUUGUUCUUUGCCAUAACGCCCAUUGCGGGACGAGUUGGAAGAGGAAUUCCAAAAUAUUACACGGAAUAGACUCAUCGCACCGGAUCAGUCUCUUAGACGGAUGAGACUGAUCACACCUGAUCAGUGAUCAAUUCUGGCACAAUGAAUUUACGAGUUAUUUUACACAAUGAAUUUACAAGCAGAUGAGGUAGACCUAUCUCCUGAAAAGAGUUCAGUAAACAAGGGAACGAAGCGACCGAUAACGUCCCCUCGGGGAGGAGAAGGGAUUGACUUCGACUCCUAUUAUCUUUGUUUACCAAUCUUCAAAUUGGUGAAUUGGUUAAUAGGAAGUGCGCGCUAGCACGCUUCAUAUUUCUAGUAACAAGGGCCGGGCCAUUGCUUGCUUGUUUGGUCGUUAGAUCAGAGGGCGCUCAUCCCUUGCUCGGUCCCUGAAAAUGAGAUAACAUAGGCUUUUGAUAUCUGCUCUGUCAACAAGCCCUGGUUCAAUCCCUGCUUCUUCCAGGCCUUAUCCCGAAAGAGGUAAACAAUUCUUUUUUGUCAUUUUGUUCACUGGUCUUCACUUCAAGCAAUUCUAUUAGUCCUAGUUUGCUGCAAUUAGUAAUAGGGGAUAAGCAAUUGGUGGUCGUAGGCUCACUCACCUCUUGCUCUUUUUCUUUGCGAUGACCCCGUCCUUGUAUCCGUCCUCUAGCAUCUAUCUUCUCCUGUAUUGUAUGUAGCUGCAGUGGCAUUCGACUUUGAAGUACCAGGAAAGGCAGAUAAGUUUAGCCUCAAUAGAAAUAUCUUUAUAGCCUGAAGUUGGCUUACUUAAUUCCUUUGAGCUUCCCCCACUAUUUAGUUCGUUUUCCGGUAAGCUAAUAUGGGCGUAGGUCUAGUUAACGUUCAAGCAGAAUAGAAUCCCCAUCAGACUCUCGUUUGUUGGUUGGGAUGGGAUCUUAGGAGAGAAAGGAAAGCCCUGAAACAAAGUGAGCCUACGCCUACGGGAGGGUGUAAAAAUGCCUCAAAGCCUGUGAAGCAAGUUCUAAAGAAAGUUUGAAAGCUCACUGCGGAAAGGGUUUUGACCAGCUAGUCAGAUUGCCUCAUUACGGGUGUGUUACGCCAGAAAGUUCCUCAAUCCUGUGCCUGUUCCCGAGCGAGUCAGUCCCAUUUCGAUGAUGAACGACACGAUCCUCCAUAAAGCUUCCCAUUUUACAUUUCUCCAUCGCGAGAGAUUCUCUCCAGCAGGUUCCCCAGUGGUACGUCCGGGGUCGGUACAAUCAGUGCGCUAUCAGUCCAGUACCAUUAGCUCUCCAAGGGUAACAAUCCAUUCUUUCCGGGCAAGCCAGUUCAGUUCCUUUCUAGUAACAAGAGAUCCCAUAUCAGAUUAAGUAAAGGGAUUACCUAGCUAGCGCAUAUCGAAGAGUUGGAGACUUCCUGCCACUAUAGAAAAAAGCCGUUGAUGGAUCAAUUUCUGUAGGUGGGUCUCAACUCGGAUCGAGACAUUCGGAUUUGCCGAUGAAGAGUACUGCCUUGGAGGGGUAGGGGUUGUAGGGGAAGAACCAACCUUUUCGGGUUACGGGAAGUCCUAUCGAUUAAAGCAAGAAGAAAAAAGUAAAAACAACAACGUACCGACCCAGCGCAGUGCCUAUGAAGAAUAGUGAAUGUAGACCGGAUAGGAAUAGGACUCUUUAGGCGGAGUGGCUUUCUUGGAGGCCUGUCUUCUUCGAAACUCGAAAUUCGUUUUUUCAAAAGAAACAGGGCUAUAGCCUUUUUAAGGCCAAUUGACAUUGACUUUUGUUUUGAUAGUUCCAGUUGCUUACGAAGAUCCAAGUCCAGCUACUUACGAAGAAGGGCAGACAGACUACGCCACUCCCAUCCCUGCGGACAGACUAACUAAGCGUGGUAGUCGAGUGAACGGGCUAUCAAAAAGCUCUCGUUUUGUUGCGAGCUCCUGGCAAGAUAGUCAAGUAAUAAAAUAGACCAUAAGCCAUACUUUAUCUUGUAGCCUGUCUAAGAAAGUAACAAUAAAUAGCUCAUAGUUUCCUUGCUACUGCCCUAAGAGUUGUUCUUCUAUCAUCAGCGAGAGUUUACUUUGCUGUCGAUGCAGGCCAUGCAAUAAUAGAUAGAUUUUUGUACAUAGUUGGGAUAAACAAAUAAUAAAUGGAUUCCUCCCCUCUUUUUAGCCUUAUCCGCUCUUGAAUGUUGGUAUCGAUUUGAUCAUGCCGGAAUAAGAGCUAGGUAAUGGAUCUUCUCCAGAUAGAAGUAAAGGUUACGUGGGAAAUAAAGGAAUCAGUAGCAGUCGCUGGAAAAAAAGUAGGUAAAGCAAGCAAGGAGGGAAUCCAGCUUAUUGGCCAUUCUCCAGCGACUCUCAGAAUGGUUGUCGGGCCUUUGCACUGGUCAACAAAGCCACAGGCCAAGCCAUCAAGCAUGGCGUAGGGUAUUGGAUAGGCUGGUCCCCUGGUCGAAGUCAUUGCAAGGUGUGCUACAGACAGCUAUUGUUCAAGGUCAUUUCCUUUCUCUCGUCAUCACGCCAACAUACACAAGGCUUGCCUUCACAGGGCCCCACCUUGACUUGCCAUCAUGGCUACACUCUUUUCAUCAAAGCAACUCUUCUUAUCUUAAGAAGACCCCUAUCGCUUCUUCUUUGAUCAAUAAGCUUUGGACUUUCCGCCUUGAUCGUAGUAGUAUAGUAUGCUGAAGCAGCUCAAGAUAAAAGCCCUGUUUAGCCAUGGUCAGAUUUCGGUAGACUAACUUGGACACGGGAUUAGGAAAUUCCACCCUUUUCCACCGGCUCCAGGACAAGAGGGUACCGACGAGUAUCGGCGACCCUGCACGAGAAUAGAACCAAUACCAAUAGUUUUGCUUAUUUGAAUUCUUCCAUUAUCUAUCAAAAUAGGAAAUCUAAAUAGAUACGCGAAGUGGUGCCCUUGCUUCUGGAUUCAAAUCCAUAGGGGUAGGCAGGAGGGGAGCGAAAAGAUAGAUACGUUAAUGUUUCCACCUACUCUCGAGUAUAGCACAGGGCUGAGUUAAGUAUAGUAUAGGGAUGAUCCACUCGUCGUAAGAUCCUGAUGGGCCAUCACAUCCCUUGAUGAGUAGAUCAUUCGUGUCUUACUGGUCAAAGGUAAGUAAGAACCUCUUGAUAUCGGGAAGUGCAAAUAAAUAAUAGGUCAGUCUUGCUGUCUCAAAUAGGGAUUGAGUGCCUGUGGAGAAGAGAUGGGUUGGUUUGAUUGAGGAAAGAAUAGGAAAAGAAGGAAGAAGGAUAGCAUAUUGACCGUGCUCUGCGAAGUUCGGUGGAAGUCAGCUGGAAUCGUACCCAGCAAGGUUCUAUUAAUUGGUAAACUACUUAGUAGCCGUAGCCAACCCCUGAUUAUAGGCAAGCCCUGCUCUUGUAUAUCGAUAAAGAAAGGGAGAGUUUACUGAUGGCACAUUUGCGUCCAGCGGAAUCGAUCAUCGUCCCCCACGACCAAGACCCAAUUCAAUAUAUUAAUAGGAAGAAUGUCUUGAUCCGCCUCGUAUAUCUAUCAUUUGUGUUGAUCUGGAAUCGAGAUUGGAAUGCCUUGCUCUGCCUAAUCGUGAAUAGUAUAUGCCUCAUCCCGCUAGCCAGAUCUCUACCGUCUUAUUGAUCGAAAGCUAGGGAUACUUAUUUAUUUUCUUGAUGAUUGAAAAGCUAGUUUGAAUUCGUUGAUCUGCCGAUACCGGGCCCCAUUUCACUGGCCAGCGAGCUUGUGUAUUACUUUGCAAAUGAAGCGUAUCUCUUUGAUUUACUUCUGUUGAUGUCUCGAACCGCUUAGCGGUUAGUUUUAGUUAAGGAUAGCAAUGCUAUUGUCCAUUCCGUCUAGCCGCUAUUGUCCAAUUAUAGUACAGUGUCAGUUAGGACGGGCCUGCCCCUGCUUGCUUCCUCGAGAGUGAGAGAAGGAAGUCCUAGAGAGGGGCACUAUUUCUUCCGAGAAGUGCAAGAUGGGGAAUAACCUAUUGUAUUGAUAUCGCUGAGUCAAGAUAGAAAGGAACCUUAUUUCUAUCAGCUAGUGCAAGCUAGGUUGUUUGUUUUGGGCACAAAGCCUUGCUCUCCCCAAUCAAGGUAUAAUAGUUGGGCGGCUAGUGCUGCAAGCAUGCAAUCAGCAUUUCGUUCACUUACACUUACACUUAGUGAAUAUAGAACUGUGAUCAGUGACGCUAAGUCAGAUAGUUAUUGUCUCUUCUCCCUAUUUAUUUUAUUAAAGACCCUAAGGAAGUGAAGGAUUGCGGACCACCUAUUUUUCAUCAAAGCCCCUUACCCUUGCUUCUUUCCCUUUAAACUCUUUGGUACACGCUUUAUCGAGACUAGGAUUUCUGUCUUACGCCGGGUGAAACCUAUACUCUUUGACCUACCCCAACAAGCAUUUUAGGCGAAUUCUUUUCCUUUCUACUCAAGGAAAUUGAUAGCUAGGAUCCUAUCCUAUCCUAUCCUAUUUGAUCGAUCGCUCAGCCUCUGUAGUCCACUCCUUCAAUAUAGGAAAGGAAGUAGAGAAAAGGAUGCAAGCCCAAAGUCUAGGAAAAGCAUCUCAUUUCCUGGCAAAAAAGCAAUCCACUGUGUCGAGGAAGGGAAGAAAGGCUCUGCUUUUGGUAUUUAUUUAUCAAAGAAAGACACAUUUAAGCGAGCGUGGCAAGGGACUAAGUUUUUGUUGUCGCGGGCGCUAAAAAGCAUUGGCGGAUGCUAGCUAGGCAUAUUUAUUUGUUUCGUUUGUUUACAAGUUGGAAUUCAAAGAUAGCUAUUUUAGAGAAAGACCGGAAUAGGCAGUCACAGAUGUAAGUAGAAGUUUUAGAAGCAGGUAAGGUUUAUGCACGAUGAGAUAUGCUAGCUAGAGCUACUUGGUAUUGGUAGUAGAAGAGGAAUAGCUUGUGCUUUUCGCGGGAUAGCUUCUAAGUAUAGACAUUCACAGUAGGCACGAAUGGGAUAGUUUGAGUUGGUUUCUCGCCAAAUAGAUUCAAGGAUAACUCGAUUUGAUACUAAACUUAGUACGAGAAGGUGCUUAGAACACAUACGGGAUCAGAUAAGGCUAGCAGCUCUAGUAUUGGUAAUAAAUCUUACAAGGGAAUACUAGAUACACCAGUUGUGGUAAGUCAAUUCAUUCAGGAUGCUCGUAAGUCUCGUGAAUCCAAUAAUAAAUAGGGCUUUAGUAGAGGCGCGAAGCGUGGAGAUUGAUAAAUAAAAAGGACACACAGUACCAGACCAAGUAACAAGAUCAGCCUUACCAAAACUGGAUUUUCCAAAGAAAGAGGGUGAUGAGUGGGUGAUUCAAUGUAACCAUUACUUUUCUCUCUGCCCAGUUCCUGAUACAAACAAGACCCAUAUGGUAGUGUUGCACUUUAGUGGGAAAGCCAGUUCAUGGUAUAGAGGCUAGAAUCUGACCCAUGAUCACCCCUGAUCUAAUUGAACUGGUUCAGAGGGUAUUCCCAGAUGCUAGCAGCCUCACCUCACUGCUGCUGAGGAAUGGAAGAGAUUGUACCAAGUCCAUAAUGGUCAAGAUUCCACACAGAAGGGUUAGGUCAAAUCAAGGGCCUUAACUUGGGAUCUCCUGACUUACCUGAGCACUAUUUUAUCACUGCAUGCUUGAGUUGAGGGAAGACAUCAAAGACCUUGUCAUGGCAAUGAAGGCAGUAAGCUUGAUGCAUUUUAUCCAAAGACAUGGAGGUGGCAAUUUCUUAUCAAAAGAAAAGAAAGAAAAGCAGUUUCAAGCCUAACAACCUUCUUACAUACCCUAGCCAGAAUAAGGGAAUUAUGGUCAAGGGAAAAAUGAAAGAGCAUAAGCCAGAAAAUGGAAACUCUCAGAAUAGGAAUGAAGUAUGGGAAGAAAUAAGAGCCUUAGGCCUGUGCUUGACAUGUGUUGAGCUACCAUGGUCAUCAGUGCAAGGUGAAGAUGAACAUAGUAAUAGGUGACAGUGAAGAGAAGGAAGAUGAGAGAUACGUUCCUUAGAAUUAGAAGUCGUCUUCAACUUUCUUCCAGGAAAGCCUUUCACCGAGCGAGCAGCUAAGCCUAUGCCCUCAGACAUUGAUUGCUAUACAGAAUUUAGCAUAAAGUACUUGAAUAUUGAUUAUUAUUCUGAGGCUGAGAGAGCAAGUAACUUAAUGAAGCAAGACUUCGAAGAAAAGGAGAGAAUAAGUGUUGUGUUUCAAGUAGUAAUUGAUAAAGUAUCAAGUAGAGAAGUUCUUCCUAGCUUCUUUUCCAGCAAGAAAACGUAUUGUUCAUACGAAAAGCAAAGUACUUUCUCCAAUCCAACAGAAGAGGAAUUCAGCAAUCAAGUCUACUAAUACAAGUCUAUAGUUUGAGUAGUUGUUUUUUCAGCCGAUUCUCCGAAAUUGAAGACAAUUAUCCUCACUCAAACUUCAAAAAGUCCCUUUUUCUUUUUCUGAUGUAAAUUCUGUCUGUCUCCUUUGUCCUUCCUAACGCUAGUCUAGUCUCCUUCGUUCCACUCGUCCUUGCUUUUUUUUCUUCUUCCUAUCGUCAAAGAAAUAGGUUCAGUUGUUCGACCUCCCAAAGGUUAAAGAAAGACAUCGAUAUUAACCCUCCGGAUGAUGAUAUGCCCCAACCAUCUAUACCCCAUGGUUCGUUACUCGGGAAUUCGGAGAGGUCAGAUGAGAUAGAUGGGUGUGUUCAAAAUGGAUUGAUCCCCUUUCUCAUGUUUUCAUUUAUGUUGUCCACAAACGAAUAAAGAGUCUGAAAAGACGUACGCAUAACAGACUCGGUACCUAGGUCAAUGGGUUCAGUGGAGAAUUGCGCAUAGAAAGGAGCAAGAAAACGUAUGCGCUUUAGCAACAAAGCGCUCAUCCCUUGUUCUUUCGCUUGGAAGCUCAAUCCCCUCGCUUCUUCUUUCGCUUCUACGCUUCUUCUUUCGCUUCUACGCUCGUGCUUUCAGCAAGUUCGUACCAGUCGUCAGUCAAGGAGGGAGCUCCAACCUCCGUGCCUAGCCACAACCUAAACGCUGGUUCUAUCCCGGCCAAGCAAGGGGAACCCGGUGGGAAGAGGGAAAGAAAGAUCAGGGGAAGAAGCAGGGUAGAGGAAUUGGUCGACUCAUCAGGCUCAUGACCUGAAGACUGCAGGUUCGAAUCCUGUCCCCGCCUAAUCACGUCAGAUACUUGUACGAGUCCUGAUCACCUUGGUAAAAGAAUCUAUGUUCAAGUCGCCUGCCUAACAAAUAGACGACUACGUACUGUAGUUAGUCUGUUCCGUUGGUCCGAUCCGAAAGUGUUGCUGUGUAAAAUAGAGAUUGUGUGGGUGUUCAGUCUCACAAUCUCCUCCUUUUUUGUUCUGGCUAGUUAGAGCAGAGGACUUAAAAUCCUCUUUUGCUUAGGACUAAAAAUCCUAACAGAGUGGUUCGAAUCCACCUCAGAACAAGAGCGAGCCUGAACGAAACCUAACGCUGCGCUUGACUGGGAAGACUGUUGCGCUCCGUGCGGGUAAUAGCAAGAGAGUGAAGAACGAACGAUACUAAAAAAAGUAAGCAGUGAAUGAGUCCGACUCGAGUUCGUGGGUCAAAGGCGAAAGGUAGAUUCGGAAAGGAUAGGAUCCUCCUAUCAUGAUGAUUAAGGGAAGAGUGAGUUGAAAGAGAUAGAGAUGGUUCUUUUGUUCGGGAGACAACCAUUGUAGAUUCCAGCCGAGAAGACCAGGAAAAGAGAAGGAUAAAGAAUGUCAUAUAUCUCAGGAGCUAGAUCACUUCCCGAUGAACAAGUAAGAAUUGCCUCAACAAAAAUGGAUGGAAUUGGACCGAAAAAAGCCAUUCAGCUUUGUUAUCGAUUAGGUAUCAGUGGGAACAUCAAGAUUCAUGAGUUAACUAAGUAUCAGAUCGACCAAAUUGAACAAAUGAUAGCUCAAGAUCAUGUUGUUCAUUGGGAAUUGAAGAGGGGAGAACGAGCAGACAUCGAACGAUUAAUUUCUAUUUCUCGUUAUCGUGGAAUUCGUCAACAAGAUGAAUCGCCAUUACGUAGUCAACGAACUCAUACUAAUGCAAGGACUGCUCGCAAGCAAAUUCGGAAAUGAAAGAAGGCUACCGAAAGAACAAGCAACGGAUUGAGCGCUCAUCCCUUGCGCCUGCGCAUACGUUUUCUUGCUCCUUGCAAGUCAAGUAGAGUAGUACUUGUCUGAUCAAUCACACUGUUCAAUUCAAUAGUUCUUUUUUUAUUUUUCGUUCGAUGUCUUGAAUCGCUUACUAAUCACGUAUACGUUUAGUAGGCCCCCUUCGCCACUCCACGUCUGGCACGUCUUGGUCUCGCUCACUUCGCCCGCCUAUCGUAUCGGUUCGGCUUCGUCCGUCAAGUGACAGCUUCACUAUCGCUCAUGACUGGUAGUUGUCUCUAUCUCUAUGUAUAUGUAGUAGUCGUAGUCGGCCUUUGUUAAGCUUCGCCAGAAGCGACUAGUCGCUUCCCGAAUGCCUCUUUCUUGUACUAAUUAAUGUGUAUGGUCUAGUCUUUCCAAUGCCUCUUUCCUUGCCGCCAACGCACGCUAGAUGGAGAGUAAGCAAGCUACCUUGCUUGCAUUCGUUAAACGGUAGCUCCCACGCCCUUCCUGCCUGCAGAAAUUUAUGUGAAUGAUCGUGUCUUCGACAUCAAUUUCAGUCUGAUUAGAUAUGUCAUUGAAACAAAUCUGUUUUGUCUUUGUUUUAUUUUCGGAUGAUAAGGAUGAGCCAGCCGAUCCUAACAUAAUUUUGGAGGAGCCGGGCGACGAAGCCUCCAAAUCUGAUAAGGAUGUCUCCGACGCGACCGGACUGCAACUAUAUAUGGGGUCCGGAGGGAAAAAAAGAUAUGCUAUUUCCUAUCAGUCCCAAGCGGAUACCCCCCAGCUUCCACGGUCCGCUUACCGAGGAAGAGAUGCAGGAGGACCCAGGGCCAGAGCAAGUUGGGUUGGGGUAUAGAGCCGUAAGCGCGGUGGGGGUGACAGAGGAUGUGCUCGUACGGUUCAUAGUUGGGUAUGAUAUUCUCGUGGAUUGUUGGGAACGUCCUCUAUAUUCGAAAUAUGCCUUUCUAGGAGCAUUACGAUCUGCAGCUCAAAUGGUCUCUUAUGAAGUCUCUAUUGGUCUUAUUCUUAUUGUGCGCCUUGUGAGCACGUUUGGAUCCGCGAAGGCAAUCGCUCGGAUCUUCCCCUAACCCAACCCGGGAACGGACCGGAGGGAACCGCAGCAUGAGGAAUGUCCGCGUCUCAUCGCAAGGCUCGUUUUGAGUUUUGGGUCAUAGGGCGGGCAGUCCGGGGCACAAGGGUCCUGGUACUACCCAGGUGCGAAGAACCCCGGAGGUGACUGCAAUGAGAAAAAAUGUCACUCACCGGCCUAAACGACAAGCAAACACUCGAACGUGAGAGCAAGGGAUCACCCAACGAAUGGACGAGCUCCAAGGAGGGAGGCAAGAACCAUGCUUUCAGAGAAGUGGCGGUCUGAAUCCACUCUGACAAAAGAAAAUAACUGACAAAGCCGUAAGGGGGGCUCCACACGGGACGGGGCCAAGGCCUUCAUGUAUGGGUGACAGAUCGGCCAUAGGAGUACUCCGGGAUAUACACCAGGGCAACUAAUGUCGAGCAUACGAUGAUGCCACCCGUUUUCAUUUCGUGAAAGUCCCCGGCAGAGGAAAGGGCUGUAGGUGAUGGCGCGUUCUGCUUCUUAGGGAUAGGGCGAUGAAAUCGUUCCUAUGGGAUCGUGCGUGGCAGCUGGUAUAGAUGAUGAUGAAAGGCGGGCCGCUUGAACCGGGACCUAUUCUCAUAAUAGGCAGCAAGCAAAGCUAAAUAGGAAAGGGUGCGACGCUGCCUUUUUCGUCAAAAUAAAAAAGGGUGGAAUGUGGAGCUAAUAUGGCUGGCUACAAGUAUAGCCAAAGAAAGAUGAGACGAGACGGACUGUCAGAGGACACAGCGGGACUACCAGGGGAAAGCCCGCCCUCGCUAGCUAACAUAGAUAUCUAUUCUCGGUGCGCAUAUUAGAGAUUUAGAAUCUCUUUCCGACCAGGCCAGGCCGAAUCGGGCCACCACUUGGGAUGGGAAUGGCUCAGCCCACAUGCAUCAUUUGAUGAAAGCACUCCAGUCCAGUCGCCUUCGAUCAGUGGCUUGUCAACCACCAGACCGUACCUCCUCACCAAAUGCCCCUGCGUUGGGGCAACACAGCACAUGACUAGUUCGCUCAAGGACCACACCCUCUCGAGAGUAGGAUGCCGGCCGAGAUGGAGCACCAACCUAGACUUUCCUUGGGCUUGCCCUAAUACAAUAAAGGGCGGGCGCCGAAAAGGAAGCAGUGACGCCUUUUCGACGAAAGCUUAGCUUGCUUGGUAGGCGUUGCUUACUCACCCUACUCCCUUAGACAAUGCAAUGCUCUGAACACGAAAGUUUGCAGUUCAGCCCUCUUCUCCCAUGCAGAGUCGUAGGCAGCGCCUAGGAUAAAAGCACGGACGAGCCACAUGCAGGGAAACUUGCACGUGUGGUUCUGGCCGGGGACCCCGGUAUACUGUACUAAUAUGUGUAGGUCCCUGUAAUUCGAGUGAGAUUGUCAUGGCGCAAAAGCAGAUAUGGUCCGGUAUUCCCUUGUUCCCCGUAUUGGUUAUGUUCCUUAUUCCUCGUCUAGCAGAAACUAAUAGAGCUCCGUCUGAUCUCCCAGAAGCGGAAGCUGAAUCAGUUGCAGGCUAUAAUGUAGAAUAUGCGCGGGAUGCGAUCCUUAAUAGUUCACUGUUGGCGGAAGCCAAUGUCUUGGGACUCAUUCUGACUUAAACAAGGGGUGGGUCUUUACCAAACCAACUUCCAAAUCCAAGAUUUAGGGAAAAAAAGAGGGGCACUCUUCAUUCGAAACUCAUGAAGAGGUUUUUGCCUUUUUAUCAAAAAGGGGAGUUGGGUAAAGCAAACUCCCUCCUUGGACGAGCACGGGGCUUAGUCAAGUAGAACCGGGUUGCGCUGCUUGAUGCUCCGAUCGAAAACAAAUCAGUGGGGCCAUGCCGGUACGACGGAAUAUGCGUUAGAAAGGUCAAUCCCUCCCCCCUUUCUUUUUUUUAAUGAAAAACCGGGCCGAACUUAUAUUAUAAAAAGCAGCCCACCCGCUUCCAUAGAACAAUAUCGCCGCAACGUAGACCUAAGUGGAUUUAUUGGAUCCUAGGGAACCAUCACAAGUACGGCCGGCCGGCCUGCCUAUAGAACGAGAAUGCCGUGUCGUCCAGCGGAGCUUAGAAGAAGGUGACUCGGAGCCUAAGGAAGGUGACUCGCGCAGACAGCUGACUCCUUUUCAAUAGAAAGGAAUAGCCAAACCUACCCAGCUGGCUGGUCAAUCUCAGUGAUCUUAUCGGCCGGCAAAGCGGAGACGGACGACCACGGUCCCGACCUUACCAGCACCGUAGGUUUACUAAUCAAUGAAGCCCCUCAACUUACUAUCUUUUCUUACAAACUCAACCAAGCCUAACCAAACCCCAUGCUAACGACAUGUUCUUGAUAUUGAUUGAGUUGGAGGCAGUCAGAGACUACCACGGAAUCCUUCCAUAGUCACCCCGGUGACCUUCGUCACCAAAGCGUCACGAUAGUUUCAAAGACCCCUCAUCUCCAGUGGGGAUCAGUCGGAGCACGUAGGAAUGCCGACCACUACAUAAGCCACGUCUGGCUGAGGCGAGCAACAAGCGGGGGGGAGUCUUUUGAAGUACAAGAACGUUGGGGUGGGACGCUAGUACUUAAACUAGGGUUGCUUCUUAGCGCUAAUCUUGCGUUUUCAGCAGUUAGUUGUAGCGCGCCUUCCCUCCUUCUCUCAUUUCGGAAAGAUUUGGCAGUAUUUUCUUAUGAUGACUGUAAUACCCACUUUGUACCAAAAACAUGGUAUUCCUUUAUAUAUGGGUGUUAUCUAUAUUUAACAUUUCAUGAGAACAUCACAUGAAAACAAAUAAAUAAAUAACGAAAGACACCAAAAUAAAUCUAGCAUCAUGCCGAGUUUUACUUGAUUGUGCAUUUGUGGUUAAUAAAAUAAACGUGUCAUUAAUAGCAUAACAAUGAACCCAUAGAAUUUAAACCCUAACUUGAAAAUAAAACCAUGAAAAUGGAGAAGGAGAGAAAGAAAUAUCAUAUAACACAAAAUAAAUUUUAAACAUAUAACUUUAUCACAUUUUGGUAUAACCAAGUGGAACAAUUAGACUAAGUACAAACGUGCUGCAAAGUUGGAUUUAAAUUGAGGUUUUGAAUUUAGAAUUCAAAAUAAAUAGAGAACAAAAUAGAAAAUAAAAAAAAAGAAAACAGAGAGCCGCCACUUGGGCCAGGAAAGCAUUUUGAGCCCACUGUCCAUUUCCUUGCGCGCGGCCCGGGAUGGAAAACCAGCGCCGACACCCCUACCCCACGCGGCAGCCACCCCAUCGCGUGCCUCUUCUGUUAGCCACUGAACAGCGGGGCCCCCGGUCAGCUCCUUCUCCUUCCUACCCGCACGCGCAGACGAAACAGAACCCGCCGUUCUCCCCGCUGGUUGUUCGCAACAGACGAUGUGCAUAGCUCACGUGCCUUCGACUGAUCCUUCUUCCCCUGCUUUCUCGGCAACAAAUUAGGUGCCCAGUAACCGUCGUCUUAACUAAAUGAGCGCAAAACCCGGUCAGAUAGGUCCUUGCCGUCGGCACGAUAUUGGCGGGGACUUUGAUCGUGGGCUUCAAAUGGAUGCCGCAUUGCCCUCCGCGUGAGUCGCACUUAGAUUAGCUCCAGUUCACGAAUUCCCAUACGCCACUGGAUUGAGAGAAGAAGAAAGCGUCGGAGGGAAAACGCGAGAGAAAUAGGUGAGGGAGGGAGAGUAGAUCCGUCGUUGGCGCGCGCAGUCGUAGUAGCCCUGGCCUCGUCAUGAUGCUCUAGUGCGGCGGCGCUGUGCUCUGGUGCUCCAACCGCUUUCGAUUCCGUCGAGGGGGGACGCAUGGGUCGGCUUGGUCAUCUCUUAAUUGCUCGUCGGACUUUGGAGAUCACCUUCUCACCACCAUGCGUCGACACCGGGACUUACGCUCCACCUGUGCCGGUAAGGACCGCUUCAUGUGUUUCGUUUCUACCUUCAUAUCAUGUUGCGUCUCGCCGAUGUCCAUUUCGAGCACUAGUGCGCUGGGGCGGAGAUCGCUGGUGAGCUCGCCUGGUGGCGAUGGCGGCGCCGUCGUCUGCGAGCUGGGUAUGGAGGGCGAUGGCUAUGCAGCCUUUCGAUUAGAUACGUGCGGCCCUGAUCACCUCAAACACAUCCCCUUUGCCUCAUCGAAGCUGGGCCAUUGAUUCUUGAUCCGUCCACCGUGAACACUCGCGAUGGUAUGUUAACCGGGGAACGUUAGAUCGGGAUCCAACGGUUGUGAUUGUGUCCGGUUCGGGGUGAUGAAGAUCUAAUCUAGGCCAUCAACGCUGAUCCAACGGCCGUGAUCCCGCGAUACCCCUUCGCGGGCGCAGAUUAACACAAAGGCCCCUGUGUUUUAGAGAAAUGAACCCGCCAUCCUGCGCUGUAUGGCUUAGUGCCUUAGGAAGAAUUACCCUGUGACCCCUGCGUUUCUCUGUUUUAGUGCACGCAGUCCAGAGAGCAGGUGGUUCAGGAGGAGCCACAAGGCGAGGAGUAUGAUCUGAUCUAGGUGGCGUUUCUCAGUCGACAUUUGCGCCGGCGAUCCUUAGUUCGUUUUAUAUUUACUCUUUUAUUUUGUAAUAAGUCUUCCGCUAUGUAAUAAAUACUCUGAUGUUAUUGUGACAUUUAUCUCUAUACACUCUGUUAUUAUAUAUGAUGUCUUCUUUGGCGCAUGUAUGAGACGCACCCGGCUUUGUCCUUUAAAAUCGAGUGUUACAGAAGUGGUAUCAGAGGAAAUGUUGACCGUAGGACGAAACCUAGAUAGAAAUGGACAACCCUUACCUACUUAUCUCAUUCUGAUUCAUUCUAUACUUACCUUACUCUGGAUCUCUCUAUACUUAUCUUGAGCCCGUCUCACCUUCUACUGUUCUACUCUGAUCAUUCUUACCUUUUCUAAUCUGGGACAAGAUGGAUUUCACACCUUGGAAUCCUACAUUUAUGACCUUCUUAGAAUAUAGGAGGCCUAAGACAAAAUCAAAACUAUUUUCUCUAUUUAAAAAUGUUGGUUGAUUGUUCUGAUGAUCAAUGCUUGAUUUGCUUCUUUGAUUGAUUGAAAUAGUAUAGACGGACAUCUUAGCAUGUUCCACCAUAAGGUAAUGAAUUAGCUAUGGUAGGUAAAACAUUAAUCUGCUUAGCUAAUAUAUCCCCCAAAGUAACAUGCCUCGUGAUUACAUGCCUUGUCUACAAUUCUUCCUUUCUUACCCUAUGUUUCUAACCCAGAUGGGCUACCCCUAUAUUGUUAGAAGAGAAACAAUAUAGACGUGAUCCUUGGUAUGUCAUGGUUAAGAAAGGAAAAGGCUAUUUAUACACUGUGCUAAAGGAACCAUAGAACUCACCAGUUCUAAAGGAGAAAGAUUUGAAGUUGGAAUUGCAGUAACUACCGCCACCAGACUAGCGGCAUUCUUAGUAGAUGGGAAGUUUGUUGGUGUCAACAUCCGUGUGGUUAUAGAUUUUCCGGAUGUCCUCCCAGAAGAGUUACCACGGAUGCCACCAUAUACGAAAGUUGAGUUUGUCAUAGAUCUCUUACCUGGAACUGCUCCUAUUUCUAAAUGGACAUGGACAUAUAGGAUGUCUGUAGAAGAGUUAAAAGAACUCAAGAAGCACUUAACGGAGUUGGAAGAGGCUGGGUACAUUCAUCCGAGUCUUCACCUUGGAGAGCACCAGUUUUGUUUGUAAAGAAGAAAGAUGGAUCGCAAGGGAUGUGCGUGGAUUAUAGGUUCCUUAACGAUGUCACUGUGAAGAACAAGUUUCUGUUACCCCGCAUUAAGGAUUUAUUUAAUCGGAUGAGAGGUGCAAGUGUAUUCUCGAAGAUUGAUCUUCGAUCGGGUUACCAUCAAAUGAAGAUUAGGCCAUCGGAUAUUCCCAAGACGGAUUUCUCAACCCGAUAUGGAUUAUACGAGUUUACGGUUAUGUCAUUUGGAUUAACUAAUGUACCAGCCUAUUUUAUGGAUCUGAAGAAUAAGAUGCUCAUGGUUUGGACAGAUUCAUCGUGGUUUUCAUCGAUAAUAUUUUUUUAUUCCAAGAGAGAUAGCGAUCAUGAGGAAUAUCUGAUAUUGGUGCUACAAGAAGCUACGAGAUAAUCAACUCUACGCCAAGUUUAGCAAAUGCGAGUUUUGGAUUGACGAGGUGCCAUUCCUAGGACAUAUCAUUUCUAAUGGCGGAAUAUCAGUGGAUCCUGCUAAAGUCAAGAAGAUAGUGGUGUGGAGCAUACCCACUACAUUUACGAAGAUUCAGAGUUUCUUGGAACUUGCAGGAUAUUAUCGGAGAUUUAUUGAAUGAUUUUCUAAGAUUGCUAAACCUAUGACUUCGCUUUUGGAGAAAGGAAGAGAAUUUAAGUGGGACGAGAAGUGCCAAGACAGCUUUGAGCAAUUGAAAAAGAGGUUGAUGUCGCCGCCAGUAUUGGUUAUGCCAGAUCUACAGAAGGGAUUUGACAUUUAUUGUGAUGCAUGUGGCCAAGGCUUAGGAUGUGUGCUCAUGCAAGAAGGACAUGUGAUCGCCUACGCAUCUCGUCAGUUGCAGAAACAAGAGUUAAACUACCCCACUCAUGACUUGGAACUAGCAGCCGUUGUGCAUGCGCUUAAGAUAUGGAGACAUUACAUUAUGGGAACAAAGUGCCAAGUGUACAUGGAUCAUAAGAGUUGGAAGUAUAUAUUCACUCAGAAGGAUCUCAACCUUAGGCAACGCCGUUGGUUGGAGCUCAUUAAGGAUUAUGAUUUGGAGAUUCACUAUCACCCAGGCAAGGCAAAUUUGGUUGCAGAUGCCUUGAGUCGAAAGGAGCACGUUCAUUCAGCUGUUGUUGCCCAGCUACUCAAUGAGAUUGUUGAGGAUUUUAGGAGACUUAACCUGGGGAUAGUUGCUCACACUGAAGGAGUUAUUAUUGAUAUGGAAUCUACCUUGGAGCAAGAAAUCCGCAAAGGACAAAUUGGUGAUGCAAAGAUACAAGAGAUCAAGGAUCUGAUUACUAAAGGUCGAGGUCCAGAAUUCACAAAAGAUGAGCAAGGCACAGUAUGGUUCAAGGAUCGGAUAUGUGUUCCUGAGGUUGAUAGUUUUUGUGAGACUAUUUUAAAGGAAGCCCAUGACUUGGAUUAUUCUAUUCAUCCUGGUAGUACCAAGAUGUAUCAGGACUUAAAGCAGAAGUGCUGGUGAUAUGGACUGGAGAGAGAUAUGGCUGCACAUGUGGUUAUGUGCGAUGUGUGCCAAAGAGUUAAGACCGAUCACCAAAGACUAGCUGGACUAUUACACCCACCAAAGAUGUCCAAGUGGAAGUGGGAAGAGAUUGGCAGGGACUUCAUUGUUGGAUUACCCCGCACAUCUGCUGGGUAUGAUUCUAUAUGGGUUAUUGUGGAUAGACUGACCAAAGUGGCUCAUUUCAUUCCGGUCAAGACUACUUAUAAGUGAUCUACAUUGGUUGAGUUAUAUAUGGCUCGGAUUAUGUCCCUACACAGUGUACCGAAAAAAGAUCAUUUUGGAUAGAGGAUCACAGUUUACCUCCAGAUUUUGGAAAAGUUUUCAUGAGAAAAUGGGUGUGAAGUUGAAUUUUAGUUUGGCCUACCAUCCUCAGACUGAUGGACAGACUGAAAGGACUAAUCAAGUAUUGGAGGACAUAUUGAGAGCUUGUGCCCUUCAGCAUGGUAGUAGUUGGACAAGAGUCUACCUUAUGCUGAGUUCUUAUAUAAUAAUAGUUACCAGGCCAGUCUGAAGAUGUCACUGUUCGAGACUCUAUAUGGCAGGAAAUGCAGGAUUUCUCUACAUUGGAUCAGACUAGAGGAAGACAGUUCUUUGGACCUGAACUUAUUCAAGAGGCAGAAGAACAAGUCCGUAUAAUUCAGGAAGAAUUUGAGGGUAGCUCAGACCAGGCAAAAGAGCUACGCUGAUGAUAGAAGAAGACCACCGGAGUUUGAGGAAGGUGAUCAUGUGUACCUCAAGGUGUCACCACUUCGUGGAAUGAGGAGAUUUAAGGUUAAGGGCAAAUUGUCCCCUUGCUUUAUUGGACCAUUCUGAGUUUUUAGGCGAGUUGGAAAGAUGGCCUAUCAACUUGAACUACCUGAUAAUCUAUAUGAUGGGCAUAAUGUAUUCCAUGUGUAUUAACUUAAGAAGUGUCCUAGUGUCCCGAGAAAUAAGGUUAUAAAGAUGUGUAAAGUACAAUGGAACCAUCAUGGAGAAGAUGAAGCUACUUGGGAGAGAGAGAAAAGGAGCUUCGCAUAGAUUUUUCCCAUCUUUCCACUAGACUUUCCUAAAUCUCGAGGACGAGAUUCUUUUUAAGGGGGGUAGGAUUUGUAAUACCCACUUUGUACCAAAAACAUGGUAUUCUUUUAUAUAUGGGUGUUAUCUAUAUUUAACAUUUCAUGAGAACAUCACAUGAAAACAAAUAAAUAAAUAACGAAAGACACCAAAAUAAAUCUAGCAUCAUGCCGAGUUUUACUUGAUUGUGCAUUUGUGGUUAAUAAAAUAAACGUGUCAUUAAUAGCAUAACAAUGAACCCAUAGAAUUUAAACCCUAACUUGAAAAUAAAACCAUGAAAAUGGAGAAGGAGAGAAAGAAAUAUCAUAUAACACAAAAUAAAUUUUAAACAUAUAACUUUAUCACAUUUUGGUAUAACCAAGUGGAACAAUUAGACUAAGUACAAACGUGCUGCAAAGUUGGAUUUAAAUUGAGGUUUUGAAUUUAGAAUUCAAAAUAAAUAGAGAACAAAAUAGAAAAUAAAAAAAAAGAAAACAGAGAGCCGCCACUUGGGCCAGGAAAGCAUUUUGAGCCCACUGUCCAUUUCCUUGCGCGCGGCCCGGGAUGGAAAACCAGCGCCGACACCCCUACCCCACGCGGCAGCCACCCCAUCGCGUGCCUCUUCUGUUAGCCACUGAACAGCGGGGCCCCCGGUCAGCUCCUUCUCCUUCCUACCCGCACGCGCAGACGAAACAGAACCCGCCGUUCUCCCCGCUGGUCGUUCGCAACAGACGAUGUGCAUAGCUCACGUGCCUUCGACUGAUCCUUCUUCCCCUGCUUUCUCGGCAACAAAUUAGGUGCCCAGUAACCGUCGUCUUAACUAAAUGAGCGCAAAACCCGGUCAGAUAGGUCCUUGCCGUCGGCACGAUAUUGGCGGGGACUUUGAUCGUGGGCUUCAAAUGGAUGCCGCAUUGCCCUCCGCGUGAGCCGCACUUAGAUUAGCUCCAGUUCACGAAUUCCCAUACGCCACUGGAUUGAGAGAAGAAGAAAGCGUCGGAGGCAAAACGCGAGAGAAAUAGGUGAGGGAGGGAGAGUAGAUCCGUCGUUGGCGCGCGCAGUCGUAGUAGCCCUGCCUCGUCAUGAUGCUCUAGUGCGGCGGCGCUGUGCUCUGGUGCUCCAACCGCUUUCGAUUCCGCCGAGGGGGGACGCAUGGGUCGGCUUGGUCAUCUCUUAAUUGCUCGUCGGACUUUGGAGAUCACCUUCUCGCCGCCAUGCGUCGACACCGGGACUUACGCUCCACCUGUGCCGGUAAGGACCGCUUCAUGUGUUUCGUUUCUACCUUCAUAUCAUGUUGCGUCUCGCCGAUGUCCAUUUCGAGCACUAGUGCGCUGGGGCAGAGAUCACUGGUGAGCUCGCCUGGUGGCGAUGGCGGCGCCGCCGUCUGCGAGCUGGGUAUGGAGGGCGAUGGCUAUGCAGCCUUUCGAUUAGAUACGUGCGGCCCUGAUCACCUCAAACACAUCCCCUUUGCCUCAUCGAAGCUGGGCCAUUGAUUCUUGAUCCCUCCACCGUGAACACUCGUGAUGGUAUGUUAACCGGGGAACGUUAGAUCGGGAUCCAACGGUUGUGAUUGUGUCCGGUUCGGGGUGAUGAAGAUCUAAUCUAGGCCAUCAACGCUGAUCCAACGGCCGUGAUCCCGCGAUACCCCUUCGCGGGCGCAGAUUAACACAAAGGCCCCUGUGUUUUAGAGAAAUGAACCCGCCAUCCUGCGCUGUAUGGCUUAGUGCCUUAGGAAGAAUUACCCUGUGACCCCUGCGUUUCUCUGUUUUAGUGCACGCAGUCCAGAGAGCAGGUGGUUCAGGAGGAGCCACAAGGCGAGGAGUAUGAUCUGAUCUAGGUGGCGUUUCUCAGUCGACAUUUGCGCCGGCGAUCCUUAGUUCGUUUUAUAUUUACUCUUUUAUUUUGUAAUAAGUCUUCCGCUAUGUAAUAAAUACUCUGAUGUUAUUGUGACAUUUAUCUCUAUACACUCUGUUAUUAUAUAUGAUGUCUUCUUUGGCGCAUGUAUGAGACGCACCCGGCUUUGUCCUUUAAAACCGGGUGUUACAAUGACCUGGUCGAGAGAGUACAAAACAUCGGUGUAAAAGAUUGAGUGGGAUGGUUAUGGUUAUAGUAAGGGGCGAACCAAGUGCUUGCGCGAAGAAGCGAAUCAAUUAGAAUGGAGACAAGGAGAGGCGAAACUCAACUAAAAUGGAAAAGGGAACUCGACUAUCAUGAGCGAAGUGAGGGAAUUCCUUCUGAUUGGGUCCCUUAGGGGAGAGACAGAAGGUAUUAUUAAAUAGAAUCAGAUCUUUGACGAUCCAGUAUUAGCUAGUGAGUGUAUGGACUCAGACUUUGGUGACUCCCUAGUGGCCAGGGAAGCGUUAGCUUCACCCUUUGAACGUCUCAUUUACUCUCUCUAGCUCUCGACUUUACGUAUAGGAAUUUAAGGUACAUUGGUCGAUGAAAGUGAACAUCUAUCUUAUCUUACGCCACUUACUCUACCUUUACUUUGUGGAAGACGUCCGAUUGAAUGAUCUCCAGUGGGUUCUAUUACCAUGUGUACCCAGCCUGCUUCCUUCUUUUUUACCAGCCUCUCUGCUUCUGUCAGUAUAGAGGAAAGUCUUCAAUCCAAAUAAAAAAGGAAAAAAAUACCUAGCAUGACACAUCAGCUACACCAUCAGAGCCUGUCCACUUGCUAGUCAGGAAAAAGAACCGCUCCGUUCCGUGGGCUUCUUUCGCAGCUCUCUUCACGCUCGCUUUACGAGUGCAACCAAGUUCAAUAAACUGUGAAUGCUAAUUUAAUUCAUAGACUAUGUUGGUUUCUAUCUAAGAGUCCUGUGAGACGCUUUCCUUCUCAUACACAUCUGAAGGAACGUUUGAUCAUCAGCAUUAGAGAGUUUUGCAGGUCCUUGAGAGAACGUUAUCCAGCCACCAUACCAUGGUCUGAGGUGAAAGAAAUUGGUCCUAGUCCAUAAAACGAAAGGUGCUGGGCAAGCGCAGAGAAGUCGUCUGAAGGGGAGUUCCAUAGGAAUGUUCAACUUCGAUCAACCUUGGUCCCAUGCCUAAAAAAGAAAGAAGGUAAAAAAUAGGGGUGAUAUAAUCCACUGCUCGCCUAAGAAUGUACUGACGUAAUCCCUACUAUGGCUUCCCGAAGGAUCCAGCAGCUAAGAGGGUCCGAGCCAUAACGGAUUGAUGUGACCGUAGCGGUGACUGGAAUCGAUCUGAAUGAGGCAGUUAUGGGACUUAUCUUAUCUAACAUAAAAUAUAUAUAUUAUAUAUGGAGGAAGGAUUCAAAAAAGGUGGGGGUCAAGGUGUAUAAUACGAGCUCCACUUUCAGGCAAUGAGCUAGCUUAACCCUGAUUGCUUAAGGUUUAAUACAGUCAUGUUGGAUCUGCUACUAAUACUAAGAAAGGCAGAGAAAGACUAAUUGCGACAGCUCAACCGGAUGAGACAUCUCUUUCUUAUUUACAGAACUGUGCCAACGUGUGCCUACAUUGUUUGAUUUACCAGUUCCGGGUAUUGGAUUUUGGAAUAGAAAGAAUGAAACUAGUACCAGCUUAUCGCCAACUGUGCUUUCUACCAACUCCGCCAACCCCAGACGGGAAUAUUUCUUUUUUUUAUAGCCGCACCUGAGCCCGCAACUGCUGCCUCUACUCCGCCUACUUCUUGUGCCGACUUCGCCAGCCUCGCAGGGUACCGAUUUCCUCCUGCUUUGUGUGCGUGCCAUUGACUCCUUUAAUGGGUCGAAACCUACUUAGUUCUUUUUUUCGUCUAUACAAGAAAAGAAGGAUUUGUGUUUAGCAAGACAGAGAAUUUAAUAAGUAAAAAAAAGUGUGUACCCUUUACCGAAAAGCAAAUAUGACAGAUAGGGUACGGCAUAUUGCUUUUUCCUGAUUGAUCUAGUUGACGACAGUUGACUUGUUGGACCGAUUGUGGAGUGGAUUGGAAUAGAAGUUUCUUAUAUACAUAUAUUCGUGUUUACUGAUUUCGCAUACUAGGAAUGGAACUUAACUUGAUGUAACCCAUUGGAAACUCUCUUUGAGACUCAUUAUCUGUUAUAUACGACAGGCUAAUUAAGUCCUUAAAUUAUUGAGAAGAAAGGAGUCUUUCCUUACACAAAACUGUUAUGUUAUUAUGCUGCUCGUGCAAUCAAAACUUAGAAUAGAAGAAAAAGAGUUCCCUCGAGACGCAUCCUCUUCUCCUUCGCUUGUGUGACUAUCAUGAGAAGAAUUCCAUUCCAAGAAGUAAAAUAACAAGAAAAAGAACGAGGUCAAGAUCUGUUGUUACCAGUACCGACGAAAUGGAGAAAGUGUCAUCCGGGAACGCAAUCUACUACAUUAGUUGGUGUAGCCAAAGAAGAGGAUAUCCCCUUUUUUUACCUGACCCAUUGGUCUUCAGACCAGACCCAUACCAUAGCUACAAACACUUUUGAGUCGGAGGAGACUGGCCAGAUCGCCUUCUUGAGGCUCUCUGGGCUUAUCGGACGUCAAUCUGUAUAGAGCCACUGGUCAAACACCCUUCUCCUUAGUCAUUGGCAUGGACGCCAUUCUUCCCAGUGAACUCGACGAUUCCUUCCCUGCGCCGUUCUGCUCGACGACGAUAUGACUGAUAAUCAGAAGCGAGAGGCUCUGCUCUCGAAACUUUACCUCCUCGAUUCAGUGGGAGAAAAAAAAGGUUACGAGCGGCAGAGCAUGCACAAGUCUAUAAACGUCAACUCAGCCGCGCUUAUGAAAAAAACUAAUAUAAAUAAAAAAGAUUUCCAACGCACAGCACCCUAAGGGUCAACUUAAGCCCCUUCCUUAAGGAAAGAUCUUUUUUUAUUGUCAUAGCGGUCAACCCCGGGAACGCGUACCGCCUUGCCAAUGAACAUGGGGAUGAACUUCCUGAACCUUGGAAUGACAUGUACUUGAAAAAGUACUACGCCUGACCGGCUUCCCGGUAAGCCCUGAAAAAUGUUUGGCCUAUCUGAUAUUUGUGCGUAAACCAUAAAUCCAAAUCGAUUCUAGACUGUCUUCCAAUCUACAUGCUUGACUGAGUGAGGAUGUGGCAGCUUUUGUUCACAUCAUAUUCCAUUAGAUAGAAAGAGCUACAAAAGGUGUACCAGAUAGAUUCAUAUAGUAGGCUUAGGCUCAAAUAGCGCUUUGACUGAUAUAGGUAAAAAAUUUUCCAAUUUACAUUACAUCCAGGUCUUAUCUACUUAGUUGUGGGCAUUGCCCCCUGAAAUAGAACUUUUCGCGUCCCCCUGCUUUUGCUAUGGGGCUGGCGGGUUCACUCCUUGCCAUGAAUAGGGCUGGCUCCUUCCCUGAGAUAGAUAGAAGCCAAGCCCACUACACGGUGCGAACUCCUAAAGAAGAGACUGAACUUACUUUCUUUCUUGCUUGCUUGUUCCCUAGGAUUAUGAUUCCUGGGGUUGUUGCUUGCUUGGUUUGUUUAUGCUUAGCAGCGGUUCGUUCAAAAUAAAAAAGGUAGAAGCCGCUCAGAAACGAUGUUCUCUUGUCCCCUCGGGACAGCGCUUUCACUCCUUUCCUCUGAGCUAUACCUAGACCUCCCACUCCCACUCUCACAUGUAGGCGGAGAUGGAGACUCGUUCAAACUUAGUCUACUAAAGGAUGGAGGAUGGAACCUUAAGGAAAUGAACCUAAACCUAUAAAAGUGUCGGGACAUUAAAUAGAUAUAAAAUAAAAUAAUCUUUUAGUCCCUCAAAGUCCAAGUUUAAGAGGCCAGUCCCAAAACAUUUCUUGCAGGACCACCUUUCUCCAGGUCUCUUUUUUAUUGACUUUGGCACCCACACGUAUAAUGUGAGGAGAGGAAUCCAAAUUCGAUGCAUAGUUGUCCCUCUCUUCCCUGAAUUCCUCUGGCAGGAUCCCUUACUGGAAGGGGGGUAAAGUAUCUACGCUCUAGUCGUAUGUAUCCUGAGAAGGGAGUGACCUAAAACGGAGGAAUGCUUGUUCGUCUCAUUCGGAUAUGUAUGGCCGGGGUCUGGUAGCUCCCUAUGACUAUUCCUAUUGGGAUGGCAAUCUCAUCUCGAAUCACAUAUCGUGUGUUCGACGUUCCUUUCGUUCGCAUAUCUUUGAAUCGAAUCAGCUUCUGCGGGCGGGGGAUAACCGAAAUAGAAGUGCUGCCGGGGUGAUUGACCAUUAGGAUCUAGUCUUGUUCCUUAGUUUGGUUUUUCCUACCAAGGAUCCAAUCCAGCUAUGCUAUAAAGUUAUGUUAGUGGCAGAUAUGGAUAGAGUAUGGAUAGAGAAAGUAGCAGCUCGCUUUCUUUCGAAGACGGGGUUGAGAAGAAGGUAAGGCAGCUUCUUCGAUCCAAAUCUUAUGAACAGAUUCAUUCAUUUCAAAUUAAGAAUCAUACGCAACCUCAAAGAAAGAUAGCCCUCCUCUUUACGAGCUUAGUAACGGUAAAUCCGUUCCGUUAAUGGAUGGGCACGAGCGAGGGGCGGUGAUUGGAAUAGUGACUCAUUGGCUAUCAGAUAAGUGAAGCCACCCAAAGCUAUUCUAUUAUCAUAAAUAGAGGUAAGAGCUCCUCAGUUUCGUAUAUAGCCCCCUCCAAUCCAUGGUGGAUUGUCUUGCUUUUCAUCAAAUAAGACCUAGCAGCUUACUUAAAGAAAUGAAAUUCUCGCUAGGGUGCUUGCUAUCGGGGCAAAGCUUUUUCUAUUUAUAUAGGCAGCUCCAUUCCUUGAAAGCCAGUCAAUACUAGAGUAGAGCUCAGAAAUCCUUCCUGGGCAGCCUGGUUCCAGCUCCCUUCAUUCCUCUGUGAGAAUAGUUCACGUAUAAUACUUUAGAGCGAGUAACUAGUCUAUCUAUUCGCCUUUCUAUUCUAGUAAUUCUACGUUCCUCAUUCUAUAUACGAUACGUUCCUCAUUCUAAAGCUAAAGUAGUGACUCUAACUAGAAUAUAAAGACUUCACCUUCAACCCAAGCCAAGCUAUGAAAUAGGGAUCAUGGAAAUCGGGCACACCCGAGUAAAUCUAGACUAGAUGAUCUUGCGAGGCGAUGCCAGACCCAGAGUAUAAUGUCUCCGGGACUAGACUGGCUAGAAGGUAGUGCUUAUUAAUAUCGGAGCUGAAGUGCGGAUCAGUCGUGAGAAAAUAAAAUCCUUUGAAUGGAUCAGUGAGUGUAGGAAAGCCGGUUCCGCAGGAUCACUUAUGUUAUGUGAUUUCGUGGGAGAUGCUUCUGAAUCAAAAGAUGCUGUAAAAGCUCAGAAACGAGGCUUCACAAAUUCUUUUUGGCAUGCCCCCUCUACUUCUACCUGUACCGAUUCAUGGAGUUGACACUAAUCCAUUCUUUCUAUAUUUCUUUCAUUCUCUUUGAUUGGUCAACAAAGAACUUUGACUCGGGCUCUUCCCCUCCCUCUUGGAGGAAUAUAGCCAUCCAUCAAGCCUACCCCAACAUAAACAGGAAUCACCUGAUAAGCUGAGUGAUAAAGCUAUCAAUCUAUCCUUUGACUGGCACUUUAGCAGAAAAUCAUGAAAUAAACCUGGGCCCACUAAAAGUCCUUAUUUAGGGAAUCUUACUUACUUAAGAAAAUAAUCAACUGCCACCACCACAUCAUUAAGGCCCGCACCUUCAAGCCCAGUGGAAUUCUCGUUCGGAUGCUAUUCUCGCUCAAAGAUCUCAAAAUGUCGUAUCAAAAGGAGAGCGUCAAUUCUCUUAUUUCAGCAUCAAUCUGAAAGAGUCUUAGUCCCAUAAGGCCGAAACUUGGAAUUGACUUGAUAGAUCUUCUGCUUGUCUCUCGAGAAACUUUGUAUUGGUCUCCACCUCAGCCCAGUCUAACUCUGCUGAUAGACUGUGUUUAUAUUCUUCUACGAGUAGCCUGCCCAGCAAUGGAAACGUAUGAGCGUUAGUUGGCAAUGGAAAUGGGUGCAAUAAAUCAGGUAUCUAAUCUGGCUAGAGAAAGGCUAACUUCAAAACUCAGGGCUUCUCAUUGAUAGCCAUAGUAAGAGGUUUGUCCUGUUGGUGGUUGAUUCAAAACUACUUCCUCUUGCACAACUAUAAUGGGAACUACUAUAAUGGAAUGGGAGAGGAGAAAAUACUCGAGGAGAGGAAUAUCAACUACGUAAGAAGCUUCCUCAAUAAGAGUGGCUGUGCCAAGACACCCUUGUUGGAAUUGAUCUACUGCCAAAGUGGAGUGGGAAUAUAUAAGAAAGUCGAAUGGAUCUGUGGAACUCCCCCGAAUAAAGGAAUCAAAGAGUGACUCGCCAGACUGGCGAUCAAAACAGAAAUUAUCCUCCGGUCAUCCACUUUCCAUCGAGGGAGAGUCGACUAGCUUAAAGAAAGGUGCCGGAAGAAAGAAAAAGAUCCUAGUCUCCAUUUCAGAGAGUAUAAGCACAGGAAGAAGGUAUCAGGAAUGCUGGUUCGGCGGAAUAGGGUGAUUGGUAAGGCUUCAUCCCUAAAGUUAUUCAACACGUGGCUACUAAGAAAAUUGGAUUCCUUUUUCUAAAGUUAUGCUCGUAAAGCUGCAAAACUAGUAAACUUAUCGACCUAUCAUCCGUUCUUACCUGAGCUGAGUCUUGACUUCACUAUCUGUGACUUAGCCCCACAUUCUUGUGCCAAAGAAAGACAGAAGGAAAGAAACCUAGACUUGGAAUCCCGGCGCCUUGACUUUAUAUGACAAUUCUAGAUGAACUGGGCUAGCUAACCAGACAAGAAGGAGGUCCCGGGCCUGGACCGGCACGAUUCUAGUAAUUAUACGUUCCUCAUUGGAUCUCGUGGAGUGUACUCUUCCCUUUGUUUAAGAAGAAGUUGGUUUAAAGAGUAAGAAACACUUAUAUACCAUAAAUACUCUUUCUCACAAAAAGAUCCAACUUUUCGGAGCGUAGCUUAAGGCCACACCUGUAGAGCCAUGGCCCUCAAUAAUUCUAUAUGCAAACUUAUCCUUGCGGAAUGAGCCAUUCUGGGCAUCAACGAAAGAAUCCAUAAUCAUUGACGAAGAAGACAGCUGUUCAAGUAGUAACUGAGGUGUUGCAUUGAAAUAAAGUAGCAUUGCGAGAUACGAAGAAAGAAGCUGGAAGUCUAUAUGGAAUACGCUCUUUAAGGUCGAUUAAGGCUUGUGUGAAUGUUGAACAUCUGCUACCAAUCAAUCCCAUUCCCAUUCCCAUUCGUAUAUGGUAUAUGACACCUUCUUAAUUGAAAGCAUCUCUCGUCGAAACCGCUGAAGAAUACAUAAGAUAGGCCCACUAGAUUGGCACCCCCGUGGAGUAGGCUAGAGGCUCAUUCGCGAACGUGGAAUCAAGAGGGUUUUUUAUGGAUGUGACAAAUAUAUCUCAAGCUGAGGCCGCUAAGGAAGUGCCAGCACAAUCAUGAACUGCGCCCAUCAGAGCUUCUUCUAGCAACCCAAGAACUCUGGCACGUCUGAGAACCCGUGUAUUCCGCCGUGUAUUCCGUGUUUUCUUCCUGCUUUCUGCUUUCUUGAGGAGAAAAGGGGCUCAUAGAAUUAGAUUCAAAUAGAAUAUGAGUGAAUAUCUUUCGUUGCGCACCAGUUUACGAGCAAGCAUCCUUCGUUUGGUACGGAACAGGAAAGGGAAUUCGAAGAAAUCGUAUCUUUCAUAAGCAUCGUUGGUCCGAUCUGCUCAAAAAUAGAAAUGAAAUGGUGAACUUGCCUUAGAGAAAGAGGAAUUCUUACUUCCAAUCGGAAUCGUUUUUAGGCAAUACAGGGAACCGUCCCAAAGGGGCUAAAGUAUGUGUGGGUCUCUCUCGUCGAGUAGACCUUUUCUCGCUCUCUUUUUCUUGCAAGAGUUGUACCAGCGUUGAGUGAGGGGUUGGAUCAAAUCAAGAAGCUCAGCAUUGAGGGAUCAAGUCUUGCUUGAAUCGAUUUUCUUUGACUGCCUGAGUGCAUAUCCUCACUCUGUCUCCAGCUUUUCCGAAGGAUUGCUUAUCCCAUGCUUUGAGCGCUAGUUUGGUCUAAAACAGUUUCUUCUUUUUUCAGAAACAUUGGAUUUCCUGUGACCGGGAGCUUUCUUCACUACGGGGUGGGUUUCCACAUGCUCAAUUCAUGGCUUUGGUCCAGAGCUGGCAGCCGGAAUAAGAUGAGGAUUGGGGCAUGAUCACUGCAGCCCCGCGUAAGAUAUUCAGCACAGGAAAGGAAGCUUCAUGCUUUUGGAUCCACUCAGGAUUCACUAAGGCUCGCUCUAGUCUGCCGACGAUGCGUCUGGCCCCACCGGAUGGAUUGCUCCAAUAGAGUAAGUGCCCCGAGGAACGAGAUCGGUCAGGUUCGCAUUCUGCAGACAGUCAAGAAAUCCAUGUUUCUGGCACCUUCUACCGGAGAAAUAAGAGAUUCUUGAAUCGAAAUCAAUGAAUCAGAUUUUACCUUUGGGAUGGGAAGUAGAUUGCUGGAGAAAAAACUUCUAGAGUGAAAUGAACAACUAACACCUAGGUUCUUUUACCUUACCUCCUAGGCUGCGCUGCGAAAAGCUUAGAGAAUCAAGAAUCAUCCUCUGAGACUAGUUCUGUACACGCGCUAAAGUGGCGCUUGCUUCAAACUAGGUUGCCAGAGCUGGCACUUAUCGAUAUAGAAACAAGAGCAGGGCUUGAUAUGAUACAAACACAAUCAACUUCCGCAUUCGAGGGCAGAGGUAUCGGCACUUGUGGAGUAAACCUGACUCCGUUCGUGUUAGGACAUCCAUCCUUCCACUCACAGCUAUCAAUCCGGUAUUGGAAGCUCAAAUCCUCUUCUCUUCCACUCCACAUGUCGAGAUUGCAUUGCAGUAAUAAGCUUGUCUAUGAAGAGCUAAUCUAAUUGUAUUAGUUUCUAUAAUGGAUUUCUUAUGUGGAAUACUAAUGGAUAGGGCCUCGUUGCUAAGUGCUACAAGAUCUAGUGCACUGGAACUCGUGGUUAUGGACCCGAAUCCUUUAGUAUGGAACAUUGUCUUUUCCAAGUAAAAACCCCUAGUAUAUGAAAGAAUGAAAAGGUGCUUUCGUUCUUGUGGAAUAAGAAGCCCUCGUACCUUAAUGAAAGGAAAAUAGGAAUUUUACUAUAGGAAUUCGAUAGGAAUUGAGUUGUUGUUAUGGUAAGUUAACACGGUUCGUUAUUAAACCGUGGAUUUGAUUCACCAAAUCCAUCAUUAUUGUAUACUCUUUGAUAGAUAUAGCGCAACCCAAACCCUAAUCUUUAUUUUACAAUUUUUAAAGUUCUUCCCCUUUGAUAUUUUGAAAUUAAAUACCUAAAUACUAAGAAAAUUCUCUGUUGACAGCAAUCUAUGCUUCACAGUAGUAUAUAUUUUGUAUAUCGAAGUCCUAGAUAGGAAAGUAGAGUAGGCACAGCACAGAUCCUUCACAAAAGGUGAAAUUUAUAUGAAAAAAAUGGAUUGAACUUUCCAACGGAUUCAUUCCAUAAGUAAACGAUUGAAUGGGAUUCGAUUCGCUUGGGCAACGAAAUCAAGUGCGAGCCCCCUUUUCUUUUUUAUUGAAUUAACUAAUUCAUUUCCUUUUGACUUUUGGAUUUUUGGAUAUUUUUUUUGAUUUGGCAUUAUUCAACAAGAAAAAAAAUUUCGACAAAUUCCUUUUUUUAAUUAUGUGAUAAUUAUGAGAACCAAUCCUACUACUUCGCGUCCCGGGAUUUCCACAAUUGAAGAAAAAAGCGUAGGGCAUAUUGAUCAAAUUAUUGGACCCGUGCUGGAUAUCACUUUUCCCCCGGGCAAGUUGCCUUAUAUUUAUAAUGCUUUGAUAGUCAAGAGUCGAGACACUACCGAUAAGCAAAUUAAUGUGACUUGUGAGGUACAACAAUUAUUAGGAAAUAAUCGAGUUAGAGCUGUGGCUAUGAGUGCUACAGAGGGGUUGGGUUGAUGAGAGGAAUGGAAGUGAUUGACACGGGAACUCCUCUCAGUGUUCCAGUCGGUGGAGCUACUCUCGGACGAAUUUUUAACGUUCUUGGGGAGCCUAUUGACAAUUUGGGUCAUGUGGAUACUAGUGCAACAUUUCCUAUUCAUAGAUCUGCGCCUGCCUUUAUCGAGUUAGAUACAAAAUUAUCUAUCUUUGAAACAGGUAUUAAGGUGGUCGAUCUUUUAGCUCCCUAUCGACGUGGAGGAAAAAUCGGACUGUUUGGGGGGCAGGAGUAGGUAAAACAGUACUCAUCAUGGAAUUAAUCAAUAACAUUGCUAAAGCUCAUGGAGGUGUAUCCGUAUUUGGCAGAGUAGGGGAACGGACUCGUGAAGGAAAUGAUCUUUAUAUGGAAAUGAAGGAAUCCGGAGUAAUUAAUGAAAAAAAUAUUGAGGAAUCAAAGGUAGCUCUAGUCUAUGGCCAAAUGAAUGAACCACCGGGAGCUCGUAUGAGAGUUGGUUUAACUGCCCUAACUAUGGCAGAGGCAGAAUAUUUCCGAGAUGUUAAUAAGCAAGACGUGCUUUUAUUCAUCGAUAAUAUCUUUCGUUUUGUUCAAGCAGGAUCGGAAGUAUCCGCCUUAUUAGGCAGAAUGCCCUCCGCAGUGGGUUAUCAACCUACCCUUAGUACAGAAAUGGGUUCUUUGCAAGAAAGAAUUACUUCUACCAAAAAGGGAUCUAUAACUUCGAUCCAAGCAGUUUAUGUACCUGCAGACGAUUUGACCGACCCUGCUCCUGCCACAACAUUUGCACAUUUGGAUGCUACUACCGUACUUUCCAGAGGAUUAGCUUCCAAGGGUAUUUAUCCCGCAGUAGAUCCUUUAGAUUAAACCUCAACUAUGUUACAACCUCGAAUUGUUGGCAACGGACAUUAUGAAACUGCGCUAAGAGUUAAGGAAACUUUACAACGUUACAAAGAACUUCAGGACAUUAUCGCAGUUCUUGGAUUGGAUGAAUUAUCAGAGGAGGAUCGUUUAAUUGUAGCAAGAGCACGAAAAAUCGAGCGGUUCUUAUCACAACCGUUCUUUGUGGCAGAAGUUUUUACCGGUUCUCCAGGAAAGUAUGUUGGUCUUGCAGAAACAAUUAGGGGAUUUCAACUAAUCCUUUCCGGAGAAUUAGACGGCCUACCCGAACAGGCUUUUUAUUUAGUGGGGAACAUCGAUGAAGCUAGCACGAAAGCUAUAAACUUAGAAGAGGAGAGCAAAUUGAAGAAAUGAAAUCUUUAUGUACUGACUCCUAAACUAAACUAAUUAUUUUGGAUUGUGAAGUGAAAGAAAUCAUUUUAUCUACUAAUAGUGGCCAAAUUGGUGUAUUACCAAACCACGCCCCCAUUAACACAGCUGUAGAUAUGGGUCCUUUGAGAAUACGCCUCCUGAGCGACCAAUGGUUAACGGCGGUUCUGUGGAGUGGUUUUGCAAGACAAGAAUAGUUAAUAAUGAGAUCAUCAUUUUAGGAAAUGAUGCAGAACUGGGUAGUGACAUUGAUCCAGAAGAAGCUCAACAGGCACUUGAAAUAGCCGAAGCUAACUUGAGUAAAGCUGAAGGUACGAAAGAAUUGGUUGAAGCGAAGCUAGCUCUCAGACGAGCUAGGAUACGAGUCGAGGCUGUCAAUUGGAUUCCCCCAUCCUAUUGAAGACAAUCUAAAGAUUUCGUUGAUACAAAGAAAAAGGAAAAAAGGGUAGAAAAAGUUAUUAGAUAGCGAAGCGAAGUAAGUCCAAUGCUAUCUAGUAAUUUUUCUACCUACCUACCUACUAUUGGAUUUGAACCAAUGACUCCCGCCGUAUGAAAGCAAUACUCUAACCACUGAGUUAAGUAGGCAAUUUAUCACCACAAAAGAAGCCCCAUUACUUCGAUCGAUUAUAGAUUGAAUCCUUUUUAUAAGCAAUACCGCUCCGUUAUUGGUAUGUUUAUGUUAUGUUAUAUAGUAAACGGAUCAAAGGGAUAUCCUCUGGCAUUAGAGAAUAUUCAUCUUGACAAGAAAUUAUCUAUAUGUUAAGAUAUCUCUGACAAGGGCUAUAGCUCAGUUCGGUAGAGCAACUCGUUUACACGUGCGCCAAUGCUUUUCAAGGGAACUUAUUAUGCAAUGAACAUAAUUGACCUUGUUGCAAAAUCAAUGUCUUACUUCAUGGAUUCGAAAGAAUAGAAGAACAGUAGCCUGACAAUGACAAACAGCUGGUUCAGUCCGAUUCAGGUGCCAAUUAAGGUGCUUACUCAAAUAGAACUCCUAUUGAUUUGCUAGUUGAUAAGGUAAAUAUCCAGCCCACUCAAUGUUAGGCGUAAUGAGGAUAAGGGCCUCCAAAAAACUUCUUUUCGUUCUAUGAACUUUAAGGUGUAUGAAGUCUCAUAGUAAACUCUUGCAGCGGAAUGAUAGAGACUCCAUUUCACUUAGGUUGAUUUAAUUUAGGCCGGAGGCAGACCUAAGUCAAGGUAAUCCUCCUUUGAAACACUUUGGUAUUGUUCCUAGAUAGAUCAUAAGACAAAUAAUCAAUCAGAGCACAGGGAGCCAUCUUAUUAUCUUUCCCUAAAGAAAAACUUUGGCGAAUUAACUGAUCUUUACAUUAGUUGAUGAAAGAGCCCAAUGCAGAAAAAUGCAUGUUGGGUCUUUGAAACAGUUCGAAUCAUUUCGAUAAUAAUCCGUUUGAUCUGUUUUACCGAGAAGGUCUACGGUUCGAAUCCGUCCUAAUAUAUACGUCUUUUUUUCCAUUUUAGGAUGGAUAUCUUAUGUUUCCUUUAGUAUAGUUUUCUUUUCCUUAUUAGUACUUAUUUAUAGACUCGACGGUGCGCCAUAGAAUAGAGAUAAAAGCAUUACCAUACCAUAGGCUCAUUCAUCGAAAAUCAUAGAGACUAUUAAAUAAAGGAUAGAGCAAUUCCUUUUUUCAAAUAGGAAAGUGGAUAGCAAUAAAGCCAUUUCCAAGAAAAUCUUCCCCUAUAAUCGAGAAAGCCGUCCAAUAGCAAACUAACCCCAGCCUAGACAAAUAGAGUAGAGGGGUCUGAAAACCUAUUAUUUUAGAUAACUGAUCAAAGAGACGUAGCUUUUUCUCUCUUUCCUUCUUUCCACCAAGCUUCUUUAUUGGAGUUGACUUAUAGGGGUUGGUUCUUGCCUUGUAGCAAGUUGGGAGGCCUACUGUCCGAAUUCGAACUGGCUGCAACGGAACUCGCUAAGGCUCCAUUCAAAGAAAAAAGAAUGGAAUAGGACGAGGCGGGCAGAUCAUCUAGAAUCUGGUCGGACUAAUGCGCACCGGCAAUCCAUAGUAGAAGUUCUUUACAGGUUUGGUUUUCCUUUCUGAUCAAUCGAAUGGCUUUUACUAAACCUCAAUUCAUUCAAUUAGCCUUGAGGCAUAAAGAAAGCAAGGGCGUAGCGUUCCAUUACCGAUCAUGGUGGUAUCGGAAGCACCCCUACUCCUCUGGUCUGUCCACCUUACCUUCUGGCGCACCUCUCCUAACUAUUGCCCAUUUAUUCUAAUAUAUUUUAUAUUAUUCCAUAUUUCUUUUUUUUUGUGUGAAGUAAAAGAAGAAAAGGUCUAGACUCCGUAUAGACGGAAUCUCAGAUAAGAACCUAUACAGAAGUUUUUGUUUGAAAGUGUGCAGUGAAGGAAAGUGUGUCGGGGUCAAACUGGAAUUGCAAGGUCAUUCAUUUCAGGUAGACCUGAGGGUGAUAGAUUUGGGAACAUAUGAUGUAAUGUAGUUCUUGGGAUGGACUGGAUGAAGACCAUAAGCCCCUUUUAUUGGGACAACAAGUCUUUGACCUUGUCGUUAAAAAGAGGACCAGACCAACUCAUUCUUAAAGGAAGUUGUGGAUUGAGCAUAUGGAAAAGAGAUGCUAUUUGUGUAGACAGAAGGGAAGAAAAUGUAACCUUGCUCACGAAAGCCUUGCAACAACUAUGCGGCUAUAAGUUUCCUUCUUUCCAUUCUGUUUAUUUUCAGCACUAGACUCCACAUCAGGAUAAGCUUCUUUCUAUUAAAGAAAUGUCGAUUUCCCUCUGUUUGAGUAGGCUCGCGAUUAUGAUUUGAUUAUACGCAUGAGGUAGUAAAAGCGAGUUAUAAGCUCUUUUCUCUAAAGAAAGUAGGCUUCUAGCAAGGCCAACUCUAUCCUGCUCAAUCCCAUGCUUAUCAUUUUCACAGAUAUGAAUUCAAUGUCAUAUAUUAAUUGAAAUGGUUUUCUCCUCCGAAUUGACACCCAAAAGGGAUAUAUAUAGCCUUCUAGUACCUCAACCCAGAAAGCCUUACACACACUCUGAUGGGAAUUAACCUAGAGUAGAGUUAUUUUAUUAGAUAUUACAUUUCUAGAUAUAGGCAAAUAUAGGUGUUAUCAAAUCCUAGAGGCAUAUGACCAGCCGCAUGCUAUGCUAUUAGUAUUGGGUCAGCAAUACCUUGUGAGCCAUGGAUUAUUAAGAUUAUAGGGGCCCUAAAGGAUGGAUCAAGCAUUAUUGAAGGAAUAGCUCGCUUAACAACCCCCGGGGGAGAGUAUAGAUGAAUGCCUUAAGCAAGGGCGUCUAAGCGUGCAUGUACACAGUUUUUCAUGCCAUAACACAUCGGUGAAACCGGAGAGAGCUGAAGAGAAGGGGAACCCCAGAGGCAUUGACCAUUUGGUACAGCCACUAAUUCGGCAUUUGGUACUGUUUCUCGAAAGGGAAAAAACAUACUUAACAAUUCGAUUGGCAGGACCAAGGGAU